GGGCGUGUAUGUCUCAUACCUUGGGGUAGGGGGUAUCUUGACGCGGGUUUGACCCACUGCAUUGACUGCCUUGGGGCGAGCGUUAUUGUGGCGAUACCCUUGGUUAUCGGGAUAGUGUCCCUUACUCUUUUUACUGAAAGGAGAGUGGUGAGGAUGGAAAUCCUUCCUCUUGCCUUGAAAUUGAUAUGUCUGUUGAUUCGGUGAAGCAUUAUGCAAGGCAUGGGGAGGUGCCACUGCUGUUUGGGAAGUCGAGGUCUUCUCAUUUAGGUGAGUCUGGCUUCCACCUCCCACUUGUGAUAAAGGAUGGUUGUAGGGGGUUUCUCCUGAUAUGUCUUUGCCUCGGCGGAGGCAUGGUUAUAAAGCCUGCGCCAUUACCUCAGAGUAAGUCUUCCAAGUAUUGGCAUUGAUCAUGUAUUUAAAGAAACAAUCACGUAGGCCUGCCGUGAAGGCUUUGAGGGCAGUCUUGUCGUCUGCCUCGGCACACCGGGAGUAUUCAUGGCUGAAGCGGCCAGCAUACAUACGUAAUGACUCGUCUGGCUUCUGGCGGAUAGUGUACAAGUCAUCUGCAGAGUGCAAGCGAUCGGUUUGGAAAAUGUGUUGGGAAACAAAUAGUUUCCUCAAUUCCUCAAAUGAGUCUACCGUCUCAGGUGUAAGACGACAAUACCAAUUUAGAGCUCCACCAGAGAGGGUGGAGGGGAAGAGAAGACAUCGCUCGUCGUCGGUGUGCAUCCGGUAUGCCAUGGUGGACACAAAGAGGUUAAGGUGCUCAAUCGGGUCCUCUUUUCCAGUAUAAAGUUGCAAGCCAAGCUUUUGCUUUGUCUUUGCUUGAAGGGGGGUGUUGAGGAUCCUCCUUGUAAGAGGGCCAGGCCUGGGUUGGUUCCAGUCAGGUAUUUCAGCCUGACGUUCAGCCUUCAACUUGUUUACUUCCUCAAGAAGUUGUAGGACAAGGGGGUCCUGAGCGGAGUUAUGUGUCACUGGAGCUUUCUUUCGUAAAUCUCCAUCUCCUAUUGGAAUUAGGAAGGUUUGAUCAAGGGCAUGUGAUUUUUCCCUGGACUCGCUGUACUGGCUUCCAGGGUAUGUCUGUCGGAACACCUCUGAGUCCCCUGUACCCCUCAUGUCUCUCUAGGACUUGUUGCCCCUUCCCCAAAUUGGUGGCCGGCUUGGGCCGUGGCAGGGGACCGAGGUCUCUCAGAAAUCCUUGGGUCAUUGAUCUUUGAGCUUAUAUGGAUGGAAUUCUCUCGACGUUGCUUCAGGAAAUCCCGACAAUCGCGAAAGACGGCUUUCGAUCCUUCUGCCCCUUCAGCAAAGAGGUGUCUCCCUCCACUUCUCAUGGUUCGGGUCGAAGCAACUGGGUUAAGAGAAGCCUCAUGUUGAUUAUCAAGUCGAGGGGUAAUCUGUUCCCUAUCAGGGAUAUCUAUGUCGAAUGCAUGUGACCCUCCAUGUUGGAGGGCACCCAGUUGAUGGUUGACUUCCACGGGGGCAACAAGCUCGCGUGUCUGAGCUUGCCUAGCUUCGUGGAGUGUCUCGAAGAGCUUCUCAUAUUGCUCCUGGAGGACCUCAUUCCUCAUUGCUAUCUUGUUGUUCUGAGCUUCCAACUCAUCGACUUUAGCUUGAAGAAGAACUCGUUUUCCUUCCCUUCUUUCGUUGUUUCGCACUAUGUGCAAGGGGGGUGUCAUUCUGUGUGCUGUGGCUUCCUUCGCUUCCCAUGUUGGAGAGGGAUGCCUGAUCAAAAGAAAGUGUACGAAUGAUAGAAACCAGCUUGACACAGCUGAAGAGAGUAGGAAUAAGUGUCGUUUCCCACAGACGGCGCCAAAUGUUUGAUGCACAAAAUCAGCGAAGACUUUGGUACAACAGAAAGUGUCAGGUUUUGUGACCUUCGCUUGGUUGCUUGGUUGCUUCAGUCACUAGUGAGGAUAAGUACGUAAAUGAAUAGAGACAGAGAAGCAAACACAGGAUGUACGUGGUUCACCCAGAUUGGCUACGUCCACGGAGUAGAGGAGUUCUUAUUAGUAGUGAAGGGCUUACACAAGUAGAAAGGAUCAAGCUCUCAAUUUAGUGAGUUCUUGUGAAUGAUUUAACACAAAAUGGCAUUAGGCAAUAUUGUGGGGGAAUGACCCCUAUUUAUAGAAAAACUUGUAGCUUUGUCACAUUGACAUGUGUCAUGUUGUGAUUGGUUCUUGAUGUCGACACGUGCUGCGCUCUGAUUGGCUUCUAAUCUUGACACGUGUCGAGUAGUGAUUGGCCUCCUGGUCGGAGGGGAACUCUUCUGGGUCCUUGACAGUAUAGCGUUGGCCGGUGCUCGGUAGUUUCGGGAUUGGUCAAGUAUGGUACAAACAAAUUCCUUGCUAAUUUAUUGGGUGCUAAGUAUUAUUGGAUCGAGAACAUGAUUUGUGUUAGUUUUACAUAUAUAAAAUAAAUGGGUAAACGGUUACCCGUUUAUAACCGUGGUUAAUACUCAUAACCGUCCAUUUAAGUUUCGUGAGUAAACGGUUAUACCCAUAAUUGUUUAUUUAUGUAAACGGUUACCCAUAACCAUAACCGUUUAAUUUAAAUAGGCGGAUAACCGCGGUUACCCAUAACCAAUGGGUAUUUGCUCAUCCCUAGUCUUGACCUGCAACACCUCCUCCGGCGACGCGCUGUCGACCACGGGCAGUGCAGCCCAUGACUGUCCGAAGACAAAAAGAUGAAGAUAUGUUGUGUGUUGAGCUAUGGGAAGCUCUCAGUAGAGACUUGCGUACUCCUUUCACAUAACACAAAGUUUUCAUCAAAAUAUGCAGUCCAAGCUCUUGUCUAUCAGCAAUCCAAGCUCAAAAGGUUACUCCACACAACCAACAAUCCCAAGUCCUACACCGACUCCCCUUAUAGCGCCAUAACUGAGGCCGAAAAUAGAGAAUUGAGGAAAGAUGAUGCCAAUGUACAACUUGUGCUUUAUGCUGGGAAAAUCGAUCUCUCAAAUGACAAUGAGAAGCUCAGAGCACAUCUGCAAGGCAUGCAGUGCAGGGUCAUGGAAUUGGAAAAACGUUGCAAGAAAAUGAAAUCUCAAAUGGCGAAGUUUUCGAAAUCGAAAACACCAAGCCACACCCGGGCGAUGCAGCCCAUGACCCGGUUCGAAGCAACCCGACCCAAGACAUCAAACGGCUAGAGGAGAGCCGCGUAGUGCAACAGGCGUUUAACUUUGUUGAUUGGUUGAGGUAGAGAUUGGAACUCGGAUAUCAAAGUUUGGAGUUUUAAGGGGACGAGCUCGGCGGUUUUGGAGGAGGGGGAGAGGGUGAGGGCGGAGCAGGAGAAGAUGGAGGCGGAGCCAGGGUUUUGGGGAGGCGGCGACGGGUGCUUUAAUGGGUUGGGAUUGGAAGACAGUAGCGUUUGGAUGCAUUUGAGGGAUUUGAAGGGUGUGGGCUGGGGAGUGGCCGGAAAGUGGUAUUUUCUCUGUCAAGCCUAACGGAGGAAUGACAAAAGAGCAUAAAUCCUAAUAGACUUAGACCACAAGGGUUUAAAUCCAAAUUUUUUUACCACAGGGGCUAUCUUCCGAAUACCUUAUGACCACGUGGACCAUUUAUCCGAUUAGGUCUUAUUUUUAUUUUCAACAUAUCUCUUCACGUGUGGUAAAUUUUCAAGCCUAGUAUGUAGAGCACGUGCAACCGUUGGACUUCACACAACAACUUGUUCUGAUACCUUGAAGAAAGUUAAGAUUUCACCAUAAAACCCUGACUUAUAAGUCCAUGCAAAGUCCCUCCUAUCUAUGUGAGAUCCAUUCUCAAUAAAAAUAAAUUACUAGCACUAUAGUAUAGGAUGUUGGCAGGUUGGGCUGGGGACAUGUAGAUGGGUCCAAGAAGGGCUGCAGGCCUUCUCAGGAGUUGGGCUAGGCUGCGUGUCACGCCCCGGACCCGGGGUCAAUAGGAAAAAUAACUCUGAAUCCGAAACGUGAGAUAAAAGCUAACUAAUUAAAAUAAAACUGAAAUAACGGAGUGAAAAAUAAAAUUCUUCUUAUUUAAAAUAACUCAAUAAUUAUUUACAAGGCUAAAUAAAUAAAUACAAAAUUAUAUCCUCACACUUAAUCUGAUCUCAUCCUGUCUACCCUUUUUUUUACUAUUUAGUUCUUAAACCUGCAUAACAAUAGAGGGGUGAGCUUCAACAGCUCAAUAGGGACAUAACUUUAUCACAAUAAAUUGAAAAUAUUAAAUUAAGUGUCAUAAAAUCAUGUAAUCAAGUACCAAAUCAUUAUCAUCAACAAUGCAUGAGUGCGAUACAAUACUCUUCAUCUCUACCCGUUAAUUCAUAUAAUAAAACACGCGGACCUGCACAUCGCAUACCAUGCAUUUUACCUCUACAGUAGUGGUUCGAAUGUUCUAAUAUACAAAUUAACCCCCUGUAACUCAAUCAUCCCAAUUUCCCUUUUUGUUAGUCAUAUUGCCAAAACCUUCGUCGCCAGUCCCGAAUUACCCUUAAAGAAUUUGUGUAUUGUGGGCUCGCCUGAGACCUAGUACCUGCUAAGAGUUUGGCUAAACUACACAAAGGAUCAUUUCCAACUACCCUCAUUUCCAGUUCCUUUCUCAACAUCGAACUUCCAACUAUUCUCAUACAUGAGUAAUGCACAAAUAAUCUCAUUUCAUCAUUCACAUGUACCACAACAUAUUCUCAGCGAAUAGCAUUUCACCAAUAAUUCUAUAACCAAUAACAAAUAAACACACAAGAGCAGUAUUUGUCCAAUUAGUAAACCAGAUCACAUUAAUCAACCAACAAGAUCAAUAACAAUAAUAAUAUAAUGUUUCACGAAAUUUAAUAAAGCCAGUCUCCGUAAAGGUCUGCCAUAUUUCCCCUACCUGGAUUCCAAAGCAUAGCUCCGAGAUAAUAACACAAAGAAGUAUAAGAAAAUCACUAUAUGCAAGACAAGAACUUUAAUCCCAGUCAAAGCACUUGAGAUUACUAACUUAACAACACCCAUUUCAAAUACCCUUUUGAUUGAUCUAAAAUAAUGACAUGGUCAUAAGAGAACAUUUGAAUGAGUACAACUUGCAGAAAAAGGGACAGGUGAAAUACAAAUAUAAAUAUGCAUGCUGUCUUCUUGGUGUAUAAGCUGGGAACAUAACUUUAGCCAAUAAUUAAAUAAAGUCUUACAUAUGAUUAAUGAAUAAGUAAACUAAACCACAUAUAUAAGCAAAUUACCAAAUGUAUGACAUGAACUCUAAUCCUAAUUAACAUAUUUAAGUUUAGCGAUUCCGCAAUACUAAUUCACAAGUUAUUAUAUAUACAUCAACUCCAAACACAUGCUUUACUUGAUACAGUUGAAACUAUACCUAUGAACAUAUGCGGAUAGUUCCAUGCCGAGAAAGCUAGCUUGGUUUACUCUGGCUUGUGCAAAGUUAUAUGCAUGAAUACCAGCAUAUACGUAAAUAGUUUCUCUCAAAACCAAUAAGAAAGAUAUAUGUGCGAAUUAAUAUGCUCAAGUCCUCUUUUAUACAACAACCUCUAAUAAAGGGAAGAUAUAAUAUUUAGCAUGUGAUAAUUAUAUAUAGGCUCAAUCUUAUCACUUUUGUGUAGGUAAGAUGAUCUCCAAUUGUAAAGUCUGAUAGCCAAACGUCUAUGCAGAUAUACUUACAUAUAUACUACAAACCAACAGAGAUGAAACACGACUGAGUUGUACAAUAUAUAGAGCUAUGGAAAGACUAAAAAAUAUGAGAAUCAUUACCCAUAUUUACCCUGCUACAGAUUUGACACCGCCGAUUAAGAAGCACCUCAGCUUCCGGUUUCUUACACCCUUCUCUUUCUCUCACUCUCUUUUCCUCGUAAGAUACUAAUGUCCAAAACGAAAUGCAAGUGUAGCUCCCUAUUUAUAGUCAGAGAAGGCAGCAACUUCUUAGAGUGCUGAACAAGCACUUAGAGCACCUUGCUGGCAACACCCCAGCCACCCUUAUCCAUAUAUUUCUUUGGCCAUCUAUAAACUUCACACGUCCAGCUUGAAAGAGUGCUUAGCAAGCACCACUAAUGGCUGCCUUAGAAAUUGAGACACCUCAUAAGACAAAUAAAAUAUAAACUAGUAAAAAGAAUAUAAACCAUUACAAAAUUAAAAUGAAUAAUUUAAAAAUAUAGUUUUUAAGUCAAAUAAUACUGAAAAAGUCUAUUAGACUUAUUUGAUCAAAAUAAAUAUUUUUUUUAUAUAAAUAUAAAAUACAGGUCUUCACAACCUUCAAUUCCUUAGUUUCUGGUAAGAGUGUGCUAAUAACGUGUUGUAGGCAUAUUUGACUGAACUAUAUUUAGGACUAGAAAAGGGAGAGAGGCCGGUGGCAAGAAAGAGAGAAGAGAAAAAUUUAAUUGUGAGGUGUGUGUUGUAUCACCACAUUGUGCCUUUAUUUAUAGCAAUAUGAUAGAUUAAAUCCUUACCCUAAUAGGAUUACAACUAUAAUAGGAUAAUAACUACUAAAGGGAAUAUUCAGAGGUAUCACUAAAUACACUAGGAUUUACACAACACAUUCCUAUUCUAAAUAUGAUUGCAAUAUUAUUCAAUUUUUUUUAACAAACAAUAUUAUCUACACUAAGAGGGAGCAUGUGGGCUUAGCCUCAUAAUGGGCUAGCAAUAAUGUGGUUCAAAAUCGUUUUUAGUGAGAAUCGAACCUAAGAUGUCUAAUUUACAAGUGAAGAGGAAUACCACUAGACCGUAGUACUAAGUGACGUUAUUCAAAAUUUAAAAUAGAAUUCUCAGUCAAGUAUUGAAUUGUCCUUAUGAAAAAGAUUCGCGAUUGUAUUUUUUUUCUUUUCAUUAGAAAACAAAAUUAGGGGAAGGGAGGUUAUUCCAUUCCAAGACUAGAGCGUAUCACAAGAUUUUUUAAGGAUUCACAGAGGGGGCUUCAGUCUUUUUUUUAUUUAUUUAUAAAUUAUAUAGAUUUCACGCAAGAGGGAUUGUCGGCAACAGGACUCGAACCUAAGUCUUGAUCUAUUAAAGAAAAAUAUCUUUAUCAACUCAAAUAAUUCUGAAUAAAAUUUGUGUUUAUAUCUUACAUUUGAUAACUAUUUCAAUUUUUCGUUUCAUGUGCAAGUGAAAUUUCACUUGGUGGUCAAAUUGUGAAUUCGAGGUCAUAAUGAAUGGGCAAGUGAUAAAUAGCAUGUAGCAUGUUGAUAAAAAACAAAUCGAAGGUAUGAUGAAUUUUUGGUUGGCAAACGAAAAUUAAAAUUGAAAUUGGUUUUACACAGAUUUCAAAGAUUGCAUUGAUUUUGAAAUUGAGAAAUGUUAAGGAGAGUUUCUCGAACUCUCCGUCACCUUAUGUUUUUAAUUGGGUUCUUUAGAAAAUGGCCCUUGAAACUCUUAUUUUCCAAACAAAAACCCACCUAAUAUUAAAUAUCCAAAUAAAACCCAAAUUUCAAAUAGAGUACCAUGUAGACAAAUAUGUAACCAAUUAUUAUCACAUAUUUACAACUUAUGCCACAAAACCCUAAUUAUGUCAAUAAAUAUUAUUACUUACCCUAAUUAUGAUUAGUAAUUAACCCCAUAUGGAAAAUUUCACCUUUCUUGUAUGGUAAAUAUUAGGAAUAUUAUAAUAUAUAUAUAUAUAUAUAUAUAUAUAUAUAUAUUAUAUGUAUUAAUUUAACCAUGUUCAUAAACAAUUAUGGGCACAUUUUUCAUAUGAAAAAAAAAAUCCUUGUACAAUCAGUUAUUUUGCAUCAAAUAAUAUUGUUGGAUAAAAAACAAUAAAAAACCAAUUAAUAUUCUUUUAUGUUGUAGGUAAAUUAUUUUACCUAGAUUAUUACAUACGUUAGGCAUAUUUUGUUUGUUAUCAUAUAUGCUUGUUAAAAAUAAUUUAUCUAUAUUUGUAUGUAAAAUAUAAGUAAAUUAAUUUUGAAUCAAAUAGCAUUUAUUUUGUAGGUAAAUUAAAAUAGUAGUUCCAUUAUUUUGGUAAAGUUAAACAGUGCCUAAAUUAUUUCGUAAGAAUUAAACCAAGACAAAUUAUCUCUACUAAAAUAAAACAGUAGAUAUUCGACAAAAAAUAAAUAAAAAAUAAAACAGUAGAUACAUUAUUUUCUUAUAAGAUUAAACAAUAGGUAAAUUAUAUUGUAGGUACAUUAUGUUUGUAAUAUAAAAAAAAGAAAUUGAAAUUUAUAAACAAAAAGUAGUAGAUAUAUUAUUUUUUAAUCAAAUUUCCUUUAUUUGUAGGUGAAUUAUUUCAUCAUAUAUUUUUCAUUUUAUGCAUUAUUAUAUAUAUUGGGCACAUUUUACUACUAAUAUAUAUGUGUGCAAUAAUUUACCUAUAUUAUUAUAUAAAAUAUAGAUAAAUUUAUUUUGAAAUCAAAUAACAUUUUUUAUAUUACAAACAUAAUGUACCUACAAUAUAAUUUACUGGAUAUCCGAUCCCGUCCUACACCUAUUAGGACUAUGAACCUAGUCCUUAGCUAUUAGGACUAUGAACCUAGUCCUUAGCUAUUAGGACUAUGAACCUAGUCCUUAGCUAAGCUGGAUUAAUUUCCUGGAUAUCCGAUCCCGUCGAGACUCCCCAUUGCACUAGGAUUCGUCUUAACCGCCCUAGGUUUGGACUCCCACGGGUUGACCGAUCCAUGGUCCUUUUGCCGCCCGGCCUCCUGGGCCGAGAGUGAUCCUACCCUCGGCCCAAACUAUUAUUUUGGGCCCAAACACAUCCAUACAUAACAAUUGGUGUGGUAUAUUCAUAUCACAACAUAAUGAACAGUAAGAACUAGCAUUCUUGAGACUAGAACUCGUAGGGAUAAAAAUAGAUUACGGAUAGAAUCAAAUUUGCGAAUACAAUCUCCUUAGAAAGAAAAUCAUGUCUCAUAUUAGCCUGCUUUGGUUUCCUUGCGAAACUUUUGUUAUCGGGCUAGCAUACACUCUAUAUGUUUCUAGUGAUUCACAUGAUAUUAUCAAAUGAAAGUCUUGGAUAAGAAUUUAUAACGCACUAUGACGUUCUUGUUGACGAUCCUUUACUCCGAUAGCAUCUAGAGUUCAUCUCUUUGAAAUUGCUUUCGUUUUUCAAAAACCAACGGGGAAAUUCAGUUUUCAAAUCAUAAUUGUCACAAAAAUAAAUGUUUUCGUUCAGGAUUGUGGGUGACUUGUAAUACCAAAUCAUGUUAUGUGCCAGCGUAGAGUUUUACGUGGAGGUAAAACUAUAGUCCCAAUAUAUUUUCAUAUAGCUUUUAUUAAAGAACGAGAUCCACGUGACUUUUGGCAUCACCUAUUCUUCCUAGUCCCUAAAUUAUAGACCAUUAUUUAUUUAUGAUUGUGACAGUUUGUCACGAAUCAUUACGCUCGUACAAGGUUCUUACUCUCAUUAUUAAUGAGAGACUUAUUUUCUACACAUCUUUUUAUAUGUGGUGAAUUUUCAAGCUUAGUACGUAGAGCACGUGUAGCUUUUAGAAUUCACAUGACAACUUGCUCUAAUACUAUGAAAAAAGUUGAGGUUCCACCAUAAAAUCUAUUGGUAUAGAGAGUAUGCCAACUUACUUAUAAAUUCAUGCAAAGUCUCUCCUAUCAAUAUGAGAUUUAUUCUUAAUAAGAAUAAAACACUAGCACUACGGUGUAUUGAUAUUGUUCUGCAACUUGUAAGUGAUGAGUCUCAUAUUCAACUUCUACAAAUGAUGAAUCUAAUAUCUUAUUCUUGUGGCUAGUAGUGCGCGUCUUAUCUCAAUUCUCACACUAGCACUAUAGUCAGGUGAAGUUAUUCUCCAACUAUAUGUAAGGUGAACUUUAACUCUUAUAAACUAUAAAUUCAAAGGAAAAUUAAUGAAAAUGCUUGAAAACUUAUAGUUUUAACGAUAAGGAUAAAAUAAAUGGUAAAAUGAAUAGUACUAUGAUUGAUUUUUAAGUAUAAUAAUAUAAUUUUUUAUUAAAGUAAACAAUACCAAGAACUUUUCGAUAAAGUUUUCUAAAUUCAAUACCUAAUUACUAUGAUUAGUUAGCGUGCGACUUAGAACAUCCUUCUAGAGAAAAAGUAGAUAAUAAAAUUUUCUCCAGCAAACUUAUUCAAACUCUCUGACCCCAUCUUAUUUGCUUCACCAACUUAAAAAACCUGACUUAAUUAUUAGGCACAAUGUAUCAACUGACCAAUCGUCCACUUGUUGCGUAAGAACAAAACCACCAAUAUCAGUUUGUCAACCGUUUGGAUUUGAGAAUCAAAUUAGUAUUUAAUUAAUGAAGUAAUUAAGUUUACAAUAGUACCUGCAUAAUCCUAAAUCCUUGCGUACACUUCCGGAUUACAAUGUAUUAGUUCGUUCAGAUCAUAUUCUUAUAGGAGUCCUGGGUUGAUAUGUAAUUUAAUUUCUAAUUUACUCAAAAGGAACGAGUAAGAUGUGAUGUAGAAUAGAAGGUUGAGAGAAUCGAAGAACAAUUAAAAAUGCGUAAGGCCCAAACACUACAAAUUUAGACUUCAAAUUUUUAUUUGUGCCCAUAAUCUAUCGUUUCAAAGACAAUGGCGAGGUGAACAAGACACAAUGCUCGACGUAUGAAUAUUUUUGGCCAAAUUCCUUUGUUUACUAGCCUCAAACGAGAUUUUACAAUUUUUUGGACCCUUAUGUAAUUUGGUUUUCCCAUUUUUACUCUAAGAGCAACUUCACCGCUAAACAAACCCUAGGCAAUAGGCAACUCAAUCUCCCAAAGUGAACAACAACUGUCCUUAGUGAACCGUAACUGUCCAAGUGUAUCUCCACUCCUAAAUUGAAUAGCCCAGGCUAUUGGAAUUAAAAUAUUUGUUUAUAAAAUAAUAAAAGAUAAUUUUGUUUUUAAUUUUGGACGUUUAACCAAAUCUCGGUGGAAGAGCAAUGUUAGGUAUUUAUAGAACUAUAAAUUUUUUUGUUAACCUUUUCAAUAUUUUUAAUAAAUUUUCUGUAUUUUUUUAAUAAUUUGUAUCUAACCUAAUUAAUAUGGACCAUUUGAUUACAUUGUAUGAUUAAUCCAAAAGCCCAAUUUAGACACGUAAUUUCAACGGUAAUAAUAGGAUUUUCUCUUUUUAAUUUUUUUUUAAGCUCGAAAAAUUUGGACCAAUAUCUAACAGACCAGAUUCCGCCACGUGGACAAGCCGUUAUUUCGAAUCCAAAUUUUUUUAACCAUAAGAAAUCCAAUGGCCGAGAAAUUUAACGGUUGAAAAUCCGACGGUAAAGGUGCCGUAGCCCCUAAUUCUAAAGCACUGGGUGCGCCUGCAGCGCGAGCCCGCCCGAUUUCUUGUCGGCUCACCCACCGAUUGUUGCACGUGUAGUUCGCGAGCCCAGCACAUAAAAAAAGAAGGCUAAUAUGGCUGACGUCACUCUAUCCAGUCGUUGGGCCUGGAGAUUGAUAUGGGCCGGAGUUGCUCUAAAAACGUUUUAAGGCUAAGGGGCACUUUAAAAGUAACAAAUUCAACAUGUGGAGGGUCAUCAUUGCAAAUGAUUGUUACUUGGCCACAAAUGAGGCUUUUGUACCAAAGUUUCAAACUCUAAAGAAAAUGGAAUGAAAUUGUUGCCACGUGGCACGUCACUAGCUAGGUGGUUCAUAAAACUAAAGUCACGGCAGGUAAUGGGAUAACGAUUAGAAAAUUGCCUUUUGAAAUUGUUGCCACGUGGCACGUCACUAGCUGGCUUGGUGGGUCGCCAUUGCCUUUUGAAAAUUGCGCAUAAGGAUUUCAGACUGGUGAAGAAUUUGGGCGCGUUUGCCGUUCGAAAUCCAGUUGAUUGAUGGAGAAGGAAGGAAUUGGAUUCCAUUCAAAUUUACUUUAUAUAGGAAUUUUAAGAAUCCUUACAUUUUAAUCAUUCAUCGUAUAUCGAGAAGAUUAGAAAAUAUUUUACUUUUUUAUUUAAAAUUCAGCAUAAAUAAUAUCUGAUAAAAAUUAACUGUACAAUGUACGAUAACCGUUAAAAUGUGGAGAUUUUAUUUUCGAGAAGGGAGGGCCCAACGCAACGCACGCUUACCCUGACAGCGCAAUAUUCCAAUUUCUUCCUCAACUGCCUCUCUUUUUUCCAUUUAUUUAUUUAUUUUAAAUUCAUAAUGUUCUCUUGCUGUCUCUACUAACGUAAGCCGCAUGGUUGGUUUUUGUAAUCUCACGAUAUUCUACUCCCAUUUCACCUAGUCUCGAGAAGAACUCACAUCUAUUAACGCAUGUGCGAGCGAUCGCCAGUAAUAUUUGCCGGUAACAUAUUGCCUUAACAAAAAUCUCCUCAAGUACGUUGGAAUUAGAAAUUAAGGCAGACUAAAAUGCACCGGUUCUAAUUAUUUUCGUAACAAAAAAACCGAUAAAUGAAAAACUAAUUUGUCUUAAAAUCUUGAUUAUCAUCUCACACGUUAUCGGUUCAUUUUAGAGAUGAAAAUGCUAUUUACUCUUCGAAAAAUAAUAAUUAAUUUUUUCGCUUAAUCGCAAAUAAAUAAAAUAAAAUAAAAUACACAUGUUUUUAGACAAACAAUGAAUACCAGACAGCGAUUCUCUCUCCUCUCAUCUCACUCUCUUGUUUCCAGUUUCCACGCCCAGUUUUCCAUCCUGUCACGAUUUCCCCAAAAUUCAUUUUUCUGCAAUUUUUUGCUGUUAUUAUUUUUGAGUAAAUAAAGUUUCGAUUUUUUACCCAAGGAGUAAGACCGUGGAGGAUUGCAGUUAGGGUUUCGUCGUUAAACCUCCUGCAAAUCUCGUUCGGAGGCGACAGAAGCUGUGGAGUGUUUCGGAAUCGUAGAAAGGGGGAAGGUUAGGUUUUCUUGCGGACUCGAUUUGGGAGGGGUUAGUCUCUGGCGACAAUGGCCAGCAACUUGCCGAUGAGCCCGCAGUUGGAGCAGAUCCAUGGCGAAAUCCACGACAAUUUUCGAGCCCUCGCGUAUGUCUCUGUAUUUUCGAGUUAGCAUUUCGAUUUUCAUCGGUUACUGAAUAAAUUUCAGAGCUUUGAUAUUUCUUCAAGUGUUUGAAUUUUAUGAGCAUUGUUGAUUGUGUGAAUUCGAUGAUUUCUGAGAGUCCUAGAAUGUUUGACAUUUGACGAAAGAAAUUAGAGGGAUGGGAAAAUCAAUUUGCUUGUUUUGUAAUUCGUUUGUGUAUUCUUACGAAAUUUAGUUAGAUUGAUGACCGUAAACUGUAGUUGAGCAUUAUUGAUUUACCGUAGAUUCAGUUGCUAAGGCGAUUCGAAGAGGAUAUGUGCUUCCUCAGCUGUUCCAAUAAUACUCAACCUCUUUUCGAUGUUUUCGGGAGUGUUGAGUAACAUUGUUUCUCUUUGGAAACUUAAAGUGGGUGUCUUUUGGAUAACACAAAUAAAUUUACUAGCUUUCAAGACUCGAGUUGCUCUAUCGAUUUUGCACAUUGAUGCAUAAAGCAUUGGCAUUGGUUAUGCGAGGGAACCAAAUACUGAAGUGAAAAAAUUUAUUUUGGCCAUGCUCUUGAUGAUUCAUUACUACUCCCGUGCUACCUAGAGGGCAAUAAUGUUAUUGCUUCCACAGCCGCUUAAAUUUUUUUUGGCAUCCAUACUUGAAACCCGAGGGCAGCAACAACCAUGAUAUACUAUCUGGAAACUGAUGGAUAAUGAGGGAGAUAUUAGUCAAAUAGUAGCCAUUGCUUAGUAUUUGUUCUUUAUUAGAGUCUCAUUUAGCUUCCACUUGUUUAGGUGGUUGCUGAAACCAGAUGCCAUUGUUGUAUCACAGUUCUUCACUGCCUCCGUCGGACCCAGUGUACUCUUUAUUAUCACUAACCAUCGUGAUUGUGCAGUGCAUUUUGUUAAUCUCUCAUGUUUGUGUCACCAACUGCACAUGAUACUUCUUGUUGUGCACCAUCUUACGUGUUAACUGUUUGUCUAUUUUUCUUCUACAAGGUGUAGUCACUUAAUGAAAGAACAAUUCAUCUCUUUGCGGACUAUUUCUUUGUUUCAUUUGUUGGGGGAAGUGCUGGGGUUGUUGCACUAGAUACAUGUAUUCCACUUUCCGUAUUAAACUGAUCACGUUAUAAUUAUUGUGAGUUCGUUUUUUGUUUCAGAAAUGGCUUCCAGAAGCUGGAUAAGAUCAAAGACUCCAAUAGACAAAGUAAACAGCUGGAGGAACUUACAGGAAAGAUGAGGGAAUGUAAAAGGUAUGCCACAUAUGGGAUUUUACUCUCUGACCCUUUGUCUGAUACUUUUAGUAACUGAGGAUCUUGGACAAUCUUAAUUUUCACAUUCUUUGAAGAGAGAAAAUAAGACAGACAAAAUGUUGUCACAACAUCCAAUGCAAUGUCCAAAAUUCAACAAUUCUUGCUCAAAGACUUCAUUAGGUUACUUUGGAAGUUUGAAGAAUUAGUAACUUAUUAACAAAGACAAAUUAGGUUGGAGCCAUAAAAGUUUCCUCAAGUAUAACUAGGAUCUUGAUGUGAGCGACUUUAAGUCAUGCUUAUAUACAAGCCCCACAUCCUGUUCCUGGACUCCCAUGCAUCUCUUCAUUUUUUAUUUUUUUGGGGGAUAUUGGAAGAAUUCAGGCGUGCGAUGAUUGCCGUUAUGCUACAUGAAAGAAAAAAAUAGCUAAAAAGGGAAAUAGAAUCUCAGUUAUUGAGGUAUUUUGUUUUAGAUAAAUUGCAGAGUAUGAUCUUGUAAAUACUUUGUUUCAGAUUAAUUAAAGAGUUUGAUCGUGAAGUCAAGGACGAGGAGAGCCGAAAUCCUCCUGACGUGAAUAAACAGCUUAAUGAUGAAAAGCAAUCUAUGGUAAGUUGUUGUGAGCUUUUGUCUUUUUCCAUCACAUAAAUGCACAGGUACACUGUACCACUUGCAUUUUUACAAACUCUGUGACUACUUUUGACCGGUCUAUUAGUGCACAAGACCUUUCCGGGUACACAAUAUCUAUUAGUUUCUGCUAGUGUAACAACUCCAUCUAAUUAUCAUGCUUCAUUUUGCAGAUCAAAGAGCUGAAUUCAUAUGUGCAAUUGAGAAAAACGUAAGUCCAGUAUGCAUUCUAUGUUAUUGUCAAUACUAUGGAGUCUAAUUGGUUUAGCAUGUUGCCUUCAGUCCUAAUAUUCAUGGGAUAAAUAAAUUAAUCGACAAACACAACAAAUUAUUGUAUAUUACAGUCCUUGAAUUCUAAACCCUGUCACUCUUCGUGCUCUGGGUAUCUGUGAUUUUUUAAAGUGAUUUUCAUACUGUAGCUGAACUGCAGGUAUAUGAAUAGCCUUGGUAACAAGAAAGUCGAACUCUUUGAUAUGGGAGCAGGAAUUAGUGAACCCACUGCUGAUGAGAAUGUUCAAAUGGCUUCAGGUAGUUUUGUCAUUCUGCAUAUCUUUGAGCUUAGUUUGAAUUUGUAGAAAUGAGCUUUUUCCUAUAUCUCUUUCAAGCUUUAGCCGUUAAUCAUGCUAUGUUAAUCAGCAUGCGGUCUUUUAAUGAUAGUACAAAGUAAAGGUGUAUCAAACUUUGUAAAGAUCAAUCUGCUUGGACCAUUCUAUCUAUGUCUUCUUGUUUUGUGCCUGAUUUGAUGAAAAGAUUUGUCUGACCACCUUUCUAAUUGGCAUGUAUUUCUGAUAGCUAUGUCAAAUCAAGAACUAAUCAAUUCUGGGAUGAAAACAAUGGAUGAGACUGAUCAGGUCAUUGAACGCUCUAAAAAGGUGAACAGCUAUCCCAGAAAAAAAAACCUUCAACUUUAAGUUUGAGUAUUUUAUUUUGCCGGCAAUUUUAACUCGAUAGUUUGUGAUAGGUUGUUGAGCAAACAGUUGAAGUGGGAACUCAAACUGCUGUUACCUUAAAGGGCCAAGUCAGUGUGUUCACCUAUUGUCUCUAUACCUCUCAUUUCAAGAGUUUAGACUAACAUUGUUCAACUCCAUAACUUGUAGACUGACCAAAUGGGCCACAUUGUAAAUGAGCUGGACACAAUUCAGUUUUCAAUUAGGAAGGCCUCUCAGCUUGUAAAGGAGAUUGGUAGACAGGUCAGUGAGAUCUCACCCCUUAGAUACUCUACUUGUAUAUUUUUCUAACAAACGCUAUUUUUUUCCUCUAUAUUUUCAGGUGGCAACAGAUAAAUGCAUCAUGCUUUUUCUUUUGCUUAUUGUAAUUGGUGUAAUAGCAAUUAUUGUUGUGAAGGUAUGCUGUUUGAUUCAUUUAUCUAUUGCCGUAGAUUUGCUACCCAUUUUACACAUUUUUUUUAAUACUCAGGAAGUCACACAUUUAAGUUACAGAGAUAUCUGCAGAGUUGUAUUAUAGGAACUUUUUCCGGAGGAAAUUUGUUGAUGAGUUUGGCAAGUUAUUUCUGACGGAUUGUGAACCCUGCUACCUAUUUUCCUCUCCCUGUUAAAUUGUUAGUAAUGCAUGGGAAAAUUGAUGCUUUCCUUCUCAGGAGUGUGUUCAAAUCCUCCUGGCAAAAAAUUCAAAGUUGAGAAAUGACUACAUCUGUUCCUAACUGUAAUGUCUGUUUAUAUUUCAGAUUGUGAACCCCAGCAAUAAAAACAUAAGGGAUAUCCCUGGAUUGGCGCCGCCUGCUGCAAGGAGGCUUUUGUCAACGAGUCUUCUGCAACAGUUCGAAUAGUUUCCUCCUCUUUUUCAGGAUUCAAUUUUUCCGACAUAGGUACUAUGAUUCAUGUUCUGGGGAUGCGGAGGAGGCUCAGAGGAAUACUUGUGCAUUGAUCGGUCUUUUCUUUUACUUAUACAUUAUUCUUGCCCGAGUUGUGCAUAUUGUUUGUGAUUCUCUAUGUAAAUCACGCGUGAGUCCUUUUUUUUUUGCUUUGGUUUGAAUGGCCAUCCACGGUUCUUUCUGUAAUCUUUCCAAGACUGUUUUAGUUAUAGAGAGAUGCACUUUGCUCUAUAUCUACCUGCGAUUUAGAUGUAUUGCCUUCCAAUAUGUAUUCACAUUGUUUUAUUCUAAUUUCUAGUGAAUAUCGAAGCGCCUUGUUGCAAGUUCUGUGCCAUUUUCUGCUCCGUCACAGGUUCACACAAUGUGGGAGGGCCUGCGUGUUUCGAGUUCCAGCAAUAAACGGUAAUUACAACAGUAAACGAGAUUGAAGUCCGUAUCGAGCUUCAUCAACAGCGCGGUAAGUAGCAGUUUAUCCAAAAAAAUAUAACUCGCAAUUGAGAAUCAAUUCGUAACAUCUGAGACUACUCAUGAAUCAGAGCUCAUGUUCUAACCACAAAACUCCAGCAACAGAAAAAAUACAGAGAACAGACAGACCGCCGCAUGAUAAACUUUGGGUUUCUCCAUUACUACCUGGACUACAUAUAACAAGGAGAAAUGCGUAAUUCGUCAAGGCUCUUGACAAAUUAAUGGUGAGCUUGUUCACCCGAUGACCAUGGGUCAUAAGCUACCAUCUACAAAAUUCAACCGGCAAAUCAUGCAUUCACUUCCUAAAACCGAAAGUAAUACAACGAACUGCCCCCGUGGUUCAGCGCUUUAAAGUCUGUUCCCUGGAAAGAAUUAAGGGUCUAGAGUUUGAAAAGAAUCUGCAUACUCCGUUUCUGGACUUUCCUUUUCCAAACAUCAAUCUACACGCGAGUUCGUGAAUCAUGCGGCAUAGUUGCCAGCCUGUGUUCGUCCAAUGUGAGACAACCUUGUUGAUUGAGUUAAGGGUGUUUCUUCAUCAACAUCAUCAGAGGCUGAACCAGCCCCUCCAGGGAUAAAAAUAUCAGAGGACUUUUUCUCCAUCUUCCAAUCCUGUAUUGGCCAGCACAGAGAACACGUGUUACAAAAAAAUUAUGGGAACUUUAAUGAAAAGCUCCAGAUACUGUUCACUUUAACGAAAAACACAUUUUAACACUAAAAAGUCAAUCAUAAUACUAUUCACUUUACCUUUUAUUUUGUCUUUAUCGGUUAAUACUCAAAGUUUUCAAACCUUUUUCAUUAGUUUUCCUUUUUAUAAGGGGAUCAAGGACUCCAAACAUUUUACCGGAAAUCAAAUUCUAGAGAAAGCAAACCUUCGAAAUUCUCUCAGGAAUGCUUUCAGAAGGUAGCUGAGAUGCACGAACAUCCUUGACCUUUAUGUAAUUGUACAUGACAACACCACACAGCUGCAGGCCAAAUUGACUGGUCAGCCAAAACUUCACAUUUAAACAUGUAUAAAAUGCAGUUGUAACUUCGAAACUUUCAAGUUAAGAUAUAUGGAGAGCUACCUAUGGCAUAACCGAUUAUGUUCAGCCUGGUUAUAAUAGACUCUGGAAAUAUAACAGUUGAAAGGGCAAUCAAUAUCCAGUCUUUCAGAACACCAGCAACCCGGAUGGUAACUGCUCCAGUUCUACCAAUUACUAAGAAUAUGGAGAAGUUCAAAGCCAAAGCACAAAGAGCAUUGGAGAAAAAGAUCCAGAAGUUGAACUGAAACUGUGAAUAUUCUAUUGCAGACUUCUCAAGUAACAACCAAGGCACAAACAGGAAGACAAAACUGCAAAAAUAAAUGAAACAAUAAUGGUGAGAUGCUGAAGCUAUGGCAUGCCUGUCAAUAGUUUACACUUAAUUUUGAUUUUCCUGUUUCUACUUCCACAAGCAUCAAUGGAAAAAGUCAAUUGAGUACAGAACCGUGUUUAAAUCACAUGCAUCCAUCAAUAAGGAGAUGUAGAACUUCAUCAGAAUAAGGGUGUAAACAGAAGGAAUGGAGAUUUCCCAUGGUACAGAUGGAUCGUUCUUAUACUGAUAGUAAGCUUACCAAAAUUGUGAAUCCCAGCCAUAUACCAUAAGUUACAGAUUCAGAAACUCAAAAUUACGAGAAAUAGUAAGUUAAAGAAUAAUUGGCGUUCACUAUCAGAACUAAAUUCUAGAAAUGAGUCACUAUUCUCUAUCAAGAUUGUUACGGAUGCCAAAGAACUAAUAUGCUACUUAUUCAUACUUUGCAAUUGGAAAAAGUAGAGUUCAUAUAUUGCGAUUGGAAAAAAUAGUGUUUGCCUAAAUUCCAACUCCUAUGAUGCAUACAAGUCCAAGCAUGAUAGUAUAAUACCUGCAUGGGGCGAUAUAGUACAAACUGGUGAUUGGAUUUAGAGUCAAGCCCUUCUUCUGUAGAAGGACUUGUGUUAAGACCAGUCUAAGAGCUUCUGCAAAGAUGCCCGUAACCUGGUACACUGUACCAACUACAUUAAAAUGAAUCUCCCCGUAUGAGGAAAUGACAACUCCAACACUGACCAGCAACAUGUUUGUGAACACAUCGCACCUUGGUUUGUCAGUGCCACACAAUACAGCCAUGAUAAAAGUAGCCACUGGCACUGCAGUAUUGAAUGUACAUAGAUAUAAGCAGUCAUUUGCGUUUAAAAGCAUCAUUAUUGUAGUAAAAUAGAUAUCAUGAGUCUCUGCAUCAGCACACAUACUUAGAGCUUUAAGCAUUUGGAUGAACGCCACUGAAAUAUGCAAGUAAGCAGUGUUUCCAAACCUGUAAUGACAGAAAAAGAAAAGUUCAAAACAAAAAAACUUGAAUUCUCGUCUUGAAUCUUGAUAAGUGCAAUUUACAACAAUGCAAAACUUGACAAGCAUACAAUUCCUAAAUGUGGGCAUUGCAUUUGAGCCCAAAUCUGGACAACUCAACCAACAAGGGACACCAAUUCUUGAAGGAAGUUCGGACAUUCUACAUCAGGGAAUCUAAGCAUAAGUCCAUUGUUUACCACAAAAUGAGAAAUUGUAAGAGAACAGAUUGGCACAAGUAACAUUAAGUCUCUACGCAUUUUAGUAUUUUCAUCGUUGAGAGGCAUGAGCCUAGUUACAGUCAAAUCUGAAAAUUUUGACCGUAACCUUUACAUAAAAAUAUGACAAUAACCAUCUCAGCCAAAACAAUCCAUGCCCUUAUUAGUUGCAUUAUUAGCCAAAACACCCAAUUACAUUUCAAUUCAGUGCUUACCAAAGACUUGAUGCAAAGAACGCACUGAUUGGAAUUACACAUGUUGCAUAUCUGCCAUAUAAAGGGAAAAAAAAAAUAAGAAAAACAAUUUGGACAAAAAAAAUUAAUAACAAGUCGGAGCCUAAAUUCAGCCUACAUACUUACAUUUCAAAUGUCAUUUUGACAGGAGCUACAACCUGCAAAUUCACAGAGGAAUAAAUAAGGAGAACAAAAGCAAUAAAUGAAUACAACAAAAACAAAAAUAUGGAGUAGUGACACAUGCAUAACAGAAAACUGAUACUUGCAUAAGAUGCAGCCAAAAAAAAAAAAAAGGAAAGAAACUAGAGCACACCGUGUGUACCCUAACUCUGCACAAUUGAUGACAAACUAUAAAUUUUGAAAUUCAAUAAAAUUUCAAAAUUGGCUUCUAUAGCUCCAGUUAAAUCCUAUUUCACUCUGGCCAUAUAGGACAUCAGUUACAUGCCUUGUCCCGCUAUAGACUAACCUAACCCACUAUCUUUUUGGCAGUCUCCCUUCUCAUUCAGAGUUGGGUAGCAUCAGUUUCGAAAUCAUUCAUGUAUUAACUACUGAUAAGAGCAAAUUCAGGAAAAGCAGAGAAGGUAAGAAUCCUAAUGGACACAAACAGCAGACAUCAACUCAACCAAGAUCUCAAGGUAAUCAAAGUGAUGUGAAUCACAGAUGAGUUCCAGUCAGAUAAAGUUAAUAGCGAGGAUUAAUAUGUCAGGGAAAUUAUAUGAUAUCACUUCGAUUGUCAACUAAACGAAAAUCCACUACCUGUCAAUACGUUAAACUGGCUUGACAGAGAUAUCAACACCUAUGUCAAAAGUAAUUUGGAGAUACAAAAAGCAUAUCCAAAAAUAAAGAGUCAGUCAUACCUUGAAAACACGAACAAGUAAAAAUGCUACUAGUCCAGAAAAUCCCAUAUGAAUCAUUGUAAGUGAUGGGUAAUGGAAAAUUGAAGUAUUUUGGAGACAGAACCCACUGCAAGGAAAUUCACCCAGAAAAUCUUCAGUAAAACAAGGAGGAAAAUAAUAGCUCAGAGUUUCAGUUUAACCAAUAAAGACUAUCGGUAACCCGCAAUAUAGAUAUAAACAUGCAAAUCAGUAAUGGCAAGAUAUAAAAAUGAAGUACUGAGGAGGAAGGACCUUGUUGUACAAUAUAACGCCGGACGAAAGCAGAAUGUAGAUGAACAGGUAAAAAUAAGUCAGCAACAGCGGUUUGCUGAUCAUCUUGGGCAUUUUUUCUUUUAUCAAACGACCUAAUGUAUGAUUUUCUGGCCUUUAAACCAUCUUAUUCAACAUUUUUCACUCCGCAAAUGUUAUGCAGUCCUAAACCCAGAACCGGAAGAGGACCUCCUCGUGCCCUCAAUCACAGAUUUGUGUGAGGAUCAAAUAUUGCAAUGGCUGCACCGACUCGAAUGCUUAAAUCCUGAAAGUGAAGGCACAAAUGAGAGAAACAUACUACAGUACCAUACACCUUAACCAAACAACAAGGAAAGCAUCAAACAUUUGUUUAUUAAAAUAGUAGGAAAUGGUACAAAAAUUAAAAGUGGAAGCUGCAGAGAAAUUGGGGAAAUGGGCAAGCACAGAAUCUGAUCCAAGACACUUAGCAACAAGCAUUCAACAAAGAAUCACGCCAUGGUUUCUUCAAGAACUAACAAAACCAACAUUUCGCAAUUGGAAACCGAAAAGGGCAGAUCUAAAAGGGACCCAAAACAACAAAGCGAGAGAAGCCCAAUUCAGAUUCUGAUCCAAAACACAAAACCCAUGUCGAAUUCAAGACGAACGAGCUUACCCAACAGUCGAAAUCAACUGGAACUCGCUUCGAAUCUGAAAAACCCCCGCUUAAUUUCAGAGAUCUACCCACUUGGGAAAGAAGACAAAGCGACACGGAGUAAAGGAGAAAGAGAGGGAGAGAGGGAGAGAGAAAUGGGAUCAAGGACUGGGAAAUGGUUGGUGACAGUGGGUGGGCAAAUGAGUACAAUAAAUAAGGCUGGGAAAGCUAAGAGAGGGAAGAAAGUGGGGUUAUCGAUGAAUCACAGAGAGAGAGCACGUGGGGUAGCCUGAAUCAGAAGAAAGAAGGGAAAUUUACGACUAGCAACAAGCAAACCAGCAAAGAGAGCAAGAAAGAAAGGGGCCCGCUCGCCUUGCCCUCCUUCUCCUACCUAGUGAGAGAGAGAGAGAGAGAGAGAGAGAGAGAGAGAGAAUGCAAGACCAAGCGUUAUCUGGGCCUUCCUCUCACUGUCUGAUUGCGACUUACUGGCUUUGUUUGCCACAGAAAGAGGAGAGCGAAGAAUAAUAAGCGUUUUUCUAUAAAUCCCGCGUUUUUGUUCUCUCUCUCUCUCUCUCUCUCUCUCUCUCUCUCUCUACUAUUUUACCGGACGGUUUUGUUUUAUUACGUGUUGUUGAUUAUGACUUUCAUAAAACAAUUUCACUAUUAGCGUCACGUUUUGGUUUAAUAAUGUGUAAAUUUCUCUCUGCACGUUAUUGGGUUGUUGAAACGAGAUUGAAUCUUUGGUUUAAUAAUGUAUAAAUUUCUCUCUGCACGUUAUUAGGUUGUUGAAACGAGAUUGAAUCUUUCAGUAAAUCUGUUGCUUUCAUUCUUAAGACUUCUCUUUGGUCAGUCACUCACUCAUUUUCUAACUGAGUAUGCAUGUCGAAUUGUCAAUCUCAUAAUCAAAGACUAAACAUCACUGCAAUUGCGUAGAGUUGUGCACUGUACGAUAUAGUGCGCCGUCAAGGUUCCUUCAAUGAACGGUCGCUCAUGCAUAGCGGGUAAGUGAUUCUUUAUCGUAGACGUACGUGAAUUUUACAAUAAAUUCCAUAUGCAUUAGCAGUUACGUACACCCACUAACGACUGACUAGCAUUAUCAUUCUUCCCAAACCGUACAAUUGAUGGAAAGAUUAACCUUCCUAGUUGUUGUGCACGAAAUAAUACCACGUGUUUUAUAAAGGAAGUGUCGCAAGUUGGACGUAGGGACACAUAUUACACGAUGGUUAAAAGCUGGUAUGAGCCAAAAAAAACAUUUCAUUUACUUGUCACUUUAGUACUAGGAUAGAAGCAUAGAGCCAUUUCAAAUCGACCUGGAUUGUCGGCCCUCUCCUAUCUCAUCUUAUUCUAUUUAUGUGGUCACGAUUAAGCCACGUUAAUAUUUUAUAUUGAUUUUUUUUAUAGAAAUAAUAAGACAAAAAACAAUGAGAAUAUAAAAUGUUGACGUGGUUUAACCGUGACCACAGAAAUAGGAAGGGAUGAGAAAGGUAUGGGAUGAUGAGGGCUGACAAUCCAGAUCCAUUUCUGAUACCCGAAAGGUUAUGGGUGCCUCCAAAGUUGUCAGGCUGGAAUGGCUAGAACCUAGAGAGGUUCCCCUUUAUAAUAUAUAUUGGAGUUUGGAGUCUUUUGACCUUCCUAAUAGUGGUUAGUGUAUAUUUUGGCUUUGCCCUAGCUGUAUAUGAAUUCUGAUGUAAUGACAUUCUAACCACAACAAACUCAAUUAGUAGUUUUUAUCAGAAAAAAAAAAAAAAAAAACUCAAUUAGUCAAGCUAUAAUCUAAAUAUUUUAUGGUGCUCCAUAGUAUAUUUAAUUUCACAGAGUACUCUAGAGUUGAUCAUUGUGAUUCUCCAUAACUUUUCAACAAAUUGAAUUGAUUUAGUCGGCAAAAACUUGAGUGUAAUUGGGAAUAUAUUUUGAUCAAGGAGUAUUUUGUAUGAUCAAUUUUCAUGUAAUGAUCGGGUGCAAAAUACAAUUUUCUUAGCUAGGUAUGGGAUGAUAAUUGACAUUAGUAUAUUGUUGUGAGUAUUGUUGGAUAUAUGUCAACAAUCCGUAAUAAAAUAAAUAUGCUAAUAAUAAAUACGAAUAAAUGUAUUCCAGAGACUCAACAAGAUGAAAUAUUAAUUAAGCAGAGUAAUAAAAGAUUGAGGCUUGCGUACCGUAAUGUCCUUGAAACAAAAAUUUCGCCCCUACUCAGUGCUUGUAGUUCUACGGACGUCUGCUUCACCAGGAUUCAAUGAUCUAAGUCAGAAAUUCCAGCACCGGAAAAUUGACUUCUGGCGAAUAUUAAUGUGGUUCUCUCAUAAAGGAUGUUUAUGAUUGCAGGAGAAGAUUUAUGAUUUUUUUUUUUUUUUGUAUUCUAAAUGUCAUGCAGAUGAAUGUAUAUAUAUCAGAUAGAUGCAUGUUUGCAACAGGUAUGAGAAUGGGGUGUGACUGUUGGGAGACAUCUCUUCAGAGGGGUGCUUUACUCUGUGUUCAGAAAGAACUCUCAGACUUCAUCUGAAAGGAUGAAUCUUUUCAUAAAAAAUAAAUAAAUAAUUAAAUUCAAAUUUAAUUAAAAAUAAUUAAGUAAAUCCAAAAAAUAAUUAAUUAAAUAAUUUAAUUAUUAGAGCCCAAGAGCCCCACCCAUCUUUUGACAAUUAAAUAUAUAUUAUUUAUAAUUAAUUAUAUAUUAAUUACCAAUUAAUUAGUACACCCCAAAGCCCAACCCCAAGGAUGAGCCCAAUUUUAGUCUCCAUGCCUAUUACUCCAAUCACUUUCUCUAAAGGACGAAGCCUUAUAAAGUGAUAAAAUCUUUUGGGAAUGGCCAAUGUGGGACAAAGAAAUUUAUACUCAAACUACUCAAAUUUCCAACAAGUAUGAAUUCUAUAUUUGAAAAGAGAAGUUUUGCUUACUGAUUUAAAUAAUCCUAAGAGACUCUCUUGUACUGCCAAUUGAUUUUAGGUUGGAAGAAAAGGAAAGUCUUGCCUACUUAUUUAAGUAAUUAUAAGCCUGUCUCUCCUGAUUUGAAAAGAGAAGUCUUGCCUAUUGAAUGACUAAAUGACGUUAGUUUUAAUUGAUUUUUUGUAGAGAACAUAUUUACAUAAUGAUUUAUAAUAUAAACAUUUCUUAUUAUAAACACAAAGUUCUAUAAAUCGAUCUCACAUUAGUUGGUCAAGUGUAAUGUGACAAUAAUUAACAAGGCUCGCAGCAUGAAUGAGUCAAAAUCAAAUUCGAUGGCUCAAUGAAAGUAAUGCAAUUGAUAUUUGAUAUUCCUGCCAAAAACUCUUGCAAUUUGUAUUAUGAGGGGUCUUUUUUCAUGAAUAUUCAUGGACAAAGACAAGAUGAUGGAAUAUAUACAUCUAACUUUCUAUUCACUAAUGGGAUUCAAGCGUCUGUAUAGACAUUUUAGAUGUAGCUGUUGAAAUCCCUCGAGCAAUGCGUGCAGUUUGAUAAAUUUUCAUCAACAAAUUAAUGGUCAGAAAGUGGAUGGGACUAGAGAAAUUUAGAAUAUAGGGUUUGGACCACGACUGAAAACAAAUUAAAUUAACAUCACACAUCACAAUUAAUUGGAAUCAUCGGACAGGCCAACUACUCUAAUACAGCUGCAUAAUUACUAUUUUUAAUCAUUUUUAGGUCACAUUAUUUCUCUAAUCCCAUCCCAAAAGCCUUCUUAUGGAGAUAUCUUAAUAAACGCUACAAGAAGAAGCACCAUUUUUGGCUUCUAACCUGAAUUCGAUACAAUUAAUAGGAUAUGAAAUGACAUUUGACUUGAUCUGUUUACGUGUCUAGUUGAAUGAUGGUGUAUAUAGUUCUUGGCAUAUGAUAGAGAGGGAAUCCCAAAGUGUACAUGAUGUCGUCGAAUAUAAUGUAAAUACUCUUAACCACUUGAGUAACAAACUUUUUGAAAACAUCUUGCAAGACAUUGCAUUAAAACAAUUCGAAAGGAGUUGUACCAACCAUGCUACUUAGACACAUAAAAUUGACCACAUUGCUGACUACUUUUUUAACAUAGGUGAAUUCUACACACAACUGUGAAGUCCAUCUAUAGAAGAAAGGUGGUCGACAAUAUAGUUUUUUUAUGUGUCUAAGUAGUAUUAUUGGUUUCGAGCUAUUUGUGUCCAUGACCACAUGGUCUAGUGGCACCUCAUAUUUCACUUUAUUGAAGGAAGUUUAAGUUCAAAUUUCAUGAACAAUAGUUUGUUAAAUUCAGAAUAGAAAAGAAAACAAGUCUAGAAUCCCUUUAUUUAAUUUGGGCCUUACUAUUUUUGGGCGGACUCAAACACAUUUCAAAUUUUGGGCCUCAAGAACUUUGAACACAUCCAACGGCCACAAAAUCAAGUGUCUUUCCCAACACAGAAGUAGUAUUCUGGGGUCCUAAGUUGUUCCUCUGUAUCUUUCUAAACAGAAGAAGUUUAUCUUGAAGUAAGUGCUCCAAGUCCAAUUUUUUUAGCCUUCAUCAUUAAGCUGGAAAAAGGGAGUGUGACACAACCAUAUUGAAUUCAUAUGGAAAAUUAGGAAUCACUCUUCUACAGUCGGAGAAAAAUUGAGUGUAAUACCAAUUUAAAGAACUCACGAGUUCGAUAUAUCAAACUUAAGAGUGUGUUACCAAUGAACUCAUACUAGUGUAACAAUAGUAUUACAGUAAUCAAACUUAGAUAUUUGAUUCUUAUAUAUAUGUAUCACACUCACCUAAAUCACUGUGGAGGGCUUUACAAACCAUAAACAAAAAAUUAAGUGAUUAUGUCAUAGUUAGGCCUAAAAAUUCUGUGAGAUUUGCAAUUAUGGUGUCAAAAGUUCAAUGGAAUGAGCCACAUCAACAACAACGUUGGAGAUUGGAGGUUAAUAGAAAAUUCCAAAUAAUAUAAUUAGGGGAAAAUAUAAUUUCAUUAGAAAAAUUUAUUUCAUUAAUUAUUGCAUUAAAACUGCAUUAAUUAUAAAUUAAUCAAAUCAGUAACAUAAGUUGAUGCUUCCCAGCUAACAACCGUAUAUUAUCUAAACAGAAACAGAUGUUGCUGUUUCAACAACUGAUGCAAUAUGUCAUCAGCUGCAUAAUUACUAUUUUAAACCAUUUUCAGGUCACAUUAUAUCUUUACCAAUUGUACACACGUUAUGUAUGUGCUUAAUAUUUUGAGAAUAACAUUUACAAUGAGAGAAAAUAUAAUAUGGUCACUAAAGUUUUUUGAUGUCGACCUUGAACAAUUUUUCGUUGCUGAAGAGAUUAUUCACAUCUUUAGCGACUAUUUCGUCACUAAAAGUUUAUUUUAUUUGGAAGAAAAACUUGGAAGAUAAAAUGAGGGCAACUGAUAUAGUUACCUAGCUAUGAGGCUUUAAAAAAAAUGAGUUUUAACGAAAAGCCCACGGUAUUGUUCACUUUAACGAAAAACCACAUUUUAACACUAAAAAGUCAAACUCAAUUUACCCUUUAUUUUGUCUUUAUUGUAAAAACUCAAAGUUUUCAAGCCCUUUCAUUAGUUUUCCUUUUAAAAAAACAAUAAAAUUUUUUUGUGCUUAAAUAACUAUAUUGCCCAUAAUUUUUAUUUUGGUUAUUUUCUUAGUUUUAGUCUCUUUUGGUUGAUAAAGAGAAUAGUGUUAAUAAGUUGUUUAGAUAAUUAAAUGUACAAGUGCAUAAGCAUGCUAAUUUAAACAUUAUUCUUCUUCCAUGAAAAUUCCAAGAGCAUGCAAAUUGGGGAUCAUGAGAAUAAAUUAGAGUUUGAAAUGCCCAUUGGCUUCUUCCUAUCAUCCUGUCCAAGCCUUGCUCUAACUACCAACAUCAAAGAUUCCUUUUUAGUUGAUCAAGUUUGGCUUCAUAAUAUAUUGGGAACCAAAUCUAUAUAAGAAAAGUUGAUUGGGUUUGCCACUCUCAAUUCACUCAAAUUAUAACACACGUAUUGACCUUUGAGCUCGUAAUUUUAGGCUGUUUAUAAUUUAGUUUUUUAGAUACAAAUAAAAAACAUGAGUUAUAUUGUUAGAUAAACUGAUACAUUAUAUUAACAUGUCUAUCACAUAGAGUAUCAUAUAAAGUAUAUAUAUUAUUAGUUCACUACAUUUAUCUUUAUGGUAAAGAGCAUAUUCUAUUUCGAUAGGGUCAUCUACUAAUAUUAUCAAUAGCUUAUUAUCAUAUCGACAAUUUAUCAUUUAGUAAAGAAGUAUAACUAGAAAUAAACUGAUCGUAAUAUUAUAUAUGCCAUGCGGAUCGUUGUAUAUACAGAAUUAUUGUAAUCCAAUCCAAAUUUUUUUUUUUUUUGGUAUGCUUUAGGUUAAGAGACAAGUAGAAGAUUUAAUUUGGACCAUCGUCUAUGUGACCUGUAUGAAACCCUAAAGAACCUGUUAAGCUUUAAGAUUUGGGACUAUAAAAUAUAUGAACCUGUAUAUAUAUCACGCUUGCCCUCAAAACAUAGGACAUUGAGUUCCCUUGAGGAUUCUGUACAGCACAUUCUUUUUCCUACUUUUUCAUUAAAAUACAAGGCAAAAUGCAUGAUCAAACUUGACCUUGAUUUUCCUUGCUGCUACAAAAUUGCAAAACCUAAUUAUACUGCCGACGAAAGAGAAAAAAAACAAGAAAAACCUGACUUUAUAUAUUUUUAGCAUCUGCAUCAAGAAUUAAGAAUAAAAAUAGAGAAAAAUGUUUCUUUAACAACCGAAGAAACUUUGAGAGUCUCUUAAGUCACUUAAUAGUACGGUUUAGUGAUAAUUUUUUCAUUUGUAAACGAAUGGUCUUGAGUUUGAAUCUCGUAAAAGAUGAGUUCGAUAUCAAAUUAUUCUUGUAAUGCAAAUAUGUUGUAGUAUAAAUAAAAAAAAUAACACAUUGUAGCUAUCUACUCAUGUUGAGAAUAUAGUUACUUAAGUUUGGCUGUUUAGUUUUAGAAACCCUAACCACUGUCUUAACAAUUUCUUAAUUGGAUGAUUAUAUUAUAUUAAACAGGUGACCGACACCUACUAGCUUACAAGAUGACAUUGUUAGCAUCAUUCGAUUUUAAGUUAACAUUUGAACUGUUAGAUAUUUUCCUACUUUUUCCCAAUUAAGCAUGAAAUUUAACACACUUUUGUGAGAAGUCAAUAAUAUUUGCGUGUGGGGAAGAACUAUGCCAACCUUUUAUUAGCAUAUUCAAUCUUGACGGAGCUGGUCCCAUAGGAUAAGUUUUCCUGGAAGACAACAACACAUCAAAGUAGUUUCUAUUUUAGAGAUUGAAUAAAAAUUUUAUUAACAACGACCAAUAAUACAUAAGGUGAACAUGUUAAACGUAAUCAAGAGAUUACAUACGCUAAAUAAAGCAUUACAAAUUUAUAGUUACAAACUCAUGAGCGUCAUACAAUUCCUUAGUUACGAAGGACCCUACCACAAAAAAGAUAAUGCCCUCAAGGACUAAACCUUGCAAAUUGUCGAACUACCGUAAAGGUACCAUGAGAAAAAGACUGCACAGACCUCUGAUGAUCUUGCAACUGUCCGCAAAGAAGCACUGCUAUGAGUCACCUCUAACAAGUAUCAAACUUCCUCUUCACAAUCAUUUGACAUGUGCACAAUACCACACAAGAAACCCAAAACCAACUCCCUCGACUCUGAACAAUAGCCAUCACUCAAAGAUUUGAGUUUGAGCAGUAAGUCAUAGGCGCUACAAAGACUUUCUCAAGAGAGCGAGAGCGAUCAUAACCAAAAAAUAUAGAUAGUCAGAAGAUACGAUAAACAUAAAGGAAAAGGGAAGGAAGAGAUUGUCGCUAAGACCAAACAGGGUCCGCGACGAAGGGUUUUUCUCUCUAUCGGCUAUAUAUCGCAUGAGUUGAAGUUAACACAUGCAAUAAGAAAAUCACUAGCGAAUGCACUACGACUAACUAAACUGAAAUAUUGGUUUUUUCAAUAUUUUGUUUCACAUAAUUUUUUUUGACCUUACGUGGUUAAGAACAGUUAUUCAGGAGUUCUUGGUACCGGCCAAGCAAAAAUAAUAUGAAUAGCGAGCCAUCUACACGAGGCAAAUGCUUGUUCUUAUGCUUUUUUAAUAUAGGGCGGUGACUAACUAAAACAUUGAUUUAUAGAGCCAUAUUUUGCUAAGAUAAAACACACCAUUAAGGCUUGUUUAGUCAGUUGUCUCAAACUGACAAGAAAGGCAGUUGAGAUGUAAACAUGUGAGUUUUUAGGUGGAAGCUUCUAUCAUAUAUAUGUUCACGAUUUAAUAUCGAACUAACUAUAAAUAUAUCGGCAUUGCAUUCAUAUGAGCUGAGCUUAAGACCAGCGAUCAACUAAGUGAAGAUCGGAUGUUGCUUGACCAACUCAUGAUGUGCAUAUUGUUUAUGCUUGAUUCACAUUUUCAUUUUUCUGGAAAAUGAUACGAUAUUCAUUACAAUGAAGAGAAUACAUAAAAAUGAUCAGGUGUAAAAAAUAUCAAUUCGUUAAAACCUUGCUGGGAUUCCUAAACCCUAAUUCACACUUGAGAAAAAGGGUUUUUCUUGUUCUUUCCCCCCAGGAGAUUUUAGGGUUUCUUAAAGUUCAUUUGGGAGUUUGAUUUAGUAAUUGUCAAGGUAUUCCUAAAUCUCAUUGGAUUCUAUUUAAUCAUAUUCCAUGCUUGGGUGACUAAUCUGAACUCUUUUAAACUUUUUAAAGUAGUCUUAAGGGGCCAAAGACAAAGGCUUAUCUUCCAAAGCACUAUUAUCUUAUUCUAUAUUCUCCACUUUAAGCGAAGCCUUGUGCAAUGCUCAAAAACCAAGUGCAAAGUAUAUGAAAUUUGAAAAACGAUUCUGUAUAAGUAAGCUAAUACAAGCUUAGAAUUCGUUAUCAAUCAUUAAAUCAUCCCAUAGAAGUUAUUAUGUGCUAUUUAUACAAAAACACUAAUUUUUUAAAUCGAGCCUUUCACGACAAUCAAAUUGUCAAAUCACAAUGCAUGUUUUGUACUUCCAUACCCUAAUAAUUUAAAGGGGUACCUAUAUACAAGCGUGUUUACAAUACAUACGGUGGAUGACCAGAUUCAAAAACCAAUAAAUUCAAGUACAACAUUUUAAUUAUCAUUUUUGUGGAUGACUCCCUCAUAAUUUAAACUUAAGACAUUUUUUAAUGUUGAGAAGAGAAGUAUCACUAAAUGAAUAGUUGAACGAUAACUUAAUUAGCUCUAUAGUACUAAACAUUGCCAUAUAUGAUCAGGAGUAAGGCAUGAAUUCAGGUGUCUGUACAGGUAGGUUCACAAAACAAAACAAUAAAUGAUGAACAUGGACAACAUGUGAAGUCAUGCAGAUGGAGAUGGACUGUACAUGCAUUGCAGUGAGCAGAUAAUAAUAAUAAUGAAUAGUUUAAGAAGCAGAGACGUGUUAUGUAGUCUAUGUAUCUGAAAUGUGAAGCAAUCUGACAUUUCAACCUAUAGCUAGGUAUAUGAUCGAGUCCUCAGCCUCCUGCAUUCACUGUACCAACCAAUCCUGCUACUGCUAAACAUGAUUGAUCCUGCUCUAAGAAAUGGAACUGGAUCCUCCUUGAGCUCAGGAUGAGGAUCCUUCUGAGCAGUCCAUUCGGACCGUUGAAAUUUAAUCCAACGGCUUCAAAUAGGGGGUUCCUCUAAAAGUUAUAAUAAUUACAGCCGUUGGAUCAAGUUUGAACGGUCCGGAUGGGUUACUCAUGAAGAUCCCCAUCCUGAGCUCAGAAGAGGAUCCAGUUCCCUAAGAAAUGCAAAUGCCGCAAGCUGACAUAUUAGUUGACUAUAAUAUAUACAUACUCUCUCGGUCUUUCACCUAUAGCUAGUAGCUUAUUGGUUCUUGUAUUGUGAAACCCUAAUGAGAUAUUUACUUACAUAACGGGAAGUAAAAAAUCGAGAAACUUAUGAAUAAAAGAAAUGUGGAAUGAGAACUGGAUACAACGUACUACUUUCCUUAGUUGAUGUAAUUAUUGGUUUUGACGAUAUUGGGUUAUAGAUUAUAAGAUGAAAUUCACGUACCUAAUAAAUGCUGAAAAGUCAGGAAUUGUAGUGAUUUACUUUGCUCGAGUACCAAUUCAUGAUAAGUAAUAACAUGCAAUAGGUUAAACAUCGGCCAUCUUGUGAACGAGAGUUUAUACAAACACUUAGGUAUUGUUUGGUAUGCAGAUGGGAUGAGACAAAAUGGAAUCGGAUGGGAUAGGACGGAACGGAACGGACAGGAAGCAAAGAUGUCCUCGGAUGGAAACAAGGAGGAAGAAAAAGGAGACGGAGAGGUUAUAAUUUUGUGUUCCAUGGAUGUGGAACGAGUCGUUCCAGGGGAUGAGGGCGAAUGAAAAUUCACUCAAAAUUAGUCCUGGGAAACAACGCGUUCCACCCGUUUUAGGCGCACCAAACGUGGGACGGAACGUCUCGUUCCCCUUUAUUCCGUCCCGUUCCACGUACCAAACGGUACCUUAAUCAACAGUUACAAAACAAAAAAUCAACUUCAACGGAUCCAUGCCCAUGCACGGUGCACCCAGAUUGCAUUUUCCCCCGAGAAAUAAUUUUCAAUUUUAUUUUCAAAAACAGAUGAUAUAUUAGUAUAUUAUCAGGGGUAUUUUGGGGUCAGGAGCGUAUACAAUUUGGUACGGAGUUGCAGUCUGUUUCCUUGACUAUUCCGACCUACUAAAUUUGAACAUCCCAACCUCAAUGAUUAAAAAAAAAAAUAGAAAUUCACAAAGCUCAAGGAAAGAAAAAUUUGCAAAUUUCAUGAAAUGAUUAAAUAUUCAUAAAUAUGAGAAAUUUUUAAUUAUGAUCGAAAUACGGAUGGUACACCACGUGUUUUUAUGUAAGUGAUGAAAAAUUUUAUUUUUUAAGUUAUUAACUUUUUAACACAUGUAUCCCACCAUUUAUAUAACGACAUGUAACGUAUCAUUCCGUAUGACGAUCACACUACAAAAUCUUUCCAUAACUAGGGCAUCAAAAGGUCUUUGGUUAAUUUGCUGUCCAGUCUGUUCAUUUGACCUUUGAACCCCCCCCUUUUAUGCUUUCCUUUCACAAUUUGUGCUCAACAUUUCUUCAAGGUCACCUGAUUAAUUGUCCCCCAUGUAAUCAUAACCCCUUUUUGUAUUUAAAUACAUUUAUUUUAUUUAAAAAUGGAUGUUUGACUAACAAAAACGUUUUUUGUCGUAAGAAAACGUUGUUAUUUCUUCUUAAAAUAAUGCCAAGAAGGGAAUACGAAUUUGUAAACUCUCAAGUUCACACUUUUUUUUCGUAAUUUGGAAUAUAAUCAUGUUGAACAAAAUAUUAUAAAUUCUCUAGAGAAAAUGAAAAUACCGAAAAUAGGGUCUUGUGUUAAAUGCUAAACCUGAUUAAGUUUCAGAUUGUCUGUCACCCUCGGCACGCAUUUAGACAUCACUAUAAAGGAUUAAAACAAAUAAAAAGAAGGGAAAGAGAGAAAUUUGAAGAAACAGCAAAAGAAAGCUUCAAUUUUUUUCAUGCUUCUGUUUUACUGUAUGUAAUGUUGUAAGGCAGUCUCUCUCUCUCUCCCUCCUCCUCAUCACCUACCACUGACAACUCCACCCCUUCUUAUUAACCCCACCACCACCAUUUGCUCUCUCCAGAAUUCCAUGUGCCUCUUCUCUUCUCCAUUCCCCUUGGACUGCACAGACACACAUUAGCCUCUGUUCUUGUGAGUUGUGAACCCCCAUUUUUGUUUGGAGUUUUUCAAAGGGGCAAGUGCUUGUGGGGAAGAGUGUUGCUCUGCCUCUGUCUCACCAUCUGAGCUUGGAUACAAAAACCUAUUUCCCAAUUGAGAAAACCCAGUAAGGAACCCCACCAAUAUUUACAUUACAAAUAAUGGGAUUGAUUUGGUUCUGUGGCAGCAGCCCCAUUUCCAAGCUGGUUUUUUCUGGGUUCUUUGGAGAUCUAGAAGAUUGAGUUGAAGAAGCCUUUCAAAUUGAAUUUGAAGAAUAAAGGUACCGAUUCAGAAACUUCCAGUGUAUGGAGCCUCUCUAUAUGGUUACUUUUGCUGCAUUUAUAUACAUUAUAUAUAUAUAUAUACAUUAUAUAUAUAUACAUAUAUAUAUAUAUAUAUUCCCUGUUUGUUUGCUGAGCUAAAUGUGGAAACGAUUAGGAAAUGGAGUUUCUGAAGAUUUUACUGUUCUUGUUGUUAACCUGUAGAAUGUUAAAAGUUCAUGCUUGUUUCAACUUUUGUGGGUAAUGUAGAACUGGACUGAGCUAAGCCAAGCGGUUGUUGUAUUAGGCUUAUUGGGUUUCUGCAGUUAUUGGUUUAAUUGGGUUGGGUAAUAAAUGUUUAAAGUUUUGGUCUUUUCGAUUGUGUAUAUAUUGGACAAUAUGGAAUGAUGUGGGAAAUGCAUUAGUUGGUCCUGUUGUUAAUAUGUUUUCACUGUAUGAAAGUGGGUGGAAUUGGAAAGGAGAAAUCUUUGUGCAUUUUUUCCUACUUUUCCUUUGGUUUGUAGUUUGAAUGUCAUAUUGAGGCUGAGUUUGUUUCCGUGAUCACUUUGGUGUUAUGUGAUCUGCGUAGUCUUUGUGAGAUUGUGGAUUGUGGUUGAGUCCGUUUCCCUGACCAUGUUGGUUUUCCGCUCUCUCUCUCUCUCGCACUACAUAUUUGUUUCGUAGCACACUAACUUCUACCGCUUUGUUUACUUUUAUUAUGUUCCCAAUUUGUGAAUAUGUGUUUUGUCUUUGAAAAGAAAAAAAUUGAUGGCAUUGAAAGAGGUGAAAUUUUACAUAGACAAGCAGUUAAAUUCAGUAACAAAAUGGUAGAUAUGCAAAAGAUAGAGUUUUUUAUGCAUGGAAUUGGAGUUUCUAAUUUCUUUGUUUUGAACUCUGCAGGGUCCUUUUUAUCAAGAGUAAAUGGCAUCUGGUCUUGAUACUGUAUUAACCAAGAAGACAUUUGUCUUCGGUUUAAAGGUUUGGGUAUUAACGGGGAUCAUUGUGGGAGUUUUUAUAGUGAUGAUUCUUGCGGUGAUAUCAAUUUGUCUUACUUCGCGAAAGAGAUCCAGAAAGUCUACUGACAUGCUUCCUCUGCGCAGAAUUCCAAAUGAUUCAAAGGAAAUCAAAGAGAUUAGGGUAGAUCAAGCUUGUGCAAAUAACUACGUACCCCGUAGUAGUUCUUUUCUCACCCUUGGCGAUAAAUUCAGUGACAGAGAGUCUGAGAAAGUUUUGAUCCAUAAGAAUGGAGAUGGUAGCAGUCGAUCAGGCUCAUUUAACAAUGGGGAGAAGGAAAAUGUUGGUUCUCAAUCUGGAGAUGAGUGUGGUGCAGCUUAUAUGUAUGAGCCUUCUUCACAGCCUAUAACUGCACCUUCACCUCUAUCUGGUCUACCUGAAUUCUCUCGCCUUGGUUGGGGUCACUGGUUUACAUUAAGGGACCUUGAGUUCGCAACAGGUCGGUUUUCAAAGGAAAAUGUCAUUGGUGAGGGUGGAUAUGGAGUUGUUUAUCGGGGUAAUCUGAUUAAUGGAUCUCCUGUGGCUGUGAAGAAGCUACUCAACAACCUGUAAGAUGCAUCUUAUUUCAGUAGCUUUAUGGAUUUCUGUUUUUUCUAUCUUCUGUUUUCCUUACAAUUCAAUUGCUUGGGCUUAUAACAUAUAUAUUUUCAAUCAUCACACAGAGGACAAGCAGAGAAGGAAUUCAGAGUGGAAGUUGAGGCUAUUGGGCAUGUACGACACAAAAACUUGGUUCGACUUUUGGGAUACUGCAUCGAAGGAACCCACAGGUAUUUCUCUGUAAUUUUAUGUAAUGACUUCUACAUGGUAAAAUACAGGCAGUCAUGUUAUUAUUUGCUGAGCACCUUGUUUGGAUAAAAUAGAGAGUACUAUGUCACAUCCUUAGUUACAUGUAUAAUCCAUUCAUACUUAAAACAUGUGUGUUUUGUUCAGGUUGCUGGUUUAUGAAUAUGUCAACAACGGAAAUUUGGAGCAAUGGCUUCAUGGAGCGAUGCGUCAUCAUGGAUAUCUCACAUGGGAGGCACGCAUGAAAGUUCUCCUUGGCACCGCUAAAGCGUAGGUCUUCCUAUACCUUUGUUUGAGUUUUUCAUCCUUGUGGUUUAUCUUUUUCUGACUCUUUUUUUCACAUAUUUCAGGCUGGCUUAUUUGCAUGAGGCCAUUGAACCCAAAGUUGUGCAUCGAGACAUUAAGUCGAGCAAUAUCUUACUUGAUGAUGAUUUCAAUGCUAAGAUAUCUGAUUUUGGUCUGGCAAAGUUGCUAGGUGCCGGGAAGAGUCAUAUUACAACUAGAGUUAUGGGUACCUUUGGGUGAGUACCUUUUCUCCCUUAGGAACAGUUGCAAUUUCUUGUACGAAGAUUCUUGUGUUGGUAGAAGAACACUAUAUCAUAAUUCUAGAGUAAUCCUUUCUUAUCGGUUCCUUUCAUCAUUCUGUUUUUCAGAUAUGUGGCCCCAGAAUAUGCCAACUCUGGCCUUCUAAAUGAGAAGAGUGAUGUUUAUAGCUUUGGGGUUGUGAUUUUGGAAGCAAUCACUGGAAGAGAUCCGGUGGAUUAUGGUCGGCCAGCACAAGAGGUAUGACAAAAUUGUUACUGUUUUGAAGUGAGAAUUUGGAGAUCAAAUAUGCAUCUUAGUUUUGCAUUCGUAUAUUGAUUAGUUAAGGAUGCAUGUCAUAUUCGAUAAUCUGCUUUUAAAUUCAUUUUAGUUUGCACAGGAAAAUUCUUUGCUUCCGAACAAAUGGAUACCCCAAAAAAACCUUGGAGUUGUUUGAUAUGUUCUGUGACAGCUAACUAUCUUUAUAUCUGCUUCCUUUAGGGGAACAAAAAAGAAGAAAAAGGAAUGAUACCUGUGUAGUAACAGUUGCCCUUACACCUGCUGUGUGCAUCUUGUAGGUAAAUUUGGUGGAUUGGCUCAAGAUGAUGGUUGGAGGCAGGCGUUCAGAAGAGCUGGUAGAUCCGAACAUUGAGACCAAGCCAUCUACGAGUGCCCUUAAACGAGCCCUCUUGACUGCACUGAGGUGUGUAGAUCCAGAUUCUGAUAAAAGGCCUAAGAUGGGUCAAGUGGUUCGCAUGCUUGAAUCGGAGGAGUAUCCCAUACCUCGAGAGGUACGUUUCUGAAAUCAUCUUUGAAAUAACAAUGCUAAACAGACCUUAUAUCCAUUUGACACAAAUAUAGAUUUCAUUCGAAUUUUUGGCUUGCGUGGCUUGUUUUUUCAAUUCAUCUCAUCGUUAUACUCUGAGGAGUUCAUAAGUUGAUCUAUGUAAUGUAACUUGGCUGGAAUUCAGGACCGAAGACGCCGCAGAAGUCAAGCAGGGAACACAGAAGCCGAGUCUCUAAAUUCUGAUACAGAUUGGAGUGAGAAGCCAACUACAAAGACAGAUAGCAGAAGGAACCGUCGAACAUAGGCAAAUGGCGAAUCAAUCAUAGAAAUGCAAGGAAUACAAAUCAAAGGGGACAUGUUACACUCGUUUAAAGCUUUCAUAUUCUUCAGCCUACCAUAGUUGUGAUCAAAGGAAGGAACUGAAACGAGAUAAAGGAAAGGACCAGAACGAAAGGAACUUUUUUUUACUUGUUUUUUUGAAUAUAUAAACCUACUUAUAGGUGUUGAGAGAUGGUUUUUGUGUAUGGAGUGGCACUAGAAGGGGAUGCCUUAGCCAUCGAGUGUGUACAGUUAUCGGUUUUUUCUCUUCCUUUUUUUCUUUAGGUGAUUGUAAUUCAUGAGAUUUUUUCUGAGACAUGCUAAAGUUUACAGGAAGAAACGUUUUUGGCUUGCAUUGUGUGUUUCUACUACCAGCAUUGUGUUAGGUUUACGACCGCGACGGGAGCUUGGUUGAAUGUCAAGCCAUGUUGCCGUGCAUUUGAAGCAAACUGUGAGAUGUGAAACUCAGCACAAGGAAAGGCAGUCAUAUAAUUGCCAAGUUCAAUAUAAGGGUUGCGUGUCAUGUGAUUUUGGAGGCUAAAAUUGCACAUCAUGUGCUUUGAUUUAUUGCUAAGCACGGGAAGGCUAUUUUUCUCCUUUCAUGCUCCCAACUUUUCUUGAGUAAUUGCAGACACACAGUACCAACACAUUUAAUUGUUCGAUUUGAUUUAACGCUCGUUGGUCAUUCAGUUUAAACCGUUGGAUCAAAUCCAAGGCUUUGUAUUUUUACAGAUAGGAUUGAAUAUGGCUAUGCAUUUUUUGUUUUUUUUGUUAUGCUUGGCAAUAUUAACCAGACAACGCUUCAAAUUAAAAUGGUGUUUGAACAUGUUAUCCAACAACCAAAAGGGGUCAUGAGCAUUAUGGGAUGAUUUGUUCCGCCGAAUCCAUGGACUAAACAAAUACGCAUAUGUGAAUUAAGCCAGUUGAAAAAGGCUCCGUGUCUAACCCGUGCAUCCAAGCUCAAAUCACCCUCCUCAUAAAUUAGAAUAAUUUAAAAUAUCAUCUCGCCAAGAAUAAAAACAUAAAUACACUGUUUGGUCCCCUCACAACAAAAAGCUAUAUUCUGCACUAUGUUUGGAAUCUUAUUCUCUGCAAAUUUAUGUGCUGUUCCAGGAGACUAAACAGACACCCAAGAAAAGGUUGUUGAUUUAGAAAAGUCGAAUAAUCCAAGGCUCCAAUAAGGAACUUUUGAACAGGUAACAGAGUCACCGUGAAUUACAUAGGGGAUCAUUAAGAUUUUGAUGAGCAAAAGGAACCGAAGAAUGGUAUGAUCUACAGAAACUGUGUUUACAAAACGAAUCUCAAUAAUGUUGUCUGCACGAACGAUUGACAGGUCGGGAAUCCAGAAGCUUGUUGUUUCAAUGGUGGGGAGCGGACCGAGCAUGCAAAAGAGGCUGUAGAGCCUUGACAACAAUGCUCAUAUUUGGCCGGAAAUCAGCUUCAUAUUGGACGCACAAGGCGGCAACAGCAGCCAACUGUUUCAAGCACACAAAUUGUGAUCAGUGGAUUUGAAGUAAACCAACUGCCUGCCUUUUCAAUUAGUCUAUAACUGGCCAGACCAAAAGUAUGUCGUGUUCUUGUCCAUCCAAUCAACAAUUUAAAGAUAACAUAAUUAUAUAUGUGUGUAACUGUGUAUACAUAUUAAGGAAUCGCAGCAAUGGCAAGUAUUUCUUGGAAUCAAGUAAACUGGUGGUGAAUAAUUACUCAAUGUGUUCCCGAUUACCUUUGCAACUGCCUUGGAAGGGUAUUCUCCAUUGAGUCUAGCAUCAACACACUGCUUCACCUUAUCCUCACUGAGUUUUGGUGUUGCCUAAUAGAAUCAAAAAUUCGAGAAAAAAACUCAGCGAAAUGAAAGAUGAAAACCAGUAACCAAUAAAAUUCUCCGCUUCCACCCGUCCUGAAUGAAUAAAACAAAAGAUGCAAGAACCAAGCAUGAGUUACAAGUAGACAAGAACUAGGAUGAAAUUAGUACCCAUGUCACAAGGCUCUGCUGCCCACGCGGCAAUGUGUGAUCAACAGGUUUACGCCCAGUCAAGAGUUCAAGCAACACUACACCAAAGCUGUAGACAUCACUUUUUGAACUCAGCUGUCCAGUCAUUGCAUAUCUGCCAUUCGGAAUCACAGACAAGAAUUACAAGGGGAUAUAUGCCAAAUCAAAAUUUUGGGCGUACAUCAUAACGUGAUUAUACGGUACAUCAAGGAAGAAAUUACUCUGGAGCAUGAUAACCAAAAGUCCCAAGAACACGAGUAGAAUGAAGACGUGCUGCCAUAUCAGGUGCUUGAUUUGACAGAUCAAAAUCAGCAAUCUUUGCAACAUCAUCAUCAAAAAGCAGUAUAUUGCAGGACUUAAUAUCACGAUGGAUUAUAUGAGGCUGCGCCUUUUCAUGUAGAUAUUCAAGUCCUCUCGCUGCUCCUACAGCAAUUUUAACCCUUUGUACCCAUGACAGAACCGGACCUGGCUGUGCUCCCUUAACACCUUUCCGACCUAUAGCCACAUAAAGAGAAACAAAUUUCUAUUAGCAUAGAGAUGAAGGCGAUCUUACUAAUUAUCAAAGAGAUAAAGCUCAAAAAUUUGCAGCUGAUGAGCAAUUUUCUAUUGUUUGGAGGCCAACCCGCUCGUUUCGCAGAUUACAUGAAACACUAGGCGUCAUUAAACACAAACAACUAUCAUCAACUAAUUGACCUUCAACCUAUAAGUUAUUAAGCCUCAUUCAAAAUUUGUAAACCAAAAAAAAAUUCUGUGUGCAUAAAGCUUCACUAAAAAAAGAUCUAUGUGGUACUUGAUUAAAAAUUUACAACUUUUGGAGGCUGUAAAUAACACCACACGAUAGGAAUGUGGAAAUGUUACUUACCAUGGAGAAUAUCAUGAAGGGACCCCUUAGGAGCAUACUCAUAGGCAAGGAGACGGAGAGGGCCAUCAAUACAAUAACCAACAAGCUCGACAGCAUUCUCAUGUUUUAGUCUUGAAACCAUGGAGACCUGUAAAUUUAUGCUCCAAGCAUUAAAUAAAUUUGAGUAUCAAAUAGCGUACCAUGUCAAGUAUCAAACACAAAACAUUCCGCAGACUUAACCUGCGAUAAGAAUUCUCGCUCCGGUUGUUUACUGGAGUCUAACUUCUUAAUAGCUGCAGCAGGCCCACUUUUCAGAACACCAUGAUAUACUCUUCCAUAUGAACCCUCACCGAUUAAAGAUUUCGUGCCAAAGUUAUCUGUCAAAUCUUUCAAUUCAUCCACUGGAAUGGCAGCGACAGCGAUGGGGAGGAUAUUUACAACCUGAGUAUCCUUGGGUGCAGCUUCUUUCUGAUAGUAACCUCCACUAUUGCCUAAAUUUCAAAUGUCGAGUUUUGCAUCAAUCAAACAAUAAGCCGUAAACAGUGGAUAUCUAAAAUCAAAUGGCAUAGAAGUUGACCUGACUAAUUCCAACUGAAAAAGUAAUGGAAUAUGUCAUUAUUAUCAAUGCACUCAGAAUAAGAACAUCGUAUAUAUACACCCACGCGGUACCUGCUGAGUGAUUUGUCACAUGCGGUCGAGUCUCAGAAGCUUUACGGACAUCAUCUUGUACACAACAACUGAAGCAGCUCAUGAUGUUUUUAUCUGAAGAAACAGUUGAAAACCAUCUUAAGCAAUCUUACGUUGACAGACCGCGGGCGAUAAAAUUUAUCUAACAAAGAUCAAUGGUUUCUGGAUAGUUAUAAAGUCUGGCUUAAUUUCAGACUAGUUCAAUCUGUUAUAAGUUACUAAAACCUCAAUGAAUUAACAUGCUUUAUUCUAAAUCAAUGUUAUUCAAACAAGAGAAACGAUGAAGAAGCACUUGGAUAUCACCCAAAAAAUUAAAAAAACACAACCAAAAAUCUGUAUCAAAAGUUAAAUCCAUCAAUUUAUUCAUUUCACAAAUUAAACCAAAUCAAAGUAAAAAUUCAAAAUUCCCAUUUAAGAUCCAUCAACAAGGAGAGAUUCAUUUUUACAACAGAACAUAAAAUUCAAAGCUUUCUAUUUCUACAUGUUCCUCUUGAGUCCUGUCUCAAAAAAACAAAACAGAUACACAAUAAAUCAAAAGAAAAAGAAGCCACAAUUAGAAAAAAGUGCAUCUAAAACAAAUAAAUUUACAAAAAAUAAAAAAUAAAAAAAAAGUAGCAGAAUUGUGGGGGAAUGAUAUCUCUCACCUUGGUAUGUUUAUAUGGUUCUUCUGGCAAUUGGGUUUUUUGAGUUUUGAGUCAAGUGUUGGGAUUGGAGUGAUGAGAGUGAUCAGGCCGGCUAUGGAGGCCCGCAGGAGAGGGAGAGGGGAAGGAGGCGCACGUCAGCAAUGUACAGAAGGCAUGCAAAUGGGGAGGUUGGGAUGUCUGUCUGUCUCUCUGUCUCUCUGUUCUGGCUUUGACUUACGUUAGAAGAGAGGACACAAAGACAACAACCGAAUUUUGUGUUUCCACUCUUAAACUCCUCGGUCUUCACGAUCUUCUGCGCAUUUCGAAACUGUCAAAAACCAGUUGGGAUGUUAAAUCUUUUUAAUUUUUUUUUUAAUUUGAUAUAAAUAUCUCUUCACUCAAUUGCGUUCUUAGUUUAAGUUCUCUGAUUUAUUUUUAAGUGUGCAUUAACGUAAGAUAUCGCUUCUAAACAGUACAAGUAACAACGCCAUUUACAGUUAUUAAUUAAAAUUUUAAUAAAUAAAAAUAAUAGUGCUGUUUUCUAAAAAAGUAAAACAUCAAAAGUAUUAAUCAUACUAAAAACUAACAUUUGUCUACAUACUUUGUAUGUAUGUACAUAUUUUUUUUUUAGAAAAUAAGAAGGAGAGAGAAAGCGUGUAGGGUGAGAGAUUUUUGUUUUUGAUUUUGAUUUUUUGAUUUUUUGAUUUUUUUUAAAUAUUGAAGGUAUUUUAACAUCACAUGUAGGUGAUGUUUUAAUAAAAAAUAAUAAAAUUUGGACCUAUGAAAUUACAUUAUUGCCUAUCUUUUUUUUUGGUGUCAUAGAAGACUAAUUUAUCUUUUCACUCUCUUUUGAUUGACAAAGAGAGUUUUAUUAAUUAGUAGAAAUAUUAAGGCCAUCUCCAACCGAUGGCUGGCCAGAUGGCUCGUCUCAGCCCUCUGGCCCUCCAAGAUUCUCCAAGAUAUUAAUAAAAGGGGAUGAAUAGUGAGAACAAGUUCAACCCAAAAAAGAAAAGCAAUAGAAAAAAAAGAAAACUAAUGAAAAAUGUUUGAAAACUUUGAGUUUUAACGAUAAGGGUGAAAUAAAGAUUAAAGUGAAUAGUACUAAUAUUGACUUUUUAGUGUAAAAAUAUUAUUUUUUAUUAAAGUAAACAGUACCGGAAACUUUUCGUUAAAGUUCUUAAAAAAAAAAAGAUGAAAACCCAGUUGACGUGUUAUUUUGAUGAAAGUGGCUGGCACAUUGUUUGUAUAUAUUACUCACGUACUUUCUAUACAUAUUAAACUACAUAAAGCAGAGCAAAGCAAUUAUUCCUCUCCAAAAUUCUUCUACCCAAUCUCAGUUUAUAUGUGCAUGUUACGCCUCGUUGCAACGUCAUCUUGAGUCAUGGGUUGUUCAUUUAGAUUAGUAAAUUAUUUCGCUCCUUAGAGGUGUGCGAUGCAAGAAGAUUUGUAACUAACUCGUUUAAUUACGAAUAUUUACAUUUGCAUCGGAUGAUUUACGGUAUUAAGUUCAAACCUCUCCUUGACUCUUGUCCUUUGAUUUUAAUAUAUGUUAAUUCCAGAUUAAAUUAUGUUAAUGUGAUUUGCAUUACAUUUUUAUAUGCACCGCCGUUUUGAAGAUGUGGAUUCUGGAGGGAUUGUUCCUCUGUGUAAGUAUGUCUUAAUGGGCUUUUAAAUUUAGAUGCUUUGUUAGAUAAUUUUUCAUUGUGGCUGAAACGUUAAAGCGUACUCCAUAUAUUAUUAUACAAUUAGAAGGACAUUUAAAAAAAAAAAACUUUCUACUGAUGACAUGUGAUGUAUUGUACUAUGUUCUAAAUAUGCUGAAAAAUUUCUCGCCUCAUUGACCGUUUUCAUUGACUAAACAUCGAUUUCUUUUAAACUUUUGAUUAAAAUGCUUUUUUCUAGUUAAUUAAGCCAUUUUAUGUACAAAAUUACACUUAUGAUAUAUUUUCUUUGUCAAAAGAUAAAGUUUUAUUGAAUUCCAAUAUAAACGUUUUCAUUUUCAGCAAGAAUAUUAAAAAAAAAUCUGGAUCAAGAACAUCCCACCGGAAAUCACCUCCAUGCGAGGUAACAUAUGAGGCUACAGCAUCCAUAACGACAUUUCCUUUUCGCUUUACAUACAAAAACCUCACCUCUCCUUGUUGAGACACCAAACAUAUAAUGUCACGAAUAAAACAUUCCAAACUAGCAUCUAUAGAAUACGCUUCUUGAAGCAUUCGAAUCAACGACUGAGAAUCAGAUUCGAUUUCCACCAACGCAGCACGAAUCGCCGCAGCUUCAGCCAUAGCCGCGUUGUUGAAGAAUAAACCCCCUGCGCCACCCGCCAUUUGCAACAACCCUGCGAAAUCCCUCAUAACCCAUCUGUAUCCUCCCUGUAAAGACUUCCCACACCAGGCACCGUCACAAUUAACCUUUAGUACACCAUAGGUGGGCCUCCUCCACCGUACCUGCUGCUCAGCAAAAAUAGCACCAUUCGUUUCCACAUAGGAGUCAGCAGCCUGCUGAUUGGUAAUAUGGCAUGCUUUAAAUUCUAGGAGUAGAUGCCGCACCAAAUUAACCCCAUCCAUAGGAUUAAUUAAUGUACCUUUGAAAACCAUUGCAUUUCGACUCUUCCAGAUUCUCCACUAGACAAACACGCACUCCUGCAAAAGAAGACAUACCAUUGCUAAAUGAAAACGUACCAAUGCCAAAUUAAAAUAUAUCGACGCUAAAUCAAAAUGUAUUGAUGCGAGGUGAAUAAGUCUCAACACAAAAUGAAAACGGUCAAAUUAAAAUGUAUCGACCAAAUUUAUUUACCGGUAUUAGACAAAGUACGGACCUAAUUUAUUUACCCGUUCUAUACAUGUCACUUCAAGUAAUGCUUAGAAAGUACAUGCCUACUAACACACAAUUAACUUUAUAAAUUAAAUAUGAAAAUAGACGUACAAAUCAACAAUAUUAAUAAAAUCGCUUUGAAAAAUAUGUAUAAAGUUAAAUUGAUUAUAGAAACAAACGUACCAAUCAACAAUAUGAGUAAAAUUGCUUUAAAAAAUAAUAUAUAUAUAUAUAUAUAUAUAAUCAAACGAUUGUGGUGGCACUAGUGGCGGUUGUGACAUUCGCUAAAUUGCUCCGGUCAUUAGUAUGGAUAAGUAUGUAAAUGGAUAGAGAUAGGGAAGCAAACUCAAGAUGUAUGUGGUUCACCCAGAUUGGCUACGUCCACGGAGUAGAGGAGUUCUCAUUAGUUGUGAAGGGUUUACACAAGUACAUAGGUUCAAGCUCUCUUUUAGUGAGUACAAGUGAAUGAUUUAGUACAAAUGACAUUAGGGAAUAUUGUGAGAGAAUGAUCUCUAUUUAUAGAAGAGAGUUUCUAGUUUCAUUCUGACUUUGACACGUGUCGUGUUGUGAUUGGCUUCUGAUGUUGACACGUGUCGCGAUAUGAUUGGCUUCUGAUGUCGACACGUGUCGCGCUGUGAUUAGCCUCCUGGUUGGAGGGAAACUCUUCUAGGUCCUUGAUAGUAUAACGUUGACCCGUGCUCAGUAGUUUCGGGAUUGGUCAAGUAUGGUACAAACAGUGCUCCCCUAAGUUCCUGAGUGAGGGAAGCUCCUCGGUUGGGGACUUGCAAGAUCCAAGCCAUUGAGUAAUCACGAAACUUCUAAGUACCGAAGUGUGGUAUCAUUUUCACUUGUCUUAUCUGUCUCAUACGUAGAUGUGGCAUCUUCUCUGGAAGUACUUUUCCUCCAUCCAGGGGUGAUAUCUUUAACCGAUGAAGAUGCACAAGGUAAUGUAUCAAUUUCACUUGAAGCUUACUUGUAGUUUUGGGCUUGGUCAAAUGCGAUACAAAACCCUAUAGUAGGAGCCCCCCAAGUCGCCGAGCUAGGAGAUUUGCCGAAUGAGGUAACAGACAAGGUAAGCAAUCAGACUUCCAAGCAAGCAACCUGGAUCGGAGGUUCGUCUUCGGAUUCCGGUUGAUUGUUCUUCUUCUCCUUAUGUCGUAAACAACAACAAGGAUAAGGAGAAGCAAAUGGAGAAUAGAUGAUAUGAGAUACUUUUACUUUUGAAGAAGUAUUUUUCCACAUGCGUAUUCUUGAACUGGGCUGGAGGGUUUUCUAGUUUCUUUCAGAGUAUAAGGCUAACUCAAGAAUUUGAGGGUCAAAACAAGUCCAUCAAAUCUAGAGUACGUUUGACCUUGAUGAUAUGUGAUACUUUUGUUGUUGACAAAGUAGUGGAUGUAUCGACACGUGUUCUGUUACGCUUGUCUCCACAUGCUUCCUUGUAUCCUUCUCACUUGCCCUAUCUGUUCCUCAGGCAGAUGUGGUAUCUUCUAUGGAAGCAUAAGAUGUUGAAGAUGAGUACUCGAGAGCAAUGUCAGGUAAGUAAUCAGGCAAGGGGUUCCAGGCAGUCAGUUCCUGACUGGAAGCUUGAUUCCAAGUGCUGACUGAUUGCUCUCUUUCUCCUUGUCUUGCAGGUAAGAACAAUGCCAAAGGAAAAGACAGGGAAAAAGCAUGAUAUGGGAUACUCUUGCUUUUAACCCUGAUGAUAUGAGGUACUCUUGCUCUGGUGUGGCUUGUUUGCAUAGGUAUUAUCGGGAGGAAAAGAAGCUGAGUAUUUCGAGAGACUUUGCUGAGAGUGCCCUCUCGGAUGUGAAGAAAAGUUGAGCAUUUUUUUUAUUUGCAGGUCUGCCUAGCUGUGGAGGAUGGAGGUCGACAUAUAUAGGAGUCUCCUUAACAACAAGUAGUAGUGCUAUUCAUUUACCCUUCUUGGUCAUAGCAAUGUAGUGGGAGCUGCAAGCUUCACGUGUUUUAACUUUGUCAAAGCACUUUGAAAAAGUGGUCUGUGGUAUCUGGAAAGCUGAUGUUGCGUGUGAAGAUUGCAGACAAGCUUUAUCCAAGGAAAUCAGGCUCUCGAAGUUCGGAGAGCGGUGCCUCUUCGGUUUUCGAACAGGCAAUCUUGUCAAGGAUCUGGCUUUCGAGAUUCAGAGAACGGUGCUUCUUCAAUUUUUGAGAACGCAAUCCUGUUUGGGGUCUAACUCUUGAGAUUUGGAGAGCAGUGUCUCUUCGAUUUUUGAGAAAGUAAUCAUGUUGGGAGUCUGGCUCUCGAGAUUCGGAUGGCGGUGCCUCUUCAAUUUUUUAGCACAUAAUCCUGUUGGGAGUCUGGCUCUCGAGAUUUGGAGAGCGGUGCCUCUUCGAUUUUUGAGAAAGCAAUCAUGUUGGGAGUCUAACUCUUGAGAUUCGGAUAGCAGUGUCUCUUCAAUUUUUUGAGAAAGUAAUCCAGUUGGGAGUCUGGCUCUCGAGAUUCGGAGGGCGGUGCCUCUUCGAUUUUUGAGCACGUAAUCCUGUUGGGAGUUUGGCUCUCGAGAUUCGGAAAGCGGUGCCUCUUCGAUUUUUGAGCAAGUAAUCUUAUUAGGAAUGUUUUCUCGAAUGUGAGUAAAGGUUGGGCAUUUUUGCCAGUUUGCCUUGCCACGGAGCACGGAAGUUGACACACAUUGGGACUUUCUACUUAUCAAGGAGUGGAGCUGUUCCUUUACCCUUGUGGGUAAUAGUAGGGUAGCUGGACCUUCAAAAUUUAUGUGUCUAAACUUUGUCAGAGAUUUUUGGCAAAGUUAUAUAUGGUACCCGAGAAACUGAUGUUGCGUGUGGAAAGUGGUGCCACUUCAAUUUUUGAACCAAUUACCCUAUUGCCCUUUCUUUUAUAAGGGCACCAAUUGUGUGCAAGGAGUACAUUCAGAGAGUUAUUGCUUGUAGGAAUUUUCCCCUUACUUCAGAGAUUUCUUUCACCUAAUUUUUCCUUCAUCAUUUCUGAGAAUGUCUGACCCAUAUAACCGUCGUUUUGACUUGAACUUUGGUGAAGAGGUAGCCAUACCUUCUCAAGACAACAUAUAACGGCCAUCUUUCUUAUCCUCUACUGGUCCUCUUACCGUUGGAGACUCUGUGAUGAAGAAUGAUAUGACCGCUGCGGUGGUGGCCAAGAACCUUGUUACUCCCAAAGAUAACAAACUACUUUCCAAACGGUCUGAUGAGUUGGCUGUUAAGAAUUCUCUGGCUCUUAGUGUUCAGUGUGCAGGUUCUGUGUCUAAUAUGGCCCAACGCCUAUUUGCUUGAACCCACCAAGUUGAAUCAUUAGCGACUGAAGUGAUAAGUCUCAAACAGAAGAUCAGAGGGCUCAGGCAUGAGAAUAAACAGUUGCACAGGCUUGCACAUAACUAUGCUACAAACAUGAAGAGGAAGCUCGACCAGCUGCAGGAAUCUGAUGGUCAGAUUUUAGUUGAUCAUUAGAGGUUUGUGAGUUUGUUCCAAAUGCAUUUAUUGCCUUUGUCUUCUGGGGCUGUACCGCGUAAUGAAGCUCCAAAUAAUCAACCUUUGGUGCCUCCUCCUUUUGGGAUUCUGCCUAGUACCGAGGCUCCGAAUAAUCAUCCUAUGGUGCCUCCUCUUUUUAGGGCUAUGUCGAUUGCUAAGACUUCUCCUGAGCAACCUUUGUGAAGGCUCCCUCUUAUUUGUUUAUUUUGAUUCAUGUAUAUGUACAUAUUUGUAAUUUAUCGGAGAUAUCAAUAAACAAGUUUUGCUUCAUUUCAACGUAUUGUGUUAAAUACAUCAAGGCCUUCUUCACUUAGUUCUUUGAAUUUUUCCUUUUGUUGAAACUUGUAUGUUGAAGCUUUGUGAGUGAAGCAUGUAGGUUGAGGUAGUGCUCCCCUAAUUUUCCGAGUGAGGAAAACUUCUCUUUUGGAAACUUGAAAAAUUCAAGUCACUGAGUGGUCGUGAGACUUCCGAGUAUCAAGGUGCAGUAGCAUAUGGUAGGAGUCCCCCAAGUUUCCGGUCGAAGUAGUUGACGAAUGAGGCAUUUCCUUUCUAAGUGGUAGCUCAAAACUCCUUCUUCAUAUAUAUUUGUUAUGAAAGUUGUUAGACUCAUAGAAUAGGAGGCCUAGGCAAUUUUUAUUUUAUUUUUUUGAAUUUUUUUUUUUCGAUUUUUUUUCGAAUUUUUGAAUUUCCAAAAUUUUGAAUUUUUGAAUUUUUGAAUUUCUGAAAAUAUAUAUAUAUAUAUAUAUAUAUAUUUUUUUUUUAAAGCUUUGUAAGUGAAGCUUUGGUGUUGAAGCUUUGAGGUUGAAGCUUUGUUGGGCACCAUGAAUUGAUUUUGCUUCACACUAUCUUGAUCAAGAUAGUGUGAAACUUUUGUAGGUGAAGCUUUUGUAUUGAAGCUUUGUAGGUAAAGCUUUUGUAUUGAAGUUUUGUAAGUGAAGUUUUUGUGGGUGAAGUUUUUGUGGGUCAAGCUUUUGUAGGUGAAGCUUUUGUAUUGAAGCUUUGUAAGUGAAGUUUUUGUGGGUGAAGUUUUUGUGGGUCAAGCUUUUGUAGGUGAAGCUUUUAUGGGUCAAGCUUUUGUAGGUCAAGCUUUUGUAGGUCAAGCUUUUAUGGGUCAAGUUUUUGUGGGUCAAGCUUUUGUGGGUGAAGCUUUUGUAGGUGAAGCUUUUGUGGGUGAAGCUUUUGUGGGUGAAGCUUUUGUGGGUGAAGCUUUUGUGGGUGAAGCUUUUGUAGGUCAAGCUUUUAUGGGUCAAGCUUUUGUGGGUCAAGCUUUUGUAGGUGAAGCUUUUGUGUUGAAGCUUGCUUUUGUGGGUGAAGCUUUUGUAGGUGAAGCUUUGAAGUUGAAGCUUUUGUUGGGUACCAUGAAUUGAUUUUGCUUCACACUAUUUUCAUCAAGAUAGUGUGAAGCUUUUGAGAAUUUGUAGUUGUCCUCCAUUGAUGAAGCUUUGGAGUUGAAGUUUUAUAGGUGAAGCUUUGGAGUUGAAACUUUUGUUGGGUACCAUGAAUUGAUUUUGCUUCACACUAUCUUGAUUAAGAUAGUGUAAAGCUUUUGAGAAUUUGUAGUUGUCCUCCAUUGAUGAAGCUUUGUUGAAUUUCCACACUGUUGAGCAAGAGAUUGUGAUGCAAGCCACACCUUGUAUUAGUCGAAGGUUUGGAUGAACCAUAUAAAUUGAAUUUGCUUCGAAGGUCUAAGAAUUGUAGUUGCCCUCCAUUGAUGAAGCUUUUGUUGGCACCAUAAAUUGGUUUUGCUUCACACUGUCAUGAUCAAGAGUGUGUGAAGCUUUUGAGAAUUGUGGUUGAACUCCUUUGGUGAAGCUUUUUUUGGCACCAUAAAUUAGUUUUGCUUCACACUGUCUUGAUCAAGAGUGUGUGAAGCUUUUGAGAAUUGUGGUUGCCCUUCAUUGAUGGAGCUCUUGUUGGCACCAUAAAUUGGUUUUGUUUCACACUGUCUUGAUCAAGAGUGUGUGAAGCUUUUGAGAAUUGUGGUUGAACUCCUUUGAUGAAGCUCUUGUUGGCACCAUAAAUUGGUUUUGCUUCACACUGUCUUGAUCAAGAGUGUGUGAAGUUUUUGAAAAUUGUGGUUACCCUCCAUUGAUGAAGCUCUUGCUGUUGGCACCAUAAAUUGGUUUUGCUUCACACUGUCUUGAUCAAGAGUGUGUGAAGCUUUUGAGAAUUGUGGUUGCCCUCUAUUGAUGAAGCUUUUGUUGUCACCAUAAAUUGGUUUUGCUUCACACUGUCUUGAUCAAGAGUGUGUGAAGUUUUUAAGACUUGUGGUUGAACUCCUUUGAUGAAGCUCUUGUUGGCACCAUAAAUUAGUUUUGCUUCACACUAUCUUGAUCAAGAGUGUGUGAAGCUUUUGAGAAUUGUGGUUGCCCUCUAUUGAUGAAACUCUUGUUGGCACCACAAAAGCUUGACCCACGAGGCUUAUGUAUUGAUGAAGCUCUUGAUGCAUAAAAUCAGUGAGGACUUUGGUACAACAUAAAGUGUUAAGUUUGUGACAUUCGCUAGAUUGCUCCGGUCACUAGUAUGGAUAAGUAUGUAAAUGGAUAGAGAUAGGGAAGCAAACACAAGAUGUACGUGGUUCACCCAAAUUGGCUACGUCCACGGAGUAGAGGAGUUCUCAUUAAUUGGGAAGGGUUUACACAAGUACAUAGGUUCAAGCUCUCCUUUAAUGAGUACUAGUGAAUGAUUUAGUACAAAUGACAUUAGGGAAUAUUGUGAGAGAAUGAUCUCUAUUUAUAGAAGAUAGUUUCUAAUUUCAUUCUGAUAUUGACACGUGUCGUGUUGUGAUUGGCUUCUGAUGUUGACACAUGUCGCGCUAUGAUUGGCUUCUGAUGUCGACAUGUGUCGCGCUGUGAUUGGCCUCCUGGUUGGAGAGAAACUCUUCUGGGUCCUUGAUGGUAUAACGUUGACCGGUACUCAGUAGUUUCGGGAUUGGUCAAGUAUGGUACAAAUAAAAACAAUACCAAACGAAGCAUAAAACCUAUUAACAAGAAGUUGAGGAAUCUAAUUUCCUCAUGUCUUAAUUAGCAUCUUAACACUAAUUAGCUCGCAAAGAUUUGACUAAUAUACAUAACAAUAAUCAAUCUAACCGAUGAAGAAGCCAUGAAGCCACUCUUCAAUGUUGACCUUCUCCUCCACGUCAAAUUCUCAAUGUUAACAAUAGGUCUUAGUUCAAUUGCGAGAAUAUUCAUGGCUGAAGCGACCGGCAUACUCUCGUAGUGACUCGUCCGGCUUCUGGCAAAUAGUGUACAAGUAAUCUGCAGAAUGCAAGUGAUCGAUCUGGAAGAUGUGUUGAGAGACAAACAGUUUCCUUAAUUCCUCAAAUGAGUCUACUGUCUCAGGUGGAAUACGGCAAUACCAGUUUAGAGCUCCGCCAGAAAUAGUGGAGGGGAAGAGAAGACAUCGCUCUUCGUCGGUGUGCAUUCGAUAUGCCAUGGUGGACUCAAAGAGGUUAAAGUGUUCAAUUAGGUCCUCCCUUCCUGUAUAGAGUUGUAAACCAAGCUUUUGUUUUGUCUUCGCUUGAAGGGGCGUGUCGAUGAUCCUUCUUAUGAGAAGGCCAAGCCUGGGUUGGUUCCAGUCAGGUAUCUCGGCCUAACGUUUGGCAUUCAACUUGUUUACUUCCUCAAGGAGCUGUAGGGCAAUGGGGUCCUGAGUGGAGUCAUGUGUCACUGGAAUUUUCUUUCGUAAGUCUUCAUCGCCUCUUGGAAGUAGGAAAGUUUAAGCAAUGACGUGUGGUUUUUUCAUGGACUCGCUGUACUGACUUUUAGGGCAAGUAUGUCGGAAUACCUCAGAGUCCCCCAUACCUUCAUGUUCCUCUGGGACCAGUCAUUCCUUCCCUAGAUUGGCAGUUGGCCUGGGUCGUGGGAGGGGAUCGAGUCUUUCAGAAACCCUUGGGUCAUUGAUUUUCGAGCAUAUGUGGAGGGGAUUUUUUCGACGUUGCUUUAGGAAGUCUCGGCAGUCACGAUAAAUGGUUUUCGAUCCUUCCAACCUUUCUGCAAGGAGGUGUCUUCCUCCACUUUUUCUACUUCGGGUCGAAGCAUCUGGGUUGAAAGAAGUCUCAUGUUGAUCAAUGUUUUGAUGAUUAGCUCGCUCCUCAUCAGGGAUACCCAUGUCGAAUGGAGGUGACCCUCCGUGUUGGGGGGCACCCAGAUGAUAGUUGAUGUCCAUAGGGGUAACGAGCUUCCGUGUUUGAGUACGCUUAGUUUCGUGGAGUGUCUUAAAGAGCUUCUCAUACUGCUCCUGGAGGACCUCAUUCUUCAUUUCUAUCUUGUUGUUCUAAGCUUUUAGCUCAUCGACUUUAGCUUGAAAAGCAACCAUCUUUCCUUCAUUCUUUCGUUUCUUCGCACUAGGUGCAAGAGGGGUGUCAUUCUAUGUGCUGUGGCUUCCUUCGCUCCCCAUGUUGGAAAGGGAUGCCUGGUCAAAAUAGAGUGUACGAAUGGUGGAAACCAGCUUGGCAAAGCUGAAGAGAGUGGGAAUAAGUGUCGUUCCCACAGACAGCGCCAAAUGUUGAUACACAAAAUCAGCGAGGACUUUGGUACAACAAAAAGUGUUAAGUUUGUGACAUUCGCUAGAUUGCUCCGAUCAUUAGUGUGGAUAAGUAAGUAAAUGGAUAGGGACAGGGAAGCAAACACAAGAUGUACGUGGUUCACCCAGAUUGGCUACGUCCACGGAGUAGAGGAGUUCUCAUUAAUUGUGAAAGGUUUACACAAGUACAUAGGUUCAAGCUCUCCUUUAGUGAGUACUAGUGAAUGAUUUGGUACAAAUGACAUUAGGAAAUAUUGUGAGAGAAUGAUCUCUAUUUAUAGAAGAGAGUUUCUAGUUUCAUUCUGACUUUGACACGUGUCGUGUUGUGAUUGGCUUCUGAUGUUGACACGUAUCGCGCUAUGAUUGGCUUCUGAUGUCGACACGUGUCGCACUGUGAUUGGCCUCCUGGUUGGAGGAAAACUCUUCUGGGUCAUUGACGGUAUAAUGUUGACUGGUGCUCAGUAGUUUCGGGAUUGGUCAAGUAUGGUACAAACACAAAAUGUAUUGAUGCUAGGUGAAUAAGUCGCAACACAAAAUGAAAACGGACCAAUGCCAAAUUAAAAUGUAUCGACCAAAUUUAUUUAUUGGUACUAGAUAAAGUACGGACCCAAUUUAUUUACCCAUUCUAUACAUGCCACUUCAAGUAAUGCUUAGAAAGUACAUGCCUACUAACACACAAUUAACUUUAUAAAUUAAAUAUGAAAAUAAAUGUACCAAUCAACAAUAUUAAUAAAAUCGCUUUGAAAAAAAUGUAUAAAGUUAAAUUGAAUAUAGAAAUAAACGUACCAAUCAACAAUAUGAGUAAAAUUGCUUUAAAAAAAUAAUAUAUAUAUAUAUAUAUAUAAUCAAACGAUUGUGGUGGCACUAGUGGCGGUUGUGGUGGCAGUUGUGACGAUUGUGGUGGCGGUGCAGUGGUGGUGGUGGUGGCAGUGGCGGUGAUGUAAGGUUAGUGUUUAUAGUGGUAAGUGGUGGCAAUCAUUUUAUUCUCCAAGGAUUAAAUGUGUGUAGAAGGAUAAAAUAUGUUAUUUUAAAAAACUAAUGAAGGUAUUACAAGAAUUGAAAAUUUUCAUUAAAUGCUCAAUUCCUUUUAAAAACAACCUAUAUGCUUCUUUUAAAAAUUGUUGUAUGGAGACUAUUGUUUUUAAAAUAAACAGAAUAUUUUAUUUUUACCAAACACUUUUUACUGCUUAACUAUAAAUGAAACAAAUUUCGAUAAAAAAAAAACAACACCAAACGAAGCAUAAAACCUAUUAACAAGAAGUGGAGGAGUCUAAUUUCCUCAUGUCUUAAUUAGCAUCUUAACACUAAUUAGCUCGCAAAUAUUUGACUAAUAUACAUAACAAUAAUCAAUCUAACCGAUAAAGAAGCCAUGAAGCCACUCUUCAAUGUUGACCUUCUCAUCCACGUCAAAUUCUCGAUGUUAACAAUAGGCCUUAGUUCAACAAUGAGCAUAUAUUAUUCCGUUAUACUUUCAAAACCAAUAUGAACUCAAACAUUCGGCUAAAAUACACCUCAUAUUCGAACAAUAUAUUUUGUUAAUUGUGAAAGGUGAUUUGGAAGAUAAUUGUGAUACUUGAUGCCAUGCGCGCUCUCGAUUUCUAACUACUCAUGCCGCCAUUGUCAUUGGGUAUGACCGGUGACAACUUGGUGGAAACGUAGCAAUUCGACACGAUUAUUCUCCAAACAUAUGAUUGUUGAGAGCCUGAAUCCUAUGUAAGGGUGGGCAACGGUUAUGCCAGACGGGUAACCGCGGUUAUUUACUUAUAACUGUUUAUGCUCAUACUCGCAUAACCGUUUACCCAUUUGGUAAUUGCCUAAAUUGUUAUACUCAUACCUAUAACCGUUUAUAAACGGUUAACCAUACCAAUAAUCGCAUACCCAUUUAACCGUAACCGUUUAAUACCCGUUUACUCAUUUUUAACUUGUUUAUCUUUUUCCCAUUUUUAACUUGUUUAUCUUUUUUUUUUACCAUUACCCAUUUUUCACCCAUCUACAUGUUUUUUAACAAAUUGAAAUUUUAAAAAAAAUUUGUCAUAAUUUUUUUUGACAAUUAAACACCGUUAUAGGGGUACAUUCAUUAUACAUUUCCUUAUUUUAAUUUUUUAAGUCCUUAUACCGUUUCAAUAAUUGAAAUAAUAGUUUACAGACGAUAUUUUUAAGGGGUGUGAUAUCCACACACCCCAUUUUACUUCUCACACACCUUUUUAAUUUUCGACCGUCGGAUCAGAUGAAUUGAAGAAGAUCAACGGACAAUAAUUAUUAAAGGUGUGUGAGAAGUAAAAUAUGGUGUGUGGAUAGCACACCCCUAUUUUUAACUGUUACCAAUGAAGGUAAUAUAAUAUUUGCUAAGUAUUCUUGGGUUAUGAAAACUGUUUAGAAGACAGUAUUUUUGAGUUAUUUAACCCAUAGUGCAAAGUAUUAACAUAAUAUAUAUAAUGAGCUACAUUAUUUUAUAAUUAGCUAUAUAAACCAUGCACUAUAGUCAAUAGCAUCAGAGGUGCAAUUUGGGCUGAGCCAACCCGAACCCGCCCAUGUCUAACCUGACUUUAAACUCGAAUAAGCGAAUUUUGUUGUUGUUAUAACCCGCCUGAACCCAACCCGAUUUCAACCCGUUCAUUGAUUGGGUUGGAUUGGGUUGAUCAUUUGUCCAUCCCAACCCAAUCCAAUUAACCAAACCCUAUUAGGUUGAGCUGUGCAACAUACUUCUCAAUAACCUUUGCACCUUUGCACCUUUGCACCUUUGCACCUUUGCACUUUCAUGAGAACCUACUGAUAUGAUAUACAAUUUGACUUGAAAGGAAUCAUAUUAAGUUUAUUUUGCUUUUCACAUCACAUCCUGUAGAACAACUUCCUUUAUUAAAUUAAUAUUGCAACUAUUCGACCUCUCUUUGAGAUCUGCUUCACAGUUUGAGUUGUGAUUGUUUCUUAUGCUGAUUCAGACGAAGUAGGCUAUUGAGCAAGUAAAUUUGAGGGAAAGUGAUUUUAAGGUCAGUUGUUUGCUAAUACAAAUAGGUUGACAUCAUUGUUGAAAAACAUUAAACACUACUUGAAAAAGUUAGGCAACCCAAACUCAACCCAAGUAAAUCCAAACCCGAUUAAACCCGAGCCCGACUAAACCCGAUUAAAACCCAAUCCGAACCCGAACCCGAAUUGUAAAAGUUGGGUUAGGAUUUGGUUGAUUUUCCAACUCGCCCGAGUUGCACCCCUAAAUAGCAUUGAUCUAAGUUUUGUCCUAUAGAGAACAUGGUUUGUGUUAAUUUUACAUAUAUAAAAUAAAUGGGUAAACGGUUACCUGUUUAUAACCGUUAUUUAUACCUAUAACCGUUUAUUUAUCUAAAUAGUUACCUAUAACCAUAACCGUAAAGUUUAAAUAAGUGGGUAACUGCGAUUACAAGGUAUUUUACCCAUAUUCCCAUGUCAGAAAGUAAAGCAUUGCCGUAUAAUUUAAAUUAUCUUAGAUCAGUUGAUUUUAGACCGAAUGUUCACAUUCUAAAAUUUCUAAUAACGUCUGCGUUGGUUGUGAUAUGAGUUCUGCACCUCCGAUAUUGUAAAGCAUUAAAUAAAGGCCCAAUUACAAAUUCAUAAUUUUGGCCCAUGGUUUUUGGGCCCAGAGUAAGGUUGCGUAAUUUCCAGGGUCAAGUUUUAAAUUUGAUGCUUAAAUAGCAAGCCCAACCUUUUGCAAUCUCUUACAUGGGCAUUUUCCAGUCUUUACUUUUCAUUUUCAUUUUUACUUUGGAAUUCUAAUCCUGUAUAACAGUACAUGUGGAAAAUCUAUAUCUUUUUUUCUUUUUCUGCAUAUUCCUGUUUAGUUUUGUUAUUUGAUUUUCUAAUACUUUAUUUCAUUCAAAGGUUAGAAAUGAGCAAGAUUUGUGUGUGGGAGAAAAAAGUGUGUGCGACAAUCAUUUCUCAUUUCAUUUUUUAUCGAGGAGAUAAGAGAUUCAAACUUAAAAUCUCUUCUAACAUUGAGAAGUAUCACUAUUGUACUAACGACUAGUUGGUAAUCUUGCACAUGUGUUCAAAACCAAAAAAUUUCUAUUUUGUAUAAUGAGAUGCAAAAUUUAGAUUGCAACGAAGUUCUUCUUUUUAUGCAUGUGAGAGUGAAAUUGCAAUAAAUCGAACAACUUCAAUUACAUAUAUAAGAGUUUCUUUUCUUGUUUGUUAGAAAAUUUUGUGCAGAACGGUUUCAUAUUACAUAUGUAUCUUUUUACUUUUUAUCACGUAUCUUGUCAGGUGACUUCGCAAUGAGAGAUAGAAACACGUCAAGAUACAACGAUUGUUCCAAGAAAGUUUUCUAGUGGUAUGAGAAAGUUAACGAAAAGGGUUGGGACUUGGGAGGCGUUACGUCGUUAUCUGUAACGGUCUUAACAUGGAGCCAAGAUGGGAUGGUAGGGUUUUCGUGUGCAUGAAGGAUGCAGAUGACCUGAUCUGCCUUUCCCUUUGUGCUUGUGACCUCCUGCAAUUUCCAUAUCGACAAAACUUUUGCCCCUUGAUGGAAAUAUCCAACUUUGUGGGGGCCACCAGUCCAAUCCAUGCAUGGAUCCGGCCCGUUCAAUUUUCAUCGCCAGAAUUCAGUUGAUCACCUUGAUAUCAUGACCUAAUUCAAUCAUCAUUUGGAAGACUUUUUUGUCAAAUAAAACGAAAUAAUUGAUUAAUAUGAUUACAAGAUUAAUUCUUCAUUUUCAACAAUAUUGUAGGAUUUAUUUACUAGAGUGAUAGAAGAUUUGAACUUGAAUCCAGACCGCUUUAAAAACUCGUAAAAAAAUAGUAUCAAUGACCAUUUCCUCCUGUUUUGGAGGCAAAUUUGGUCCACUGUUUUUGUGCAUGAAUAAUGGUUGCCUUUAGUAUUAUUUGCUACUUUUUCUUCAGUAAAACAAUAAUACUGUCACUUUCUAUGAUGCCCAUUUCACACUAGCAUGCCCUGGAAGAACUAAAUAUCUUUUGUCAACAAAAAUCUUCCAUAGGUUGUUCCAAUCCAAGCUAGCCUUGGGUUGUCAUGAUGAUUUUGGUUUUAAUACAAAGUAAAUGGUAUAUAUCAACCGACCAACUGUAUAAGUUACUGUCAGUCGUUAAUAUAUGAACGUUGGUUCAUAUAAAUCUCAUAGGUUCCAUUUGGUGUACGAAAUGAAAGGUUGUGAGUAACAGUUAUAUCCUUAAAGAAAAUAUUGACAAAUUAUGUAAUGUACCCAUCCUGCAGUCCUCAUGUUGGCCAUAACCCUACCCAUGUGCAAAUACAAGUGAACAUAUAUCUCUUUUAAUGUAAUCAAAAUUAAAUUGAAACUUAAAACUUAAAUAAGAUUAGGGUUUUGAAUAUUCUAACGUGCAUGGGUUUGGUGACAUAGCAGGUUUAUUCGGUCCCUCGUACACUAGCAAAAGAGCUUGAAAUUAAUUAAUAUAAUUUUAAUUAAAUUAAAUAAUAAUGAUUAAGCUGAGUAAGAAGGAAGAAAGAUCUCCUAAUUAAUCAUCUCCCAAUUGGAUGCAUGACAGUAGCAUUUGGCCCACGUUCCGGAGUAGGCUCCAUCCUCCAUAACAUGCACAUGAGCUGCCAACCAUUUGGUCUCUCUGGGACCGCAUCAUAUUCAUCUGCAGUUAUUUGGAUUCUCAUACGAUCGACACAGAGAGAGAGAGAGAGAGAGAGAGAGAGAGAGAGAGAGAGAGAGGUUUGCAUUGUGAUGAGUGUGAACCCAUGAGACGUUGCAUAGUAUUAUCUUCUGCUACUAUCCCUCCCCAUUGGUUCUGCAAACCCAACACCAACCAAGAUAAGCGUUAGGCUAGUCGGUCGCCUUACCGCUUCUGGUGACGGUAUACUGUUGAUGUAUGUAUAAAUAAUGAACGACUGAGUUUAGUAUUCAUCUAUCUCUUUUGAAAUACCAAACGUACAAUAUGUGACAUUUGUGUAACAAAAGCCGUCUCCUUAUUCUUAUACUUCCAACACCUAGAGUAGUACGUAGCAGUGGUAGUCUUAUCGCACUUACUGACCUUUUUGUUUCAAUUGAUUCUCUCGAUUGAUAAGUGGCCGGUGUUUGGUCCUAAAUAGAAAUUAGGUUAAAUUAUAAACAUAAUCUUUUUCACAAAUGUAUGUUUUACAAUAAGGUAGAAUAAUUAUGUUGACAAAAUUGAAGGUUUCAAUGUACGAUAGAUUAAUUGGAAUGUAGAUGAUUCUCAGUUGUUGAGGCAUUCACUUUAUUUGGUGCGGAUGUAUAAUUGAUGGACAGUCGUUCAUGCACGUGUGUUUGUAUGAAGAUAUGUAAAGCAACCCUCUAGAUAUGAAUAGACAUAAGGUCUUUGUAAGUUGGGCUACUACUAUAUAGCGAAUUAAUUUUAUGUUGAAACCUCAGCUUUAUUCAUGAUAUCAAAGUAGGGUGUUUCAUGUGUGAAGCCCAACGGCUACACGUGCUUCACAUCACUCAUUUUAUUUUGUCCAUGUGCUAAGCUUAAAAAUUCGUCACGUGAUGAGACGUGUUGGAGUAUUAAUCCUACAUCGAAAAGAAGGAAACUUGCAUUGACAAAUAAGAUACGCUAAUACCCAUAUUAUCAAUUAAUUUUAUAAAUUUUAUAGUAAAACCCAAACAUUUUUCAUAAUUUUCUUUGGAGUUAACUAAAGCCAGAAGUUUGUGGUGUUGUUAACUCACUACCUAGGAGUGGACAUUUUAACCGGUAAAUCGGGUCGAGAAAACCAAAAGAAUCGGGUUUGACAUUGUCACAUUCUUGUUGCAUUUUUUCCCAAAUACCGAAUGUAAUGUGCCAUUCUUGUUACGGACAAGGAUUGUCUGCCCUCCUAGUUGUGGUGCCCUUCUAUGCCCUCCUAUUUUGUGCGGUCACGGUUAAGCCACGUCAACAUUUUAUAUUAAUUUUUUAAUGAGAUAAUAAGACAAAAAACAAUAAAAAUAUAAAAUAUUAACGUGGCUUAACCGUGACCGCACAAAAUAGGAGGGCAUGGAAGGGCACCACAACUAGGAGGGCACCUUGUCCUUCUUGUUACAAAAGCCUCUUUAUUCUUAUCCAAUAGAAGUAGUACGUAGUCUUAUCUCACCUAAUGGUCUUUUCUGUCAAUUGAUUCUCUCAGUUUAUAUAUAAGCUUUGUUUGUUUCAAAAUACAAAUUAGCUAAAUCAUAAACGUAAUGUGUUUCUGUUUGGAUCUUACUGUACACCAUUGAUCUGUUUAAUUGAGGCUGUUGAAUUUUAAUAUUUUUCUUAAAUAUUACUAUUGCUGAUUCGAAUUCAAUAGAGAAAACCAGGCAUUAUCCAUUGCUGGUUGUUUGUUGGAGAUCCAUUUGUUGAUAAAGACUUACUCAAGUGAUGGCAAGGAUUUUCCAACUUGGCUUGAGUAAAGAAAAGAUAAAAGAAGGUACCAUCCAUUUGUGAUAUUAUCCCUUUGGCCAAUUUGAUAAUUUAUUCUUUUUGGCCAAUUUGAUAGUAUUUCCUAAUAGAAUGCUCAGUGUUCAUUAAGAUAAAGAUGGCCAUCAAAAGGCCUUUGGUAGCCACGGUAUGGACUUUACAACACGUUCAAGCGUAUUAGUCCUAUAAAUACAUAAAACCGUGUAAUGAGAAGGCAACCUUCAACUUAACAUACAAAUAUGCCUUGCACAAAUCUCGCUCUAGGCGAACACUUCUCACACUCAGAGAACUAACUAACUCACAUUUUGAGAAAUCACUAACUCUCCACUUUCCUAACUACUUAAAGCUCGAUUGAUUAUCUAUCCAAGUCUCAGCUGACGAGGAGUCCUUGAUUCUUUAAUUGAACGAGGUCACUUUACUAGCUUUCCAACCAAAUUAAGUGUUUUAUGCUUGGUUACUUCUGGUACAUUUUAGAGUUCGGUAUUCUGACGGUUGAACAACAUUUACCAUCAAGACAUUUAUCUCUUUCGAGUACGAGUAUCCUUACAGUUUAACUCCGAACUGAUCAGAGCACUUAUAUUUUCACAAAUAUAGUCGAGGCGGCCGAACCUGGUGCAAAAGAUCAUGAACUUCACAGUGACUAACAACCUUUUUGACAUCACCACCACAUUCAUUCUACUAACCGACCGAGUUCGAUGGCAAGUUAGCACGACCGCAUUCAUCAUAAUGACGUAGUUAGCUUUUUGUUAUUCAGUCUACGUGUAAGUAAACUUGAUAGUUUUUAAGGUCAACAAUUUCACAAAUUGUGCUUUACAUUCUAACAAGUUUUACGAUCUCAACUUAUACUAGACGAAGGCGGACGAUCGAUUGUUAGUUGUUGCUGCGAGUUUCAUUGUGAUUGCGGAUGUAUAAUUGACAUACAAUCGUAACGUGUGUUUGUGGGCAAAGCAACUCUCUAGACAUCAAAAGAUAAGGUCUUUAGUUUUAUUCAGAAUUUGAGGUGUCUAUAUAAGUCACAAAAACCAAGAAACCUCUCGAACUCGUACCUUGGAUGCAGUGGAUGGGUUCCUAUCACAUGGUUGUCGCCAAAGGCAACAGAAGAGUACUCGCUAUAAUACUAAAUUAACAUGGUCCACUAGACGGUGGCUUUCCACCCUUUUUGUCGAUCGUGAGAGUAUGAUUUGGCCAAAUGCACUGUUAUUCUCCCAAAGUCGAGGUCAAUUUAGUAAACUAAUAUAUAGAAGUUUUUAAAAGUCACUAGUCUAGUAGCGGGUAGAGGCCUGUCGCUUAGGGGGGCCUAGGUAAUUUUUUAUUUUUAAUUAAUUUUUUAUAUAAUAUAUAGAUAAAUAUCUACUUAUAUUUUUUUUAAAAUAUAACUGUAUUGAGAUACAUUAAUUAGAAAAUGGAACUAUAUAUAAAUUAUAAAGUAUUAGAAUUGAAAACAUGGGGAAUAAACAUAUAAUGAGUGUUCAUCUCAAUAUUUAACAAGUUUUUUACAAUUUAUUGAAAAAAUAAAAUGUAAAAUGAAAGUUAUCUAUUUUCUAUCUAAAUGAGAGUUACGAUCUAGACGAGCGCCUACGCAGAUCUAGACGCUCUUUCUUAGUUUUCAAACGUCUAGUGAUCAAUCAAAGCGAUGACUACCUGCUUAGCGCCUAGGCAGGCUUAAGCGAAGCUAGGCGGUAAUUUUUAAAAGAAUGUGAUAUAUAGUUAGUAAUGAUAGCUACAAGGAAGAAAGAAACAACCCCACUGUACGAAACCAAAAACACUAAGCUACGAUGUGUUCUUAUCAUCUUAAGUUGUCCUACGAAUAAGUUAUGAAACCUAAUAUUAUGUUGUUGACCUAACCAAGUAGCUAGUAGCUAGUAUCGUUCACAUCAUCACUCCUAAAGUAACUUGAGGUAAAUUAGUUGCAAGAUAGCUAGAAUACAGAUCCGUCAAGGGACAUUUUUGUAAGACACAUUUUUAUUGAAAGCGCUACAAAUUUUUAUCGAAAAUUCAAGUACAUCUUGUUGGAGCAUAACGUGGUAUUGUUUGCAUACAUCAUGUAAAACUUUUACAUGUUAGGAUUUAACAAAGCAAGUAUUUUACGUUUUCAUCUCUCACACUUCAUUGUGAUCGAAACUCAAAAGAAAGAUGAUAAUAAGGUCAACUAGUACCCUAAUGAAUAUGAUUUUUAAUUUUCCGUGUAUUGCAUUACGGUUAAAAUGCAAGAUUUUUCCAAUAUUAAACUAUCAUAAGUAGUGUGUGAUGUCAGAGAUAUUACGAGACGAAGAACUUGCUGGUUCUAGUAUGAAAAUUGUUUUUGAAAUUUUGAUUUAAAAUGAUUCAGUCUUCAUAGGUGUCGGCGGGUUGGAUUGGUUUUUAGCUUAAAAGACCAUUUCUGUCCAUUAAUGUUGGUAGUCAGUUGAAUCAAUUAUUUUUUCUACGUGUUUAAUCUUAAACAAAAUUAAAAAAACGGUUUGUUUGGGGAAGGCUGUUAUUUAUUUUUAUUAAUUUUGAAAAAGUCGCGGUAAAAUCCCGGACAACUGUCAGCAGCUGGAGUCACUGUCAGUCGCGCUUGCACGCCGCCGUAGCUUAUUAAACUCCGGUCACUCACUUCCGCUCGUCUUCCGCCGGAAACGCCCUUUUUUUUUUGCUCGAUCAAUAAAAAUUAAAGUUAAAAAAAAAAGAAAAGAAGAAGAACGUUUCUGAAUUACCAAUCAGCUCUUCAACUUCCAUUGGCCACAGCAGUACAGAGCACUGUGUCUCUCUACUUUCUCUCUCUACACACUCUCUCGUAUACUUUCUCUCUCUAUACAGAGAGAAACACAGCACGAGAGCUCUCUGUUGGUAUUUUUUACGGACGUACACGCGGUUGUGUAGGCGUAGAUUCCUUUGCCCCCACUGCGUCAUAUAAUUUUAUCAAUAAAUAAAUGCCAAAAAGCUCUCUCUCUCCCCGCUGAAACCGCAUUUAUACACAGAGAGAGGGCCUAUUCCUAACGUUUUCCUCAUUUUUAUGUGCUGCUUUGGUUUGCCUAUAUUCACUCCUCCUCCGGGGAUCUCAGCCGUCCUCCGCCGCUCUUGCGAGAAUUCACCGGCUCAGCUGUCACCGGCAAGUUUCUCUCUUUGCUUUGGUAUUUAUUUCUGCUGAAAUUUUAAGCUGUUUUUUGUUUGUAAAGUUGGAAACUUUGCUGUGAUGGAAUUGAUGGGUUUUGAGUAUGUUGAUUUUGUGCGGAUUUUGAGGGCAUAAGUGGGUAAUUUGUGGAUUUUGGGCAGAUGGGCAGAUGGGCAGCUGUUGUUUUAGCCCAGUGCAUACGUGGUCUACAGUGUACUGCUUUUGGAUUUCUGGGGAACCUAUAGAGAAUAAUUGCCAGAAAGAUAUGGUCUUGUAGUGUAAACUUAUUGAUUUCUGGGUGAAAUCGAAGGUUUCAUAUCUGGGUUUGUUUUAAUUCGUUGAAUUGGGGAUUUAUAUCUCGUGGAAUUGGACUAUUGGCGUUAUAAAAUUCUGGAGUUUUUGUGGAAUUUGGAUUUAUGGAGGCUUUUGGAGGCAGAGCUCGGAAUUUCUAUGGUACGAUGGUGCCGGAUUUGAAGGGGGCUGGGAAAAAGAGUUUGGAAUGGGAUUUGAAUGAUUGGAAAUGGGAUGGUGAUCUUUUUACCGCUAGUCCUUUGAAUGCUGUACCAUCUGAUUGUAGGAGCAGGCAGUUGUUUCCGCUUGGGCUGCCGGAAACUCCCUCCACUGCUGGUUUGUCCAACAGUUCUUCUUCUGGUUCGGACGGUAUCUGUCCAGGGAAUGAGAAAGGUAAAAGAGAGCUGGAGAAAAGAAGAAGGGCUAGUUUUGUAGAAAAUGAAGGGCUAACUGAUGAAGUUGGGUCUCUUAAUCUCAAGCUUGGCGGGCAAGCUUACCCAAUCAUGGAAGGAGAGGUACAACAUGGGAAGAAGACGAAGAUAGUUGGGACUACUUUAAACCGAGCAGUUUGUCAGGUGGAGGACUGUAAGGCUGAUCUUAGCAAUGCCAAGGAUUACCACCGACGACAUAAGGUCUGUGAUAUGCAUUCUAAGGCAACUAAAGCGGUGGUGGGAAAUGUUUUGCAGCGGUUCUGUCAGCAGUGUAGCAGGUUAGUUCAAUUCUAUGGUUGUCCUUGUAUGGUGAGAAAUAUUUCAAAUUUUCUUCAGUUAAGUUCUACGUCGUUUAUUCGGUGCUUUCUUAUAGACAUUGUUUCUAGAAGAUGAAAUACAGAGUUUGAUUUGUAAGUUUUAAAAAAAUUAUUUGUUGCUCUCAUGAUUUGGGUCCAUAGUUGUUCAUCACUGUGUUUGGUAUAGUCGAAUUUUGAAGAACUUUUUUGUUGAAUUUGGAAUGUGGUUAUACUUAUGGGCAGGUUUCAUGGCCUUCAAGAGUUUGAUGAAGGAAAGAGAAGUUGUCGUAGACGUUUGGCAGGCCACAAUAGGAGGAGAAGAAAAACACAUCCUGAUACUGUAGUUAAUGGAGGCUCAUUGAAUGAUGAAAGAGGAAGCAGUUAUCUAUUGAUUAGUUUGCUGAGAAUACUCUCCAACAUGCACUGUAAAUCUUUGUGUUAUUGCACAUUCAAUUUUUGGCUGCUUUGCCUGACAUUAAAUUGAUAUGCUAAGUGUAUGUUAAGUGGUUACCGGAUUGUGUGUUGAUUGCCAUAGACUGAUGUCAAAGUUCUUGUGGUCUUUUGCUCUUAGGUUUUGUCAUUAUUUGAUUGAGGCUUGUAGCAAAAUGAUUAUGUCAAUUAACAUUUAAUAACUCCACUCAUAAAUUUUUAUUUGUAAACAUACAACAUAUUACUUGAUGAGUCCUUAACUGCUUAAGGUGCUCUAUUUUUGUGUAUAAAUGACAAAGUGCUAGUUUCUCUGAAUUUAAUUUGAUGAAAAUUUGAAUAUUGAUGCUUACGCAUGAAAAGUUUUCAGUUUUUCAGAGGUUGAUUUGAUAGAAAGUUAGAAUUUUGUGCAGACCUUCAUGUCGAAAAAUAUUUCAAUUUUUAUAAUCCAGAUUACACCUUGUGUGCUUGAAUUUCAUCCCUUGAACCCUUGUUUUUUGCACUUUCUUUCUCUGAUUGUUGGACUGUCCAUAUUUCACAUUCUAGGAUGCAUGAAGGAAGGGCCUAUUAAAGGGAAUUCUAAUUAGGAAUUGUUAUUUAGGAAAUUAUGUCUCAGUGAUCAUGUUAUUAUAAUAUUUAUUUGAUUAUGUUUGUGUUUGUUUUUCUUCUCAUAAGUGUCUUACUCAACUCCACUUUUGAUGCCUAAAAUGCAGCUAAUAGUUCAGAUCAAACAAAGGAUCAGGAUUUGCUAUCUCAUCUUUUGAAGAAUCUAGCCAAUCUUUCUGGUACAGUUGAUGGAAGAAACAUGUCUGCAUUGCUUACGGCAUCUCAAGGUUUAAUAAAUGGCGGGGCAUCAAUUCAGACUGCACAAAAGGUCCCAGAUACAGUUUCCAACGGCUGUGAACCAAGUAAGCCUUCUGUUUCAGCCUCUAAAAUGGAUGAUUAUAUUAAUGGUGAGGACCCUUCAAGACCUAUACGACAGUGUUCUACGGUACCUGCAUCAGAUUUCAGGAGAAUAUCUUCAGUUGAUGCAGAUCAUGGAGGUCUACAAGUUGUUUCAGGUCUAAAUGCCACGAAGCCAUUUCCUUCAAGAGACAGUGUUCCAUCCACAUCAGUUGCACCAGAAGCUACAAUGGGGAGGAUGCAGUUAAAUGGCAUUGAUUUAAAUAAUACAUAUGACGAUUCCCAGGACUAUUUGGACAACCUAGGGAAUUCGCAUGCCCCUGUAAAUUCAGGGACAGUGGCUCAUGGUUUUCCCUUUUGGAUGCGUCAGGAUUCGCAAAAGUCUAGCCCACCUCAGACAAGUGGGACUUCAUGCUCAACUUCAUCAAGUUCUAGUGGAGAUGCUCAGGUAUAUUCUUGUUGUACUUGCAUCUCGUUCCUCGUUAUUGCUUGGUAUAUUAAUGCUUGUAUAUGCCAUAACCUGUCCUUUUCUGUUGGAUAAAAGAAUAGCUUUGUUCUCACUUUAAUUUGGCAUUUAGGUGACAAUGCUUUGCAUUCGACUUGUCCGUUUGUCUAGCCAAUUGAUUGAAAAAACAUGAAGUACUCGGCAUACCUAAUAAAUACUUCUGUUGUGACGUAAGAGUCAAGAUGGAUUCUCUUCUUUUGUAUAGUGCUUUGUAUGUAUAAAUGUGUGCGUAUGCUUCUGCUUGAUAAGGUUUAUAGAGUUGUAGUUAAACUACAGGAGGUUGCAGGCUAUAUCAGUUAGAGUUGAGUAUUUUUUAAAUAUUUUUUAUUAUGAAGGCCAGUGUGUAAAAUGUUACUGCACUGUUACGUCUCUUAACCACUCUUUUUCUGCCGUGUUUCAGAGUCGCACAGACCGUAUUGUUUUUAAACUCUUUGGAAAAGAUCCAAAUGAUCUUCCAUUUGUUCUACGAGCACAGGUAAUAUUUGGUGCCUUGAUUUAAUUCUUCACAAUGUAACUUGUGUUUCCUUGCACAUACAACAAUUUUAUGAAAUAUUUUGAAUAUCCAGAUUCUCAACUGGUUGUCCCACAGUCCUACUGACAUUGAAAGCUACAUAAGGCCGGGAUGUAUCAUUUUGACAGUUUACCUCCGUCUAGAAAAAUCCACGUGGGAGGAGGUAUGUUUCUGUGCUGAUGCCAAAAUGUUGAUUGCUGACCUUGUAUCAGGGAGAUCUCUUUUCUUGUCCUUAAUUGUUAUGUUUGCCUGCAGCUCUGCUGUAAUCUGGGAUCCAUUAUAAAACAACUUUUACAUGCUGCCAAUGAUCCUUUUUGGACAACAGGAUGGGUGUAUACUAGGGUGCAACAUUCUGUAGCAUUUACGUACAAUGGUUUGUUCUCUCUCUCUCUCUCUCUCUCUCUCUCUCUCUCUCUCUCUCUCUCUCUCUCUCUCUCUUAAUUAUUCAUUCAUAUAUUUUCUAGCUCAUUUAGUGAUUUACCAAUAGUUGUGUUAUGAAAGAAAAGACAUUUUAAAUAGUUAUGUCUGUACUGCAGGUCAAGUUGUCUUAGACACACCCUUACCUCUGAAAAGCCAUAAAAAUUGCAAGAUAUCAUGCAUCAAACCAAUUGCAGUUUCUUUAUCCGAAAGAGCUGAAUUUGUAGUAAAGGGGUUUAAUCUUUCUCGUGCCACCACAAGGUAUCCUUAUCUUUCAUUCAAGCUUCAUUAUGUAGACCACUCCAGUGUCAUAUGUUAUUUCUGAAUUAGUAACUAUCAGGAUAACUGGGAAGGAGGAAAGUACUAAGUCCUAGCUUGUGACAGGUUGCUCUGUGCUCUGGAAGGGAAGUAUCUAGUCCAAGAAACUUGUUAUGACUUGAUGGAUGGUGCUGAUACAACCUUUGCGAAUGAUCAGCUACAGUGCCUCAGAUUCUCCUGCUCUAUACCCAAUGUUACUGGCCGAGGACUCAUUGAGGUGCUGUUCCAUUCUUAAUAUAUGUUUUAUAUUUCCUUUGAAGUGUGCUUAUCAUUACUUAUUUAUUUAUUUUUAUUUCAGGUUGAAGACCAUGGUCUCAGCGGCUGCUUCUUUCCAUUUAUAGUUGCCGAGCAGGAAGUAUGUUCAGAGAUUUGUACCCUGGAGGGUGCGAUUGAGGUGGCUGAGACUGCAGAUAACAUCCAGACAGAACCUGAAAAGUUGGAAGCCAAGAACCAAGCGUUGGACUUUGUACAUGAAUUGGGUUGGCUCCUUCACAGAUGUCACACUAAAUUUAGACUUGGUCACGGGGAUCCCAACUUAGAACUAUUUUCUUUUAGACGGUUCAGGUUGCUUAUGGAGUUUUCCAUGGACCGUGAUUGGUGUGCUGUAGUGAAGAAACUCCUGGGCAUUCUGCUUGAGGGUACCGUUGACACUGGAGAACAUCCUUCUAUUGAGCUUGCGUUAUUGGAUAUGAGCCUCCUCCACGGAGCCGUGCAAAGAAAGUGCAGGCCUAUGGUGGAACUCUUGUUAAGAUUUGUCCUAGACAAAGGGUGGCAACAAGUUGACGGGGACGGCAGCAACUUCUUAUUUAAACCCGAUGCAGUUGGGCCCAUGGGAUUGACUCCUCUUCAUGUUGCAGCCAGUACUGAUGGAUGUGAGAAUAUAUUGGAUGCCUUAACUGAUGAUCCUGGAAAGGUAAUUUCUCAUUGUCUUCUUUGACAGUUUUCUUUCUAAUUGGAUGUAAAAAUCAGAACAGGUCUGCAUCAUUAUCCAUUUUUCUCCGUACGUGUUUGACCGUUUGCUCAUACAAAUGACUCAUGUCAGCUCAUUCUGUGUCUCACAUGAAUGUUGAUAUUUCAAAUCGUUGUAUUUUCAAGCAUACAAAUGUUGAUAUCUUUGCUUCUUUAGGUGGGAAUUGAAGCGUGGAAAAAUGCUCGAGACAGUACAGGAUUGACACCAAAUGAUUAUGCAUGCCUGCGAGGCCGCUACACCUAUGUCCAAAUUGUCCAGCGGAAAAUCAACAAGAAACAUGAAAGCGGGCACGUGGUGCUUGAUAUCCCUGGCGUUAUCUUAGACAGCAGCAGCAAGCAGAAACAAUUAGAUGGGCAUAAGUCCUCAAAAGUCUCCAUCUUGGAGACCGAAAGGAUCGAUAUGAAAGCAAUGCAGGCACAUUGCAAGCAAUGUGAAAUGAAACUAGCAUAUGGAAACACAAGGUCGUUUGUGUACAGGCCGGCAAUGCUGUCAAUGGUAGCCAUUGCUGCUGUCUGUGUUUGCGUGGCCUUGCUCUUCAAAAGCUCGCCUGAAGUCCUUUAUGUCUUCCAGCCCUUCAGGUGGGAACUCUUGGAGUAUGGACCGAGCUAAGGCAGUUUACGCGUCUCAAAUUUUAGUUACUCUGGCUUUAGGCCGUUUGUGUUAAUCAUAUGUAUAAACGGAUAACUCAAAUUUUAGUUACUCUGGCUUUAGGCUGUUUCUGUUGAUCAUAUGUAUAAACCGAUAACUCUAUAGGGAACAUAAUGUACCAGUUUUCGUAUCCGUUAAGAUUUCCACGAGAGGUGUUGCACUGUAUGUAUUAAUGAUAGUUCAUAUAAAGCGUGUAUAGGGAAAGAUUGACGUAAAUAGUACUAUUGACCAAUUGUUGAGGCAAUAGAUUGCUGCAUUACUUCCAAAAACACAUACAAACAUUGUAUUCGAUGAGGCGGAAGAUUCGGACUUGAAAAUUCUUUCGCUUUUAAGUCAGCUUUCUUAAACAGAAGACAAUAUUUAGUAGGGCGGCCUGACUAAUAAUUUCUUUCGCUUUUAAGUCAGCUUUCUUAAACAGAAGACAAUAUUUAGUAGGGCAGCCUGACUAAUAAGUAGGUUAGACUACUCUUGCUAAAUUUUAUGCAUUGAGAGUUGUAUUUACGUAAGACUGGAUGGUGACCAAAUACAUAGAAUCACGUUCCUUCAUGAGGGGAUAAGGCUGUCUCACAAAGGUUGGAGCUUUGUGCUUACUUAGAUACAUGAAUCUCGUUCUUUCGUGAGUCAACUUUUCAGGUUAUUCAACUCAAAUGUUAUGAAUAAAAUUGGGCCAAAAUUAGAUCAAACAGUUGUUUUUCUCCAAAUAUUUUUAAUUUGGUCAAAUGCAUGAAUCUCGUUCUUUAGUGAGAUAACUUUUCAUGUUAUUCAACUCAAACGUUAUGAAUAAAAUUGGACCAAAAUUAGAUCAAACAGUUGUUUUUCUCUAAAUAUUUUUAAUUUGGUCAAAUCCAAUCCGAGUCUAAUAUUAACUAGCAAAAAAAAAAGCAGAAAAAUGGAUUUUACAGGCUAAUAAAAUAAUAGGAAAAGGACUCCAGUCACAGAGACACGUUGACUCAUAUUUUGACAUGAAAUUGUUUUCCACUUCAACAAGUCAUAUUCAUGGUCCUUACAUAGUGUACACAAUUAUUACCUUGUUUAAUCUUUUUCAAUUAUUUUGUCGUUUUGAACCUUUUUUCUUUGGUUUAAUUGCCAAUAAUUCAAGCAUUAAAUCUUGAUCUCGAAAUGGAACAAUUUUCCGGUGUACUAAGAUCACGUUCACGUAAAAUUACUGGUUCAUUUAAAUUAUAUUACGUAGAUUUGUUAAUAUUAAGUUUAGGUUAAAUCUCACAAUAAUUAGUAAUAAUAUGACGAGAAUUAAACUUGAAAUAUAUCACUUAUAAUAAAAUAAAAUAUCAUUAGUUUAAAUAUUAAAAUGAUACACCUCGUAACUUGUAACGCUGUUAAUUUCUAAUCGAAAUCAAAAGGAGACGCGUCAUUUGAGGCCACCACCUCUCUCCUCUCACUCUCCCCACUGAAACCGAAUUUACACAGUAAGAGAACCCUUUUCCUAACCUUUUCCUAAUUUUCAUGUGCUGAUUAGCUUUGUCUCGGGGCCUAUAUUCUCUCUGCCUCAACUGCGAUCUCAGCCACUUCUUCGUCAGCUCUCAGUUCUCAGCUCAUCUCCCAACAAUUCACCAACCUGCCGGCAAGUUUCUCUCUCUUUACUCUCUCGCUCUCCUCUUUAUUUCCACAAAAAAAGAUUGGGUCUUUCAGUUCUUUCAGCUCAAGUUUCUUUCCAUGGAGUUGAAAGCAUUGACUAGGAUGUAAUUGUGGGCUUGCAAAUACGGUAUUUUGUACUGACUUGUUGAGAGAAAAACUGGGUAAUUGGUGGAUUUUGGGUUCUGGGCAGCUGUAGCCUGUAGUUUAGCUCCAUUUUUAUGCUGGUGUGCUGUUCUUGGUUUUCUGGGGUUCUUGGAAAGAACAAUUUCCAGAAAUUUCUGGGGCUGUGGUGUUAUUGACUUUUUGUUUUGGGGUGAAAUUUAUAGUUUUAUCUCUGAGCUGUAGUUGUUGUUAUUGUUCAAUUGGGUGUUUGUAUCUGGUGGAGUUUGACUAGGGGGCAUUGUAACAUCUCUGGGUUUUUUGUAUCUUGAUCUAUGGAGUCUGAAUUCGGAGGAAAGGCUUGUAAUUUUCGUGGUGUGAUGGUGCCGAAUUUGAAGGGGGUUGGGAAAAAGAGUUUGGAAUGGGAUUUGAAUGAUUUUAAAUGGGAUGGUGAUCUUUUUACUGCUAGUCCAUUAAAUUCUACACCAUCUGAUGGUAGGAGUAGGCAGUUGUUUCCGGCCAGGCCAGAAACUCCGUCGGAUGCUGGUUUGUCCAACAGUUCUUCUUCUGGUUCGGAUAAUAUCAGUCCGGGGAAUGAGAAAGAUCAAAGAGAAUUGGAGAAACGGAGAAGGGAUUUUUUUGUGGAAAACCGAGAGUUGAAUGAUGAAGCUGCGUCUCUGAAUCUUAAACUUGGCGGGCAAACUUACCCCAUUAUGGAAGAAGAAGUACAAACCGGGAAGAAAACAAAGACAAUUGGGACUACUUCAAACCGUGCAGUUUGUCAGGUGGAGGACUGUAAGGCUGAUCUUAGCAAUGCCAAGGAUUAUCACCGGAGGCAUAAGGUCUGUGCUAUGCAUUCUAAGGCAACUAAAGCGCUGGUUGGAAGUGUUAUGCAGCGGUUCUGUCAACAGUGUAGCAGGUUGGUUCCAUCCUAUUGUUAUUUAUUGUUUGGUUGAAACAUUUCCCCGAUUUUCUUGAAUUAACUUGAAAUACAGAGUUUGGUUGUGUAAAUUUUGUUGUCAUGCGUUUGUUGUGCAUGGCUGUUCAUCAAUCUUCUUACGGUAUGGUUGAGUUCUGCAGAAGGUUUUUUUUGUUGAAUUAAAUGUAACAGGGUUAACACUCGUGGACAGGUUUCAUGCUCUUCAAGAGUUUGAUGAAGGGAAGAGAAGUUGCCGUAGGCGUUUGGCUGGCCAUAAUAGGAGGAGAAGAAAAACACAUCCUGAUACUGCAGUUAAUGGAGGCUCUUUAAACAAUGAAGGCGGAAGCGGUUAUCUAUUGAUUAGCUUGCUGAGAAUACUUUCAAAUAUGCACUGUAAGUACUUGCCUUAUUCAUUGUACACUUCUGUCUUAGUGAAACAUUGUAUCUCAGAUUUAUUUGAAUCCGCAUAUUAUGCCAUUUAUAAAUUGCAGCUAGUAGUUCUGAUCAAACAAAGGAUCAGGAUGUCAUAUCUCAUUUGUUGAGGAGCUUAGCCAAUGUUGCUGGUACGGCUGAUGGAAGAAACAUAUCUACAUUGCUGCAGGGAUCUCAAGGUUUAUUUAACAGUGGGACAUCUGUCCAGACUGCACGAAGGGUUCUAGAUAUGAAUGCUGGUGUUAAUACUGAGGACCCUUUAAGGUCUAAAGGACACUGUUCGAUACUACCUGCAUCAAGAGACAGUUCUGAAUCCAAAUCAGUUACACCGGAAGCUACAAGUAGAAGGUUCCAGUUAAAUGAUUGAUUUAAAUAGUACAUAUGAUGAUUCACAGGACUAUGUAGAGAACCUAGGGAAUUCUCAUGUUCCUGCAAGUCCAGGCACUGCAUCUCUUGGUUUUCCUUCAUGGAUGCAGCGUGAUUCUCAUAAAUCAAGCCCACCUCAGACAAGUGGGAAUUCAGACUUAACUUCUACUCAGUCACCGUCAAGUUCUAGUGGAGAAGCUCAGGUAUAUCCUUGUAAUUGCAUCUAUUCCAUAAUUGCUUGGUAAUAUAAUGCUUAAAAAUGCCUUUGUCGUGGAUGAUGCUCAGCCCACUGUAAUUCGUCUUUUUUUUAAUCUUUUUUUCCAUGAGACCAGGGAUUAAUAUAUCAAUUGUCAUUAAUCAUUAUACGGCGUAUAACUUGUCUUUUGUUUGGAUAGUAGAAUACCUUUGUUCUAUCCUUGAGAGUAGUUAGGCAGUCAUGUAUUGUGUUCUGAACGUGUCUGUGUAUCUUUCCAUGGAUUGUCAAAAUAAUGGCGAGGUUAAGUGCGCUCGCUGCUUGGUUAUGGGAUAUAUGUAAGAAAUGCUUCAAUUGUGACUUAAAGUUGAGAUCAGUUAUCUCUUCCUUCAAACCAAUAUGGCAGUUUACAAGCGCAACCACACACACAAACAUACUUGUUGUGUAUACGUCUUCUUGAUGCUGUUAAUAGAAUUGAGGUUAAAGUUACCUGGUGGUUUCUGCAGUCCUAAUGGAACAUGCAUUAUUUAUGUAAAAGGCCAGUAUGUAGAAUGUAUCUGCAAUUUUACGUUUCUUGACUGCUCUUUUUCUGCCACAUAUCAGAGUCACACAGACCGAAUUAUUUUUAAACUAUUUGGAAAAGACCCUAAUGAACUUCCACUUGCUCUGCGAUCACAGGUACUAUAUUUCCUUUGAUUUUUCUAGUUUUCAAAGUACUUUUCAAAGUAUUUUGGUGUUUCAUUCCACGGACUCCAUGAUUUUUAUAAAUUAUUUGAAUAUCCAGAUCCUCGACUGGUUAUCUCACAGCCCUACCAACAUUGAAAGCUACAUAAGGCCGGGCUGUAUCAUUUUGACAAUUUACCUUCGUCUAGAAAAAUCCACGUGGGAGGAGGUAUUCUCGACUGUGGAUGGCAGAUCCUUGUAUGAGGAAGACUUUUUCUUCAAGUCCUUAAUUUUGACAAUUCACCUCUCCCAGACCCUGAUUAAAGCGGGAGCCUUGUGCACUGGGUACGACCUUUUUUUUUAUAAUUAUUUUUGCUUACAGUUCUGUUGUCAUCUGGGAUCCAGUUUGAAAACACUUCUUGAUGCUGCGGAUGAUCCUUUUUGGAGAACAGGAUGGGUGUAUACAAGGGUGCAAGAUUAUGUAGCAUUUACAUACAAUGGUUUGCCUCUCUCUCUCUCUCUCUCUCUCUCUCUCUCUCUCUCCCCCUCUCAUUUCGUGUGUGCGUACACAUUUGUGUAUUUAGGGUCUAUAGAAGAAUCUUGCUGUUUUAGUUUUCCAUUAUGCUUUAUUGAUUUUGGUCAUGCUUUGUUUUGUUAUUUCUAGUACAUAAUGAGGAUUGACCAAAAACAUUAACCUUAUAUGAGAGAAGCAUUUUGAUUAGUUAUGUCCAUCCUGCAGGUGAAGUUGUGUUAGACACACCCUUGCCUCUUAAAAGCAAUAAAAGUUGCAGGAUAUCAUGCAUCAAACCAAUUGCGAUCUCCUUAUCUGAGAGAGCUGAAUUUAUAGUAAAAGGCUUUAACCUUUCUAGUUCCACCACAAGGUUCUUUCAUCUUUCAUUCAUGCGUCAUUACUUUGUUUUCAAUAUUCCUCUCUAGUUUUAUAGGAUAACAGAAGAAAUACUAAAUUCUAGAUCUUGAGUCUUGACAGGUUACUCUGUGCUCUAGAAGGGAAGUAUCUGGCUCAAGAAACUUGUUAUGACUUGUUGGAUGAUGCGGAUAGCACUGUUGAGGAUGACGAACAACAAUGCCUUAAAUUCUCCUGCUCUAUACCAAAUGUUACUGGGCGAGGAUUCAUUGAGGUGCUGUCAUAUUCCUAAUUGUCCCUUUCCCCCUUCCUCCUCUUGUAAUGUGCAUUUUGAACGAGCCGUAUUUUAUAAGUCCGGAAUUUGUUUAUAAAUCUUCUUAUGAAUACUGAGUAUAGAUUUGUUUCUAGACAGCGCCUUAACUGAAAUCCACGGUUCUCAUUUUAUUGGUCAAAUUUAUGUCAGGUUGAAGAUCAUGGUCUCAGCAGUAGCUUCUUUCCAUUUAUAGUUGCAGAGCAGGAAGUAUGCUCUGAGAUUUGUAUGCUGGAAGAUGUGAUUGAGGUGUCCGAGACUGAUGAUGAUAUCCAAUCUGGACCUGAAAAAGUGGAAGCUAAGAACCAAGCCUUGGACUUUAUACAUGAAUUGGGUUGGCUCCUACAUAGAAGUCGCGUUAAGUUUAGACUGGGUCAAUUGGAUCCCAAUCUAGAUACAUUUCCCUUUAGACGGUUCAGAUUGCUCAUGGAGUUCUCCAUUGACCAUGAUUGGUGUGCUGUGGUGAAGAAACUCUUGGGCAUUCUGUUUGAUGGUACUGUCGACGCUGCAGAGCAUCCUUCCCUUGAGUCUGCACUACUGGAUAUGGGCCUCCUCCACAGAGCUGUGCGAAUCAAUAGCAGACGUAUGGUGGAAUUCUUGUUAAGAUUUGUCCCAGGUUUAACAGGAUCUGAGCAGAAGGAACAAGUUGACAGGGACGGCAACAGUUUCUUGUUUAAACCUGAUGUUGUUGGGCCCAUGGGGUUGACUCCUCUUCAUAUUGCCGCCAGUACUGAUGGCUGUGAGCAAGUAUUGGAUGCCUUAACUGAUGAUCCUGGAAAGGUAAUAUCUCCGUUUUUUGAAUUGCAACAUAAUAUUUUUCUUCUAAUUCUAUGUAGAAAUCACUUUGCGCUGGCUACAACCUCCAUCCCAUCUCCAUACCCAUUUGAACUCUUGCGCCUACAGUUGACCUGUGUCUGUUCUCAUACUGUUUCACACACGUGUUUUGAUGAUUUUAACUCAUUCUAAUUUCCAGCAUGUCAGGUUGCUCACGGAUUUUAGAUCUGUAAUCAUGUCUUCUUUGACUUUGAGCUCUCUCUUUAGCUUUUCCACUGUCUUCUGCCUAAACAAAAUACACUGAUUCCAGUUAUUGAGUUGUAUUUCAAAUUCUCAAUUAACCAAUCCUAGACAAAUUAUGCAGUCUUGUAUUUUCUUUGGCUUGCGAAACAUAUGAAACAUAAAUCACCGUAGAAAAGUUAAAUGCGCCAUUCAAAUUGGUAAAGAAAGCAGCACCCCACAUCUAAAUGCAUGCUAACUCUUUCACAGCUGAAAGCGGCACCCAAAUUCUACAUUCAACUUGAAAUCAAAUAGGACUGCUGUUAAAAUUUUUGACGAUAAAUGAAUUAUGAUUCUUUUCAUCGUUCUAGUUUCAACUUUCAAGCAUGUGUUUAGGACUGCUGUCAUGAAAUUUCUUUAGUGUCAGAUAAUCCAUUCAUCAAGUUGAUAUGGGCGUUUUUUUCUUUAGGUGGGAAUUAAAGCAUGGAAAAACACUCGAGACAGCACAGGAUUGACACCAUAUGAUUAUGCAUGCCUUCGAAGCCGCUACUCCUAUGUCCAUAUAGUCCAGCGGAAAAUCAGCAAUACACUGGAAAGCGGGCAUGUGGUGCUUGACAUCCCUGGCCUCACGUUAGACAGAAAUGGAAAGCAGAAGCAAUCGGAUGCGCAUAAAUCAUCAAGAGUAGCCAGCUUGGAAACUGAAAGGAAUGAUAUAAAAGCAAUCUUACGACACUGCAGGUUAUGUGAACAGAAACCAGCUUAUAGCACCACACGGUCACUUGUAUACAGGCCGGCAAUGCUGUCAUUGGUGGCUGUCGCUGCUGUCUGCGUUUGCGUGGCCUUGCUCUUUAAAAGCAAUCCGGAAGUUGUUUUCGUGUUGGAGCCAUUCCGGUGGGAACACUUGAAGUUUGGUUCAAGCUAAGGUUAUAGUUUACGUGUAUUAAUUUAUAGUGACUCUGGUUAUACAUAGACCAUUUCUUUUCACGUGGAUAGGAGUAUAUUUUCUAUCUGAUUUUUAUAUGUAUAUCUAGGGCCACUCAAGCCAACAAGACUCUUCGCAUUGCAAUGGUCGGAACGUCUAUCGUAUCUGUAUUUGUAUACCUAAGCUUCCAAAAUAAACAUGGGCUGUCAUGGAUUUUGGUCCACCAGGUUUGAUUGUAUUUGUAUUUGUAUAACAGUGUUACAAACUGGAUGACACAUAAUUUCUCUGUUUGAUAUUUCUUUUUUUUUUUUCAAAAUAAACAUUUGGCACGAGGUGAUUCGGUGUUCGAUUAUUAGUGCAUUUACUGUAUAAAUUAAAUUUUAAUUUUAGAAAAUUCAGCAUUUUUGUUGGUUAUAUUGGAGGAAAUCGAACUUUGGUCUACUCUAAUUCUAACUUAUUACCAUACCCUCCUCCAUUAUUUGAGCUCAUAUAAGCAUAAGCACACUAAACAAGGUUAAGUAUAGAAGAAUUUGGGAAUUGAGAAUUAUUGUUUGAGCAUUAUUUCAUGUUUAGUGCAAAUUGAGGUUGAAUUAUUUUCUAAUUUUAUUAGUUUAAUCAUUUGGAUGAAUUUGUUCAUGCUUCCAUAUGAAAUCAUUAUUUUAUUAAAAUAAUUUAUUAAUAGUUCGAGAAAAACUUAAAUGGAGGUGCUCACGUCAUUCAUCACGCAUUCACAUUCACAUUCGUUACACGUUUCUCAUAAAAACAUAAAACUCUUUCAAAUGAAUAGGUUUCACUGAAUUUGGAUAAUAUCCGACUUUACAUAAGUACAAGUAUCAAUGCACAUGAUUCCAACCAGUAAUUAUUAUCUUAUUUGAAUUACUUACCCCGAAUCAGACCUGAAAAAGUGUAAUUUAUUCAAAUUUUAUUUUCUGAAAUUCAAAAAAAUAAAAUAAAAUUUGAGGAUAAGAAAAUAAAGGGUAAAGAGGUCAUUUGCAUGCCCUGCCUCCUAAAAUCCACCUCACUACUCACUACCCCGUCACUGCUCUAACAAUUUUGCAGGCCAAAGCCAUCCAUGGCUUCUUCAAUCUCUCUCUCCUUCUCUUCCUCUCUCCUCCCUCAUCCUCUUCCUUUCAACAAAUACUCCACCGCCACCGCCGCCGCCUCCCAGAAAUCCCAAUACCCCAACUUUAAGCUGCUCCUCCGCGCAUUCGCCAACCCAGCUGUAAGCCGUCGCUCCACUCCAUCUCCGUCUUCCGACACCAGAAAGAGGCACUGGAAGAAAGGUGAAUACCCAGGCGUCUCGGAGACGUCGGCUCCGGCGAAUUACAGAAAAACCCCUGGUCGUUCCACUUCAUCUGAGUCUUCCGACACCAGAAAGAAGCACUGGAAGCGAGGUGAGUUCCCGGGCGUCUCGGAGACGUCGACUCCGGCGAAUCACAGAAAAACCCCUGGUCGUUCCACUUCAUCUGAGUCUUCCGACACCAGAAAGAAGCACUGGAAGCGAGGUGAGUUCCCGGGCGUCUCGGAGACGUCGACUCCGGCGACUUACAGAAAAACCUCCGCUCGUUCCGCUUCAUAUCCGUCUUCCGACAACAGAAAGAAGCACUGGAAGCAAGGGGAGUUCCCGGGGGUCUCGGAGACGUCGAUUCCGGCUAUUUAUAGAAAACCCCCUUUGAAAAAUGUGAAGAAGAAGCUGGACCGGAAGAACAAUGCCAAGGCCUGGGUCAACACCGUCACGGAGGCCCUGUCAGACGCCAUUGACAAGAAGCAGUGGCUCCAAGCUCUUGAGGUUUUUGUCUUAAUCUAAACAAAAAUUAACAAAUUUUUCAUCUUUUUUCUUAUGUGUUUUUAGUUUGGUGAAUGUAAAUUGAUGCAAAAUUUAAAAAAAUGGUAUUUUUAUGCUUACCAAUUUAGUUUCUUGAACCAUGUUCUUGAAAAAUGUGAUCUUUUUAGCUGAAUGAUUUUAGUGGAAUUAUAAUUAAUUGGGUGUUUUUGUUUGGAAAAUGUAUGAUGAAAUUGGGUACUAUUACGUUCAGGUGUUUGACAUGCUUAGGGAACAACCAUUUUAUCAACCGAAAGAAGGGACUUACAUGAAACUCAUUGGUAUGCUUGGAAGGUGCGGCCAACCCAAUCGUGCCCGCCAGCUUUUCGAUACAAUGGUUGAAGAGGGCUGUGAACCAACUCUUGACCUUUACACAGCCUUGCUCGCGGCUUAUUGCCGGAACAAUCUGAUUGACGAGGCAUUUUCUGUUCUUAACCUGAUGAAGACUCUCCCGCAAUGCCAGCCUGACGUUUUUACUUACAGUACCUUGAUAAAGGUUUGCAUUGAUCAUUUGAAGUUUGAUUUAGUUGAGUCCUUGUAUGAGGAAAUGGCUGAGCGGUUGAUAGCUCCGAAUACAGUCACCCAAAACAUAGUGUUGAGUGGAUAUGGUAAGGCCGGGAAGUAUGACCAGAUGGAAAAAGUGUUGUCCGGGAUGCUGGAGGGUACAAGUUGCAAGCCUGAUGUCUGGACAAUGAAUGUUGUCCUUAGUGUGUUUGGAAACAAGGGUCAGAUAGAUAUGAUGGAGAGAUGGUAUGAGAAAUUCCGUGAUUUUGGGAUUGAGCCGGAAACUCGCACUUUGAACAUUCUGAUUGGUGCUUACGGGAAGAAAAGGCUGUAUGAUAAGAUGUCAACUGUGAUGGAGUACAUGCGCAAGCUUCAAUUCCCAUGGACAACCGCAACUUACAACAAUGUGAUAGAGGCUUUCGCGGACGUAGGAGAUGCAAAAAACAUGGAAUACACGUUUGAACAGAUGCGUGCUGAGGGCAUGAAAGCAGACACCAAAACAUUCUGCUGCCUUAUUAAUGGGUAUGCCAAUGCAGGCCUCUUCCAUAAGGUGGUUAGCUGCGUUCAGUUGGCUGGAAAGUUUGAGAUACCUGAGAAUACCACAUUUUACAAUGCGGUGAUAGCUGCAUGUGCAAAGGCAGAGGAUUUAAUGGAGAUGGAAAGAGUUUUCAACCGGAUGAAAGAGAAGCAAUGUCAACCGGAUUCCACAACAUACUCUGUCAUGGUUGAGGCAUAUAGUAAGGAAGGUAUGAACGACAAGAUCUACUACUUGAAGCAGGAGAUUGGUACUGAUGGUAAUCAAAGUGAUCAGAUUAGUGUUGAAGAAAAUCAAAGUGAUCAGAUUAGUGCCGAAGAGAAUCAGAGUGAUCAGAUUAGUGUGGAAGACAAUCAGAGUGAUCAGAUUAGUGAUGAAGGCAAUCAAAGUGAUCAGAGUAGUUUUGAAGAUAAUCAAAGUGAUCAGGCUUUUGGAGCUGAGUCUGGCGGUGUUGUCUAGUUGAGAUCUUUGGAGGCAACAGUAUGCUCCAAAAAUCCCUAAUCUCACAGGGCAAUUCCAUUCCCCGCAGUUCUUCUAAGGCAGCAGCAAACUCUUAUUGUGAAAUUGCCGAUCGAUCAGGUAAUCAAACAUUUCCAUUCUCGGAUGGGUGUUAGCAAUGCUGCUUCCUCCAAUUUUAUGUUUCUGGUGAAGGACUGUAUGGAUUGAUCUGAUAGACUGAUAACCCGGGUGAAACUUUAUGGAAAAUGAUUGUACAUACAGAGUUGAUAAGUGUCUCUCUCCAAACUUGAUGCGAUCUCUAAACUAGCAUGCAAAAUUGUACGACGAUUUGUAAGAGUGUUUAACUGUGUUCAACAGAGGAAUUGCUUUUUGUUAUUGCCUGAAAUGUUUUGAAUGUAACUUCACGUAUAUAUUGUCUGCAGCAGCUGCUGGACAAUCAUAGAAGGUGGUCUGUAAACACGUUGUUUUUGAAAAUUAAUCGCUCUUUUCGGUACAUUUUGUGCUGCUGUUGUUCGAAUGUUUUGGCACUUGAGGCAGACAAUUGAUCUGCAAUUAUCCCAAAAUGUAAGGGUCCAGCUCAACAAAACGCAGGGGUAAUUUGAUCAAAGAUGUAAGUUUUGUUAUAUUGACUUUUGAGUAGCAUUGGUAGUGUAAUAAACAAUAUCAGUAACGUUGAAUAAUAAUAAAUUUUACUUGGAUGCCGGCGUGUGUAGUAAGAAUAUGUCCAAAGUGGUUUGGACAACGACAUGAUGGUGCGUUAACUAAUAUGAUCUUAUCACGUGAUGAGAGAUAAAGGAGAGAUGAAUGUAUUCGUGACCUGGAGGUUAUUCUACACGUAAACUUGUAAAGAUAGGCAAACAGGGUGCUUUUUGGUUGAAACGAAAUGCUGAAUUGUUUACUCUUUCUUGUGUAAGAAGAGAAGACUUGUAUCGUAAUCAGGUACUAAUUGUUGUCUUUUGGUCCCACCUUACCUCACACUAUAAAUAAUGGCAUCUAAACCCGAUUAUUCACAGAGAAGCUUUCACAAAAGCAUAAAACUCUUAUAUUUUGGUUUCACUCGCCUCAAACUAGUCUCCCUCGUUGAAAUAGCUAACCUAGUUAGGAACUGUACACAAGUUUCUCUCGUAUCGAAGAAAGUCAAAGAAGUUUUUAGCUCACAAAAGCACAUAACCCCCUAUAUAUUCCAUUUGAAUCACCAUUUACAAAAUUUGUACUAACUUUCCAGUCGAAGAUAGGAUAGUUUCGACAAGUAUUGAACGGCUAAGAUAACUUUAUUUAUUACAUGAAUGGCUAAGAUUAAAAACAAGGGCACGUAGACGAAUACAAACAUCUUCAAUGAGAGGAUCCACCAUUUCUACCAUUGGAAAUUUAAUUUCCUUACAGAAUAGGCGAAAAGUGAAGCGAAAACAAUCGGGAAAGCAAUGAGAACAAUCGCCACGAGGAAUAAACGAUCGUGAUGGAAGCCAUAGUAGUCUUGAAGGAAGGAAGCAACUGUUUUCUGCUCCCCAAAAAUCAAAAUCUCUUUGUUCAUGUCUCCAUAUUGUGAACUGAGGAGGGCAUUUAGGGACCAUGAUGUAGGACAAAUCCAAUAGAACCAAAUCCACCACUUGGGAAUUUUCUGCAUAAAAUAUAUAGAACAUGGUCCGCUAGGCUCACAGUAAACCGUCAUAUUAAGGGUUUAUUUGGCACUGCUUCUUUAGAAAGAACUUUUGCUUAUAAAUUAUAAGCGCUUUUUCUGUAAGUUGUUUAAUAGAGUUAUGUUGCAAAAAAAGCAGUUGGGAGGGCUUCGCAUACUAAAAGCUCUUAAAGUUUUACUACAUAGUCUUUUGGCUUUUCUAGAAGCAGUCUCAAACAGGGCUAAAGACUAAAGAGAGAGUUAGAUUUAGUUACCGGCCCGAGCACAAGGAAGCCGGAAAAAAGAUUCAAUAUGGUGUAGAUUGCCGUUGCGAAAAUGGAAGCUACUUGCAGGCUUGUGCUAAAAGAAGCUAUCAGCAUCCCAAGGUAUACAAAUUAGAGAAAUGUAGAGAAUGUUGCAUGGAAGUACCAGAAAACCUUAGUAGCUGACCAAUAGUACCCUAUUGUAGGGUAUGUAAUAAUGACAUACAGAAUUGCUUGAACCACUUUGUAAGUUAUUUCAAUGGCCACCUACAACAACAUUCAAAAUUUCGACAUGUUAAAAACCUUUCCACUACAAGCUACGUUAUAGUACCAGUUAAAAUGUACGAACCUGUGCAAACGAAUGAGCGUUUGAUGAGUACAUCCCAGCAAAUCUUUCCCGGUACAGAACUGCGCGCUCAGUAGCCACGUAAGGCAGAACCGUCGAGCAAUUGGUUGUGCCCAAAAAUAUUACAGCAAUGUACAGUAACCCAAGCACGUUGAACAAAUCAUGCUCAUUGUUUCUUGAGGAACAAGAAAAACACAGGAUUUAGCGUUGUUGAGCAAAAAUUGUACAUAAUAUGUAAACAAAUAAUUCUCUCGACAUAAUUUCACCCUCGUUCAUUUUUCGAAGAGGGUUUUAUUAGUUUGAGUUUGAUUCAUUCUAGGUUACGCGCCUAUUAAUUACAACCUUUCUUUUGGGAAAGGAAUACCCUUUGAUUCUAAUAUGAAUAAAUCGUAAUUUGAGGAUUUGGGUGUUUAUUUGAUUUUGUGACUGUAUCUAGGUAGAGCCCUAGAUUGCCUACGUACCCUCGUUGAGGGAUCAAAUCACUCGUAGUUCCUUAUGUGUUUUGUUGGGGUUUGACGCCUUGUGCAGUUUCAGCUCAUGCAGAUGAGGAUUUUAAGCCGUUGGAGCUUUAAUAAAUUUGAUAUGGUUUUAUGCCAUUCUGAAAUUUGAUACGGCUUCGUGCCAGUUAACAUAGCUUCGUGCCACUUGAGAUUUUGUUGCGGCUUCAUGCCAUUUGAUAUUUGACUUUUUCUUCGGCUUUACGGCUUCGUGCCAUUGAAUUGGCUUUGAGCCAUUUGAGGCAGCUUUGUCCCAUUUAAAGUGGUUUUAUGCCGCUUAAACGUUGAGUAAAAUUAACAGGUUUAUUUCUGAUAAACCCACUAAUAUUUUGGCAUUUGACUCUGGCUUGGUACCAUUUCUUACUCCAUGUUUAAUUUUACUUUUCCUUUUUCGUUUGCCCUUUCUUCUGACAAAUUUGUAGAGAAUCAUGCUUGGAAUAAAAAAAAAAUUUCCUCUGUUCCUUCAUGGGAUUUACUCCACAAGGGUUUUGUUCAAAGCAGCAGAAGUGAAUUUAGUUUAUACAAACCAGGGAUUCAUCUUGAUUUCUUGGUUGCGUCUAAAAUUUGAUAUCAGACUGCCUACGUAUCCUUAACGGAAUCAAACCGGCGUAGUUCGUAACUUUUGAGACUCAUCGCGGCUUUGUGCCAUUUGAUACUUGAUAUGGAUUCGUGCCAUUUGAAGUUUGACGGAGCCUUGUGGCAUUUGUGUCUUGUAAAUAUUUGUGAUGAACCCACUUUUACAUUGGUAUUUGACUUUGUCUUCCUUUUCAUUUAUUUUGUCUUGGAACCCAUUUUAUUUUGCCUACAAGCCCGUCACUCUAUUGUUGCCCUUUAUUUUUUUGCAUGGUAGCACAAAAAAAAUCCUUGCUUUCAUAUGGAAAAUAUAAAAGCAAGAGUCAAAGCUCCUUUAUUUUUACCAAUGCCUUUUUCAAGCUUUUAAGUCCCUUGCUUUUCUUCUUUCUUUAUUUUUCUUUUGUCAUUGCCGUAUGUCUCCCUAAGAACAACUCCACUUUUGGAGCCCUUUCUCCAUGCAAUCCACUAUUCAAUCCACCAUGUAAACAGUAAUUACCCUUAAUAAACAGUAACUACUUUUGUAUCUCAACCCUUGCACUUGAAUACCCUUGGCAAUAGGCAAUAAAAUAUUAAUUUUUAUAAUUAAUAUUAUAUUAUUUAAUUUGUACAAAUUAAUAUUAUAUUAUUAAUUUAUCUUUUCCAAUCUCUUCCCGAAACUUCUACCAUUUUUGUUUUCUUCUUCCUUCCCACUCUCUCACUCCCCUCUCCCUCAUUGUCUUCUUUUUUUUCUCCGGCCGACAGUCUACCUCCCCUCUCUCUUUUUCUCCCCCAUUUCUCCCUGUUUUCUUCCUCAAACGAGGAAGCUGCGAAUUUUGAGAGAGAGCAGCACCGAACCCACCCGCCUCCCGCCAUGUCUAAAUCCACUGAUGUGUCUUUCUUCCUCCUCAUGGUCCUCUGCGGCCAGGCCCAAAGAGGCCGCCUGCUUCUUUCCGACUUCAACCAAUCAACGUCAUCCGAUCUGAUCUCCGAUAGAGUCCACCACCACCACCGGUCCCACACCCUGGCUCCCUACCUCACUCUCGAGAACGCCCUUUCGGCGGAAGACUCCACCUGCAAGCAGACCUACGUUUUCCUGCCUUGCACCACCACUGUGAUCGACAACCUUUCCUAAUUCCUGACAGAAAAAAAUUAAAAAAAAGGACUGACGCCAGCCUGACGUCAGCCCCUACUCGGGCUGGCAAUUCCUCAUAGACCCUUUGCUCGGGCCUUGGCUGCUGCUUGGGCUUGCUCACGCUGGAGCUGGUCGACAGGGCCUUGGGCUCUUUCUUCUCCCCCCGUCCCUCGAGCAGGAGCUUCCGCUAAAGCUGCUCUAAUGGUUCGAAGAUGAUGGAAUCCAAUUUGAAAUGGCACAAGUUAAAUUUCCAUAAAGAACUCCCAUAACUUUAUUGACCCCUACGUGAGCAACUUUCCAUGUGAGGUGCUGAUUUCAGUUAGCAUUCUUCUUUGAUCUUUUCAAACCCAUUUAAACAUGGGACUUCGAACCUAUCUGACCUAAACUUCUGACCAAUCUGAGAGCAAGCCUUACUCUUUUCUUUGUUUGACUUCAAAGGUCUCCAAAUUCCAAUAAGACUUUAUCCCAUACUUUAAAUGGGGGAACCAUGACUUUCUUUUGUCUUCCACGACUUUCUUUUGUCCUCCACGUGAGUGGUUUUCUUGCUAUGAAGUAAAAGAAGACCACAUCAACAUUUUUUUAACUUUACUUUUGAUUUGACAAAAGCUUUUUGGUCUGGAACUCUUCUUCUCUCCUUAUGAGUUUUAAACAUUUUUUUUUCUUUGUCUUCAACCUUGAAUUUAGCUUUGCCCAACAUUUGACAAUAACUUACUUCAUCUUUGAGGUGCCACGUAUUUAGCCUUUUUUAAAAAAAACAAGCACUUUCUUUUGAGUUUUCUGUUUCCUGCAUGGAUUUGUCUUCACAGGGGUAAAACUAGUCUUCGACUAAAAUCACGAAUCAUCUUUUGCUUGUUGGAGAUUUUUUCUUCAAUUCCUAAUUUAAACAGGAAUUUGAAUGAAACUUGGUCAGUGGCAACUAGCGCCUAUUCUUCUUUGGCUGGGCUUUCUUUGGGUUUCUGUCUCAAUGAAGAACGCCAAAAGUUUUUGAAGAAGACCAUGGCCCGUCGACCGACAGAAGCUUCGGGACCAUAGCUGGGCAUGUUGGGUUCUUGUUCUCCACUUGUUCAAAUGUGCAGAGUGACGGCUUAUUCUCCGUUGCAUCUCUGAAAAGAGGAAGGGAGAUGUCGAAAACUUCUUUAGACACCCAAGAGGCUACAGGAGGUUGUGGGAAGACGAUUUGCUGCUGUGUUUUGAUGAAAUCUCCGUUGGACAUCACAAGUUGCAGGGUGUCGAUGAUGUUGAAGACAUGGCGCAGCUGCUGUCUCUGUUUGGGCUUCCGUCUAACGUCGGCGGUUUAUUGCAAUGUUGCCUUCAUUAGCUAUUUCACACCGCUGCCAUCUUCUUGCUCAAACCUUCGUCAAAUUUGUUGAUGGUCUGGACUGGCGUGCCCAACUACGUCACCUGGUUUCAUCACCUUCGGAUCACGAACUGCACUGCCCUUGGGCUUCUUCCGGAGGACUGACAGAGACGACGGUUGAAAAAUGGUGGUGUUGCCGUAGUGCAGUGAUCACCUAGACCUGGUUGGAACUUCACGGGGUGGUUUAGACCACCCCGAAGAAAUUCAUGGGACUGGGGAUGGGAGAGAAACAAAUUGUUUUUUUUUCUUCUUGCAAAGCCGAGAGAAAGCAUACAAAGAAAGAUUUAGAAGGAUAGAUUUAUACCUUUAAAUGCUUUGUAGCAUUUCCUGCUCUUUGUUCUUGCGGGUAGCACUUGAUAUCUUCUUCUUUUUUCUUCUUUUGUUUCUCUUUUGCCUUUGCUCUCUUGCUUUGCCUCUCAUUCUCUGUUGUCUUCAUUGCGCUUUUCUGUCUCUCAAUUUUUGCAGAGUACCCUUGUCUUUUUUUUUUUUUUUUCUCUUGCUGUAGUUGAUGCCUAUUUAUAGGCAUCCCAAGUAAAGGAUGAUACAUUCCUGAUCUCUUGGGAUUGUUUCCUGUUUCAUCAUGAUUUCCAGAUUUCCCUGUUUUAUUAAAACAUUCCCCUUAUGUAUUCUUUGUAGAUUAAUUAUACUUGUAAAUCAAGUCAUUGUACACUAUUUAAAUCAAUGAUAAUGCACCCUCUAGGGCAUCGAGGGAUUGAGCCAAAAUACCUUCUUUUGAGUUAUCUUUUAUGGUACUCAGAGCCAGUGACUAACGUCUUUUUUUUCUUUUCGGAUUCUUCCUACUCUUCUCCAUGGCUGCCUCAACCAGUUCGACUACUCCUUCCUCCGACAUCUUCCCUUCUGUUUCUCAUGCGAUCUCCAUCAAACUUGACUCUUCCAAUUAUCCUCUUUGGUUGGCUCAGUUGCUACCUGUUCUUCGCAGUCGUCAAUUGUUGGCUUUUGUUGAUGGUACUUCCAUCUGCCCCUCGGCGUUCUUGUCCGACGAUACCGGCAACGCCUCUUCCAAACCCAACCUCGCGUAUGCUGACUGGGUUCAGAAGGACCAGCUUGUUCUUUCUUGGAUCAAUGGCUCUCUUGGUCACCAGGCCCUCGCCGCCACUGCUCGUCAUUCCACUGCCCGUGAUGUUUGGGUUGCUCUUCAGCAGCGUUUUGCUUCUACAAACCAAAGUCGCAUUCUUCAGCUUCGUACUGCUUUCUUCCAGACCAAACGAGGUGAUUCUUCAAUUUCUGACUUUCUUGAUAAGAUCAAUGGUAUUGCCGAUCAAUUGGCCCUUGCCGGGGCACCUGUUUCUGCUGAUGACAUGGUGCCGGUCGUCAUGUCUAAUGUCGGCCCCAAAUUUGAGAACACUGUUGCUGCUGCUCAGGCCCGUGACAACCCCAUCUCCCUUUCUGAUCUUGAGGCUCUUCUUCUCGUUGCUGAACUCCGCCUUGCUGAUCCUCCUGCUCCGCCGGACUCCAGCGUCUCGGCCCUGGUAGCCUCCCGCGGCUCUUCUGCCUUUCAUGGCCGCUCCUCUUCUGAUCGCGGCGGCGAUCGUGGCUCUGGCCGUUUCUCACGUGGGGGUGGUCGUCCUCAACAUGAUGGGUCUCGCAACAAUGGUGGUGACGGCUAUCGUGGCUAUCGCGGUGCUGGUGGUUUCCAUGAUCGUCCGUUUCGCGAUCGUGGUGGUGGUCGUCCUCAGCACGAUGGCUCUCGCUUCCGUGGCUCCAACAAUGCUUCUGGGGUUCUUGGUCCAGCCCCAUAUCACGGUUCCUCCCGUCCUCGCUGCCAUAUUUGCAAUACUUUUGGUCAUGGUGCUCUUGACUGUGCUCAACGUCUUAAUUUGGCUUAUGAAGGUCGUCCUCCUUCUUCCCGUCUCACUGCCUUGACUGCUCAGCACUCCCAGCCUUGGCUCAUUGAUUCCGGGGCAAACUCGCAUAUCACCAAUGAUCUCAAUACUUUGUCUCAGUCCCGUGAUUAUCGUGGUGGUGAUUCCGUCGGUGGUGUCGUUGGCGGUACAGGUUUGCCCAUUAACCGUAUUGGCUCCUCCACUCUCUCUCAUAAUAAUAUUUCUUUCAAGCUUAAUGAUGUUCUUCAUUGUCCGGAUGCUUCUACUUCUGUGUUGUCUGCUAAUCGGUUUAUGUUGGAUAAUAAUUGUUAUAUUACAUUGUUUCCUUCUUGUUUCUAUAUUCAGGAUAUGGAGACGGGGACGAUUCUUUUUUCGGGCAAGAGUAGCAAUGGCUUUUAUCCCUUUUCCUCUUCAUCACCGACUGCUCAUGGUCGUGCUGCUUUUCUUGGUGUUCGUGUUGGUAGUGAUGUCUGGCACUCUCGUUUAGGCCAUCCAUCUUCUUCCAUUUUAAAAUUUCUUUUUUCUAGGCAUUCGAAUAAGUUGCCUGUUUCUGGCAACCUCAAUCUCAAUACUUUUAUGUGUCAUUCUUGUCCUUUAGGCAAAAGUGUUAAGUUACCUUUUUCUGCAUCAUUGUUUGUUACUCAAGCUCCUCUUGAGCUUAUUCACUCCGACGUGUGGAGUGCGUCCAAUAAAUCUGUUAGUGGUUUCCAAUAUUAUGUUCUUUUUGUUGAUAAUUUCUCUCGUUAUUCUUGGAUUUAUCCCAUGAAAUUGAAAUCUGAAGUCUUUAAUAUUUUUACUCACUUUAAGACCUUGGUUGAAAAUCAAUUCUCCACUAAAAUUAAGAUGUUUCAGUCCGAUGGUGGGGGCGAAUACACUAGUCACCAAUUCAAGAAUUUUUUUCUUCACCAUGGUAUUCAUCAUCGUCUCUCAUGCCCUCACCAUCCCGAACAAAAUGGUUUGGCGGAACGCAAACAUCGUCACAUUGUCGACACUGGACUUACUUUAAUGGCCCAUGCGUCGAUGCCUCCUGCCUAUUGGGCUAAGGCCAUGCACACAGCAGUUUAUCUUCUCAAUCGCCUCCCCUCUAAAGUACUUGGUUUUAUGUCUCCUUAUCAAAAGUUGUUUCUUAAGGAACCUGAUUAUAGUUUUUUAAAGACCUUUGGGUGUGCAUGUUUUCCCCACCUACGACCCUAUAAUAAUAAUAAACUCCAGUUUCGUUCUACUAAAUGUGUUUUUCUUGGUUACUCUCUCAAUCAUCAAGGUUCUCGGUGCUUAGACAUCUCUACUAACCGCAUCUUUUUAUCACGCCAUAUUGUGUUUGAUGAAGGUAAUUUUCCUUUCAAGGCCAUCUCUGGCUCUCUUGCCCCAUCCUCCCCGGCCUCGUCUCCUCCUCCUGUUUUAGAAAUCACUGGGCCUCUUCCGCAUGCCCCCCGACCGUCUAGCAGCCAACCGGUGGUUGUGUCCCCCUCUUUGGAGACUCAUCAAUCCAGUCCAUCAUCCGACCCACCACAGCCGGCCCUACAGGUUUACUCCCGUGACCCUCACAGGCGGGUUCUUUCUUUUGCACAAGCAGCAACCCCAUCUGUCACUCCCAGGCCCACGCCUGCUGUUGCCUCUGCAGUUCAACCUGAUGCGCCUCCCGAGGCUCCAUCUGCUGCUGUACCACCUGCCGUGCCCUCUACUUCCCAUGGUAUGCUCACUAGGUCCAAAACGGCUUCUCUUAAGCCUCAUAAAUAUGUUUUUUCUGCUGCCAUUUCUUCUUCUACCGGUCCUAUUGAGCCUACUUGUUUUAGUCAGGCCAACACUUUUCCCGAAUGGCGUACUGCGAUGGCCGAUGAAUUUAAUGCACUUCAACGUGCUGGUACUUGGACUCUUGUUCCUCGUACCGCUUCUAUGAAUAUUUUGCCAAACAAAUGGGUGUUUCGUAUUAAACAGAAUUAUGAUGGGUCUAUUCAGCGGUAUAAGGCUCGUUUGGUAGCCAAUGGUUUUCAUCAGCAACCCGGCCUUGAUUAUGGUGAAACUUUUAGUCCUGUUGUCAAUCACUCUACUAUUCGCUUAAUUUUGGCUCUUUCAGUUCAGUUUCAAUGGCCUGUUCGUCAGUUGGAUGUUCAGAAUGCUUUUCUUCAUGGCUCUUUGUCUGAGGAGGUCUAUAUGCACCAACCUCGUGGCUUUGUUGAUCCACAGUUCCCUCAUCAUGUGUGCCGCCUUCGUCGUUCUUUAUAUGGGCUCAAGCAGGCGCCCCGUGCAUGGUUCCAAUGUUUUUCCACUCAUUUGGAAGAUUUGGGUUUUCGUCCCUCUACUGCGGAUCACUCGCUUUUUACCUAUAUUCAUGGCUCUACUCGCAUUUAUCUCUUAAUUUAUGUUGAUGAUAUUUUGGUCACCGGGAAUAAUCCCUCAUAUUGUCACCCUCAUUAAGAAUUUGGGCAUCCGUUUCUCUAUGAAGGACCUUGGACCGGUUCAUUAUUUCUUAGGCAUGGAGGUGGUCCGCACUCCAUCAGGUCUCUCUCUUUCCUAACAAAAGUAUGCCACUGACCUACUUCACCGCACCAAAAUGCAUGGUGCUAAGCCGGUUCCUACUCCUGCCGUUAGUGGGCGACGGCUCAGUCUUCAGGAUGGUGACCCUCUGCCGGAUCCUAUUGAAUACCGAAGUGUUGUCGGCGCCCUUCAAUACUUGACUCUCACUCGUCCCGACAUCAACUUCGCCGUCAACCAAGUCUGCCAAUUUCUUCACCAGCCGACUUCUACUCAUUGGGCCGCCGUCAAACGCAUUCUUCGUUACCUUGUCGGCACUACUUCUCACGGUCUUACCUACAAGCCUGGUUCCUUUCGUCUUACAGCAUUUUCCGAUGCCGAUUAUGCCGGGAUCCUGAUGAUCGGCGUUCCACCGGGGGCUAUUGCUUGUAUCUGGGUUCCAAUCUUGUCUCAUGGAGUGCCAAGAAACAAAAUGGGGUCUCUCGGUCCAGCACUGAAGCCGAGUAUCGUCAACUUGCAAUCACCGCUGCCACUCUUUCAUGGUUUCGUAUGCUGUUCCGUGACCUCCAGUUUCCUCUACAUUGUCCUACACUGUUUUGUGACAAUAUCAGUGCUAUAUCCCUUGCUUCCAACCCGGUGUUUCAUGCCCGCACUCGGCAUGUUGAGGUGGAUUACCAUUAUGUUCGUGAAAAGGUUGUUCGCAAGGAGAUUGAUGUUCGUUAUCUUUCUACUCAUGAUCAGAUUGCUGACUUCUUCACCAAGGGCCUUUCUCUUCCUCGUUUUCGACUUCUGGUUUCCAAGCUUCCUGUACUUGAUUGUACUGUCAGCUUGCGGGGGCGUAAAGGAUGAUACAUUCCUGAUCUCUUGGGAUUGUUUCCUGUUUCAUCAUGAUUUCCAGAUUUCCCUGUUUUAUUAAAACAUUCCCUUUAUGUAUUCUUUGUAGAUUAAUUAUACUUGUAAAUCAAGUCAUUGUACACUAUUUAAAUCAAUGAUAAUGCACCCUCUAGGGCAUCGAGGGAUUGAGCCAAAAUACCUUCUUUUGAGUUAUCUUUUCCCAAGAAGGCUCUAGAAUUUGUUACGUGGGGGAAGAUGGAGACCAUGACCUCCUGCCACUUUCUGUUAACCCCCUUUUCUGACUCCACGUUUCUUUUUGUUGCAGAAAAUGGGGGAGCACCUGUUUUUUGCACGUUACUUCCCCCCUUAUGUAGGAAAAAAAUUAUAAAUUUUUUAUUUAUUCCUGAAUGUAUUUGUAUGUAAAGCUCAUCCUCAUCUUUUGGGUUGGAUUACAUUUUUGUUUUACCUUGAAGUUUGACUCAAUUUGAAUGGACUUUAUUUUUUCAUAUUUUUUUUGUUCAACAAGCGUAGUUUUCUUUUUCUUUUUCUCUGUGAAAUAUAUAGUAUGAAGAGGGUGGAAAUGGGUCGGGGCUUACAUUUCCUUCACUUUCUGCCAAAAGAUUGUUCCGAACCACACUGAUAGAGCGAAAAUAAACGCGAAACGUGCUAGAUUGUACUUUGGACUUCUCCAGUGGGACAAGUGUUGUUUCCACAGACAUGCCUUAAACUGCACCCAGCUAUUUUGAGCAAAAGGAGUGGGAAGGUUCAAGCCCCUUGAACCCGGCUUUGGUUCGCUCAACCGGCUAACCAACUCGACCGUGUCUCUCUGAAAAAGAAGGAAACAAACAUAUAAAUUUGAUGAUUGAAAUAAAUACAUGAUUAAUCCUAAAAUAAUGGAAAUAUUAGAGAUAUGCCCUUACCUAUACUGAGUAGAGGGUUUAUAAAUUUCAGCAAAAUCUAAACAAAGUUUUGCCUCUACUGAGGCAGAAGUAACUUCUAACAUCCAAGUUGCUGGAUUGUAAUUUUCUUUGAUCUUUGGUACAUCACGAAUAUCCUCAAAAUAUUUGACGAGUUUACUCGAGUGAUGACCGAGAACUCCAGAAUAGAUGAUUUGGCCUCCCCUUUUCAUCAAAAGUAACUGCAAAAAUCAAUGUCUUCCGUUAGUGAUCGAGUGGCUUUUAUGAUUUGGUUUAGUUUUCUUGGACUCCAUGACAAUGCUCGUUAUACUACCUCGUCAAAUGACUGAAAAAUAUCAAUGCUUGGCUUGUGGAUUGUGCAAACAGUUGUCCUUCCUGUGGAAACAACAUUCUUUACUACGCAAAUGGCAAUUGCAGCUGCUCUGGCGUCUAAGCCUGACGUAGGUUCAUCCAUAAAUAUUAUUGAUGGGUUGGAUACAAGCUCCACUGCAAUUGUUAGCCUUUUGCGCUGUUCAGUAGAUAGGCCAGUUUGUCCAGGAAUGCCAACUAAGGAAUCUCUUAUAUCCUCCAGUUCAAUCGUUUGAAUGACUUCCUCCACAAAUUUCUGCAUAGAUUAAGCAAAGGAUACUUUCUUUUAUAUGUUCCAGGAAAUUUGCAUAUUAUUGAUAAAUUGAAAGAAUAUCAUCCUACAGCUUUUAUGUCUGGAUCAGUUUCGUGUGGCAACCUCAACCAAGCUGAGAACAUAAGCGAUUCUUCUACCGUGAUCUGUGGAGAAUGUAUAUCAGUCUGCUCGCAGUAUCCUGAUAUUCUUGCAAAUGUCUUCUGGACCUUGGGGUACCCUCCGAUUCUUAUAUCUCCCACGAUACUACCUCCUGUUUCCCUUCCAGAAAGAACAUCCAUGAGAGUUGUUUUUCCAGCCCCAUGCGGUAGGAAUUCCUGGACUGAAUGCUCCUGUUAUAUCUUUAAGCAACUGAAGCUUUUUCUCCUUGAAAGCAUGCUGUCUCAUUUCCUUUUUUAAGAAGGAAUGAAGUUAAAAUACAACUAAAUAGUUUUCCAAUGAUACUAAUAUGUGAAAAUUGACUAAUGAUUUGAUUAAUUACCGGAGGUGUAUCAACAUAAUACUGCACGUCCUUAAAUGAGAUUGUCAGUGGCUCGAACGGCAGGACCAUUCUCCCUGUUUAACAAAUUGAUUUACUCUCGAAUAAUUCAGUUGUUAAAAAAAUUCCUUGCUCGUUGCUUUGAAUGGAAAAUGUGAAACUGAUAACCCGGAUAAACUGGAUGCAACAAUUCAUCUCACCUAGUGUUAUCUUUUCUCCCAUGGUUUUGAAUAAAUCGGAUAGAGUUGAUUCAUUUUCCAACGGUGCACCAGUUUGGGUUAAUAUUUAACAUUGGGCUUAUAGGAGAGAAAGCCCAAAAGAGUUCAAUAAGAAGAGUUUCGUCCGAAGCCCAGCACCAAGCCCAGACCGUCCAUCUCAAGACCAAUUGGCACUCUCCUAUUAAUGCAAAGGCUAAGUGCUUACAAGAGAAGUGACAACUGAUGAAAAUCAACCUACUCUCAGCCCAAAAGUACUUUUCAGUGGCAAUACAAGUAAAAUAUUGAUGAGUCACUACCAUUCAAUUGCUUUUGGGUAAGAACAAAGCUACAAGCGGUCGGACUAAUUCGUUUAUAAAAGGAGGAAGAGGGCUCAGAGACAAGGACACUCAAUCAAUCAAACAUACAACUUGUCUCUCAUCCAAGCAAAUACCCAGAAAGCUGUGCUUUGUCCAGACUCUGCACCCUUUUAGCCUUAGAUUUCCUUAGAAAGACAUCUUUUUUCUAUGUAAAAGCUCUGCUACAUUUUUCUAAAUGUUGUAGUAUCGAUCCCUCGUGUAUAAACUCGUUUCCAGUCAUCUCCUUUAGUACUCAAUUCUUUUGUAAACUGCAAAGAGAAGAGAUCGCAAGGCGUUUAACCUUGCUUGACAAAGUGAAAUCUUGCCCAACUCUCUUUGUUUUUAUCUUUCAAUUAACAAAUAUGGUGUUAUAAUGUAUUCCGUAGUUUAUAUUCAAGUUAUUUCCAGUCCUUUGAUGACCCAAAGCCCCAUCAGUUCUCAGAUCUGGUUCACUUAGUGGUUUUAUCAAGAAUUGAAAUGAAUUAAACUGAUGACUUGAUCAGAUCUAAGCCUUCACCCCUCAAGCAUACAAAAUAACUAAAAGUCUUUGAUCUCAAGGCAUAGAAAAUAACUUAAUGUAGACUUAAUCCAUCUACAACAAUCCUUUGAUAAACAAGAAGUCAGAAAUAACUUGGGGUGCAAGUAAUCGGCUUAAAACACACUUGUUCUACAUCUGCCAUACAGAGAUGGCAGUGGCACGCCUAAGCACCUAGUUAGUUUUGAAUGCGAGCCUCAAGGCCUAUACCUAAGGCCCCACAAAGGCACCUUUCAGAACUAACUUUGUUUUCCUCUUGCAGUAUUGUGACAAGCAGGAGCCCAACAAUCAACCAAAGUGCCAACUCCUCGGGCAGCUGUGUGCUCGAGCCAGGAACGCCCACCAACCAGAUUUCCUGCCCAAAAAGCACCAGUUUUGCGAGCUCCCCUUCUUCAAAGUUGAGAUAAUCUUUUUUUCGAAACAAUAGCCCGAUACACCUUUGGAGCUGUAUGAGGAAAAGCUUAAGUAAACUGAUGUGGAGCUGUAUGAGGAAAAGCUUAAGUAAACUGAUGAAGUGGAUUGUAAUACUUAAGUUAUCAUCUGUCAAUUAAAAUGAAUCUAAGUAAGUUAAUGCUAAAAUAAAUCCAAGAUCAGACAGCAUUGUGAACCCGAGUAAUGCUCCUACUGAUAUCCAAUAGAAAUAGCCAUCAAAGUUCAAACCAUGCCUGGUUAGAACUUUAUUCCCUAGGGUUGUGUUUCCCUCUGAGACCUAAAGAAAUGAAUUAACACUGUCAAAACACUUAUUCGACUUCGAUGAUCGGGUACUAAAAAAGUUUAUCAUCUUGAGUUGUACCUUUUGCCAGCGAGGAGCGAGGAACUCGUUUAGAGUUGUACCGAUUUCCCCAUAAGUCAUAGGUGAACACCAGAAUAGUCAACGCAACCAAGGAGGUAAAGAGGCUGCAAAACACCCCUUAUUAGUCUAGUUGUAGUUGAAUGUAACUAAAGGAAAAAUACGAUAAAUGGACUUACAUCGUGGCAAGAUGAAGCCUCCGGAUAAAAACAUUAGCACUAGGAUUAAAAUACCGCAAGUUGAUGCAACAACCAUAGUUUGGAAAACUACAGCAAUUAAACGACAUAUGGAUGUCGAUGCUUGAUGGAGAGCAAAUAGCACAAGGAACUGGAAGAAGAACCUAAAAACCAUAGCAUAUUCUUGAGGCAUUAUUAUGAUUAUUGUUCAAGCCUUUCAUGUUCUGUCGUGUGACUAUAAAGUUGAGAUCUUACGUUUUUAUGUCUGGAGCGUACCCAAUCAAAUGGUAAGUUAUUGCUGUCCACAGCAGUGAAUCAAUCACUGAAAAUGGAACCUUCAGGAUAGACUGGAAGAGAAUACGCCCAUGCUGGAUACAGAUUGAAUCCUCUUUGCUUGUAAACCACUGGUAAUCUAGUAACAGUCACAGCUCUGCAAUUCCGUUGGUCAUAAGUCGAAUAAGUGUAUAAAACAAUGAGUUCAUAAAAAAACUUGCAUUUAUCAAAUCCACGGUCCUACGGGUGCUUAUACAGAUUGCCAUUGUAAUAAAUGCAGUGAUGACAAGCUGUGGGAAAAAAAGAGAGAAAAUAUAGUAAGUGAUUUUGAGUUUAACUUCAGAAGUACAACCCCUAAAAGUGAUAUCAUUAGGCAGUAAACCUGAGCUGUUUUGAAUACGUAGAGAAAGGAAUUCCGUUUCAUGAGAAGAAGCUCUCGGGCCAUACAACCUUUGAACAACUCCCAUUUGCUCACAGAGUAAGUACUAAAUGAUAAGGCAUUAUCAUGGCACUGUGAUUUAUUGUAUGGUUUUGAGAGCUCAUCGUCUAAUUUCUUCCCCGAGUAACUUGCUCUGAAAAGUUCAAAAAAUUUGUUUGCAGAAACAUGACCGUAGGGAAUGUUAUCAUGCUUCCAGUAUUGUGCUUGAUCCUUCUUUGAGAUCACCUCUUGAAGGAAAUCUGCAGCACCCUUUCUUGGUGGGCACUUGAAACCAGAGUCUUCGAAAAACUCAACUGCGUGGCUGCGAUGACCGUGGUAAACUAUCUUCCCCUCUGCCAUUAGUAUUACAUCAUAAAAAAUAUCAAUGGUCUCGGGUGCUGGUUGGAGAAGUGAUACCAAUGCAGUUGUAUCUGUGAUAUGCACCAGCUGCUGAAGAUAGGUAACUAUCUGAAAGGUUGUAGAACUGUCUAAUCCCGUUGAUAUCUCAUCCAUAAAAAGAGCUUUUGUAGGACCUACAAUCAUUUCUCCUGAAGAUUAAACAGAAGAGGAAUGUUAUGUUUGAAACAUUUUUCUACAUGGGAAUUAGUAAUUACAUUCAAAUUUCCCUCGGAUUCAAGAUUUCACUACCGGUUGUCAGCCUUUUCUUCUGGCCACCAGAAAUGCCUCUUCUUAAUGCAUCACCAACCAUUGUGUCACUCACUACACAUACCCAGUCCAAGUAUCUAAAGAGAUUCCAAAAUAUCGUAAUUCAUUUUUCCUGUCCGAGUGAGUUAGAAAUGUCACGUUUGAACUACUUAAUGUCAGCAUUGUCCAUGUCCAACACUGGUUGGAGAAAAAUUUACCUUCAAAACAUAAUCGGUUUGGAGAUUUUCCCUUUGUCCUUCAACUGAAAUGGCCUGUGAGUAUUAUGUAAAUCUCUAAAACCUCUAACACAAAAGGGUGGUAAGAUUUACUAAAAGGAAUGUUAUGAGACUUUACAAUUACCUUCAUGUAGGUGUCAAUAUCUGGAUCGGGGACUAUUCCUGCUUCUUUUUCCCUUCUGCUGAGCUCCAUUAUUAUAUAUGCAUAAAAUACGAUCGAAAUUAAACUUCAUACGUCAAUAGAAGUACACGACUAACCCAAUAGUAAAUGCAAUAGGGGAUAAGGAAUAUGCACCAGCUCUACUGCCAACACCCUGGCAGCGGGAGGAAAAGUCAAUUGUUUCCCUCAGUCAUCUCAGGCAGGUGAAGGUCAUGCUGGCUAAUGUAAGCUGAUGUUUUUUGGGGAACAAACUCAUCUAGCUUGUAACCAUUAUAAGUGUUGUAAACUGAAAUAGAAAGGAACGAAGUUACCUAAAAAAAUGUAGAAGCCUUGAGUGGUGAAUGAUUAUUGGGAUGAGUUGCGGACUAAGUCGCUUUCUUUAAGACGUUUCGCGGCUCUACCCAAAGUGUGCAAGCAGUUCACAAACACCACAUCGUCCUAGGAUAAAACAGCCCAAAACCUUCUUCUUCUUCUUCUGAUAAAGUUCUUCCUUGUACAGUAGAAGAACCUUCGAAUUCACAUUCUCUCAAUAUGUUGCUAACCAAAACUAUAUAUUAGAAAAUAUAUCUUCUUUUUUUUCCGCAUACUUUCAAUGAUCCAGGGACUACUAUAUAUACAUUUAGACGAAAGAGAUGUUGAGGGUUUGAGAAAAUUGAAAGCAGGACAAAAUCAAAACGUAAGUCAAAUAAAACGGUUUGAUUAUGUAUCAUGACAUGAUCUUCUUCUCUAUACAAAGAAGGAAUGGCACGUUUCAAACUUAAAAGGAGAUAACUCCUUACCUAAUUGAAAAGUCAAAAUCAAUUGGCAGUUAUGCAUAGAAUAUUGGUAAUAAAACAAAACGUUAUGUAUAUAAUAUUGGUAAUAAAAUAAAACAUAAAUAUAUUUAAAUAUUUAAAUAAAAACAUAUUUACUCAACAAUCCCCCACUUGUUUUUGUUUAAAACUAUACAUCAAGCAAUAUAUCGUAAAGCUAUACAGAAGUAAAUGUGUUUCUCAACUUAAAUCUAUACAUAGUGUUAGUGAUCGAGAUUAUACUAGAGUAACUUAUAGUUUUGAACUCUAUCCCUAACAACACCACACACACAACUUUAUUAAGGUGAAGUUCAAAAAGCCAGCACAUUACAACCAUGUGCUUGUAUCCCAGUAUAGUGAACGCUCUAGAAACUUGCUCAAGAUUUCAUAGGAAGCGGCAUCACUUCCACAUUCACAUAGUUAAGACUAUCAAGGUAUUCCUGUAGCUAGAUAUCUCACUUAACAUAGAGUAUAGACCUUACUAAGAGAAAAAAAAAUCUCAACCUAAAUACGCUUCAGGAUGUCAUGCUUCUUAGGGAUGGACAUGGAAUAAUAUUCCAAACUAAAAUUAGCAAGACUUCACUCUUAUCACUUGUGACUUGUUAUUACCCUUUGAACCUAUUUCUUGGGAUCUCUAGUCUAUAGGUUGGGUUGCUAUCACAAAUAACUCAAUUCUCUAGGGCUUUAGUCCCAUCCCUUUCGAGGUUUUCCAAACCUUUUCUCGUGCUAGUCCUUUUGUCAAAGGAUCAACCAAGUUUUCUUCAUACCGUAUAUGAUCCACUCUCACAGCUCCAUUAGACAGGUAAUCUCUUACAGUGAUGUGCUUACGACGUAUUUGUCGCCCUUUCCCAUUAUAAUAAUGAUUUUGCACUUUAGCUAUUGCCGAUGUGCUAUCACAAUGGAUCAAAACUGCUGGAAUCGGUUUCUCCCAUAAAGAGGUAUCUGACAGUAGGUUUCUCAACCAUCCUGCUUCUUCGCUUGUCGUAGCUAGCGCUAUUAAUUCUGACUCCAUAGUGGACUGAGCCAUGAUAGUAUGUUUCUUAGACUUCCAUGAUACAACCCCACCACCAAGACUAAAAAUACAUCCACUAGUGGCUUUAGAGUCAUCUGAAAGGGUAUUCCAAUCAGCGGCACUGCAACCUUCUAGGACAGCGGGAAACUUCUCAUAGUGUAAUCUAAAAUUCAUUGUCCUUUUAAGGUAUCUCAUAAGCCUAUCUAUGGCAUGCCAAUGCUCCAAACUAGGUCUACUAGUAAACCUGCAUCAAACUCCUACGACAUAAGAUAUAUCAGGCCUAGUGCAAUCAGUAGCAUAACGAAUGCUACCAAUAAUACUCGCAUACUCAGAUUGUUUAACACUGUCACCAAUGUUCUUGAACAAUUUUACACUAGGAUCAUGAGGAGUACAUGCUGGUUUACAAUCAAAAUAAUUAUACUUUCUUAAAAUUGUUUCUAUGUAGUGAGAUUGAUCUAAAGAAAACCCAUGUUCAAACCUAGUUAUUUUCAAACCAAGUAUUACGCUAACUUCACCCAAGUCUUUCAUAUCAAAAUUAGCAGAUAACAAAGAUUUGACAUUAUUCACAACAUGAAUAUUCGAACCAAAAAUAAGCAAAUCAUCCACAUAUAGGCAUAUAUUACUUUCAGACUUAUAAUAGAUGCAUUUGUCACUUUCAUUUAUUUUAAAACCAUUUGAAGUAACCAAACUAUCAAAUUUUGCAUGCCAUUGUGUGGGAGCCUGUUUCAAUCCAUAAAGUGACUUAUUUAACUUGCAAACUUUAUUUUCUUUUCUUGGAAUAAUAAAACCUGUGGUUGACCCAUAUAUAUUUCUUCCUCUAAUUUACCAUUUAAGAAAGCUGUUUAACAUCCAUUUGGUGCACAACAAGAUCAUGAAUAUAAGUUAAGGCAAACAAUACACGAAUAGAUGUUAUUCUAGUCACAGGUGAACAAAUAUAAAAGAAAUCAAUCUUUUCUCUUUGUCUAUAGCCUUUGGCAAUAAGUCGGGCUUUAAAAUUUUCAACUGAUCCAUCAGGUUUUAAAUUUUUUUUAAGAAUCUAUUUGCAACCUAUUGUUUUGCAACCAGGUGGAAGAUCCACCAAGUGCCAAGUUUGAUUUGACUCCAGGGAGUCCAUUUCAUCAUUUAUAACUUCUUGCCAAAAAAUUGCAUCUAAAGAAGUUAAAGCUUCUUGAAUUGUAUUAGGAUCUUCUUGUAAGUUAUAUACAUGGAAAUCAGGGCCAAAAUCUUUAGCUAUUCGAGCUCUUUUACUUUUCCUAGGUUCUAAUGCAGAUUGACUAUGUUUUACAACAUUAGGUUCAUAAAUUUUAGAAGAAUUAGAACCCCCACUAUUUUGAAGAUUAAAAGGAAAUUUAUUCUCAUAAAAAUCAGCAUCAAGUGACUCAAUUAUGACAUGGUUUUUCAAAUCAUAACAUCUAUAUGCUUUGCUAUUACAUGCAUAACCAAUAAAAACACAUUCAUAUGCUCUACUAGCCAAUUUCGAUCUUUUUGGACCAAGUUUACGAACAUAAGCUAAACAACCCCAAGUUUUGAAAUACAAUACAUUUGUUUUCUUAUUUUUCCAAAUUUCAUAAGGAGAGAUAUUCGAUUCUGAGGUAGGAAUUCUAUUUAAUACAUAACAUAUAGUCAACACAAUUUCACCCCACCAAUAAGAAGCAGCUCCAGAACUAAGUAGCAACACUCAAUUCGCAAAGAGUUCGAUUUUUUCUUUCCGCUUUACCAUUCAUUUCAGGAGAAUAAGGAGCAGUAGUUUCAUGAAUAAUUCCAUUAGACUUAAACAAAUUAACAAAUUCAAUGGAUUCAUAUUCUUGUCAUCUAUCACUACGAAAUCUUUUAAUCUUAUGAUUAAACUGAUUUUCAACUUCAGUAAAGAAAGUUUUGAACAUGUCAAUAGCUUUACUUUUAUUUUUCAUAAGAUAGACAAAACAGUAAUUCAAACAAUCAUCAAUAAAGGUAAUAAAAUAACGUUUUCCAUUUCUAGUUAACACUCUAUCAAAUUCGCAUAUAUCAGAAUGAAUUAAGUCAAGUGGUUCAGAUUCUCUAUUGACAGAUUUAUGUGAAGUUCUAGUGAUUUUAGCUUGACUACAAUAUUCACAUUUUUCAAAAUCAGUCAACGAUAAGUUAGGUAAAAAGCCUAAGUUACUCAUGUUCUUAACCAAGAGUUUGUUAACAUGACAAAGUCUAGCAUGCCAAGUAUUAAAAGAAGACAACAUGUAAUCAGAAGUAGACAUUUUAUCAACAUUCAAUUUAAACAUUCCAUUAGUAGCAUAUCCCUUUCCCACAAAAACCCCAUUUCUAGUAAGAGUAUACGUAUUUGCUCCAAACGUUUGAGUGAAUCCAGCCUUGUUGAGAAGUAAGCCUGAGACCAAAUUCUUCCUUAUUGUUGGAGCAUGCAUCACAUCUUUCAGUAUCAUGGGUUUUCCAGAGGUGAACUUUAACUCCACCUCUCCAGUACCAGCAACAUCAGUUGAGUGCGAAUCACCCAACAACACAUUUCUUCCCUCAGCCAUAGAAUAGGUCUUGAAAAGAGAACGAUCGUAGCAAGCAUGGGGAGAAGUGCCAGUGUCCACCCACCACCCACCACCCCUCGGACUAAGUUGAUUUCUGAUAUCAUUGCAAUUAGUUGCUCUUCAACAAGAUUUGUUUGAGAAGCAAAGUUUUCCUUAUAAUGCAUGGCAGAUUGAAUUCAUCUUAAAAUUGUUGUAAACUGAAAUAGAAAGGAACGAAAUUACUCAAAAAAAAUGUAGAAGCCUUGAGUGGUGAAUGAUUCUUGGGAUGAGUCAGGGACUAAGUCACUUUCUUUAAAACAUUUUGCGGCUUUGCCCAAAGUGUGCAAGCAGUUCACAAACACCACGUCGUCCCCAGGAUAUAACAUCCCAAAACCUUCUUCUUCUGAUGAAGUUCUUCCUUGCACAGUGGAAGAACCUUCGAACUCACACUCUCUCUCAAUAUGUUGCUAACCAAAACUAUAUAUCAGAAAAUAUAUCUAUUUUUGUUCCGCAUACUUUCACUACUAAAUAUACAUUUAGACGAAAAAGACGUUGAGAGUUUGAGAAAAUUGAAAGCAGGAAUAAAACGGUCUUAGGUCCGAUUCUCGCCGAAGGCGAAUUUGAACCACUAAACCGUAGCACUAAGUGGCUCCUAACAAUGUCUCUUAACAAGUUUAGAGGUAUUUGUCUUCACUAAUAAAUGAAAAGCGUUUGAAUUUCAUGAAUGACAAGUGCAAUACAAAAUUCAAAUUAUCAUGGUUCUUCCAUUAUAUGAUUUAACCAAAGCAUACCAUCUCUUAGUGUAAAUAUAUCAUUGAACUAUCAUUGAAGUAGUUCCAACAUUCGUAUACCAUCUUAAUUAUCAAUUUACUAUUACAAAAUUUCUAUUAAUUUUUCUUUACAAACUAAAGUGUUAUUAGGCUAAGUUGUUAAAUAUUAGGAGAUGAGUAGGGAUCGACCCACCGCCAAAGUACAUAUAUAGGUAUUACUGUUUUCUGCUACUAUGAUAAAGUGUAAUAUACUUCUAUAUAUUAAAAGAAAAUUCACUGAUACAUUUCCACAUGUAAACAUUCAACAUUGGACAUAUAUAAUAUUUUUCCCUACUUCUUUGGAAAUUUAAUUUUCCAAUGCAAUAGGCAAAUAGGGAAACAAAGACAAUCCCAACUGGGAAAGCAAUGAGAACAAGAGCCACAAGGCCUAAACAAUCAUGGUGGAAACCAUAAUAAUCUUGUAGGAUUAUUUUCUAUUUAAAAAACGUAUGUGAACAUACACAUUAUUUUCUAUUAUAAUAUGUGUAAGUUUAUGAAGGGAAAUAUUCACUAAAAUGAUCAAAAAUCAAAUUCUGAUGCCAAAACAAAAUCAAAUAUUGUCAUACUGAAAAACUAAUCAUUUCAACAAAUGAGAUUCAAAUAUUUGAUUAUUUUGGCCAAUUUUCCUGUAUUGAUACCCUAACCUAAAGUAUAAAUUACUUGCACAUCCAAAUUAUAACACAUGAAUUAACAACACUCCGUCAAUUAGACUUGUGUUACAUGUAUUUACACGGUUAUUGUCAUUCCAAGUGCUCAAAUGCUAAUGGAGUUACACAAAACCAUCAAAUAUUAGAAAAGAUUGGAUUCAAGAUAUACUAAGUAUAAUGUACAGAAUGUUGCAUAUAAAGUACCAGAAAACUUUAGUAGGUGACCAAGAGAACCCUAUUGCAGGAUAUGCAACGGCUACAUACAAAACUUGUAACAUUGUAUAAUGUAUUUUAAUGGCAACAUGCAACAUUUAACACUUUACACUAUAUUUGGAUGAGGAAGUUUAAGAUUGCUAAGGAAAUUUAAAGUAACGGAAAUUGAAAUGAUGGAAUUUUAUUUUAUAGAAUAUGUGAAUUUUCUUGUUUGGUUGAGGAAAAUAAACUUGGAAUUUAGAUAAAAGUCAGAAUUUGUAAAUUGACAUGCACCAGUUUCCUUGUUUGGAUUCAUAAACAUAUAUAGGAAUUUAGAAUUUUCGGGUGAAAAAAAAACUUGGAAUUUGGGACCUCCAAUUCCCAAGUUUAAAUUCCAUGUAAAUAUGUAUCAUUUCCCAAUUUCUAUGAUUGAGUGCUUAAAAAUAACAAAUUCCGUAAUCAAUUCCAUUUAUUUUUAGGUUAACCAAACAAGAGAAUUCACAAAUUCUAGAAAAUAAAAUCCUGUCAAUUCAAUUUCCGUCAUUUUAAAAUUCCUUAGUAAUCUUAAAUUUCUUCAUCCAAACAUAGUGUUAAGAACAAUGGAAUUUGAAAUGAAAUUUGUUAUUUUAAACCCUCAUUCAUGAAAAUUCAGAAAUGACACCAAUUUACAUAGAAUUUAAAAUGGGAAUUAGAUGUCCCAAAUUCCAAGUUUUUUUCUCAUGCAGAAAUUCUAAAUUUCUAUGUUUAUGAAUCCAAACAAGAGAAUUGGUACAUGUUAAUUUUUAAAUUCCAGCUUUUAUCAAAAUUCCAAGUUUAUUUCCCUCAUCCAAACAUAGUGUUAGUUUAAAACUGUGAAGAUUUUGAUUUAUCGAUUACAAACUAAAUAAGUACUUGAAUUCUUAGGCACUUCAACGUAUGAACUUGUGCAAAUGAACAAGGUCGGCCCUGAGAUUUUGAAGGCCCGAGCUAAGCUACCAAAUAGGAGCCCUUUAAUUCUUAGGCACUCCAAUUGGUUGUAGGUUCAUAUACAUUUUAUUUUUAUAGUAAAUACUCAUUAAUUUAUUAUUAUAUCGUACUCUUAUUUAAUUAAUAAUCAACAAUAUGCUAAAGUUUUAAGAAGGUGUUUGGACCCAAAAUUACAUCAUCGGCCCGUGCAAUCAAGGCCGUUGAGUAGGCAUAGCUCUCAAUCGUCGGAUAAAAAAGCAGAGAUAAUUUUGUUAUUAAAGGAUAAUAUUAUGGUUUUUAUCAUAAUUAUCUUUUAAUGAUUUAUCUCGACAUCUUCUUAUGAAAGAGGGAAAAUAUAUCUCCAAGCUGGAAACACGCAGCACAAUUCAAAGCGAUUUGGAUGUUUGGCGUGUGGAUGUGGUUUGGAUCGGUUUUAGUUGACAAAUAUGCAUGCAUGUGAUAAGGGUGAAGUAAAAAUGGUGAUAUGCUUUGAAAAUGAGUCUACAUGUGUUGGUGAUAAGAUGGCAGCAACUGCCUUGCUGACAAUUAACAUUGGGUAUUUUAUGCUAAAUCAUGCAUAUUGGUAUAUGCUUUUGUAUUGUGGGCCAGCAUAUGUUUUUUUUUUAUGGAGCCAAAUUCAUUUAACAAUGGAUAUUUGGAACAAUAAGAAGUUUAAGUAGGCAUAGGCCUUUGAGAGUUUGAGUUUCAGUUGGUUUCUACGAAAUCAUCAAGGCCACGCCAAGCGGGAUCAUGCAUAUUUGAAAGAGAAUAUUCCUAUUAUUUUGCAACUUACGACGGCAAUCUUACGGUUAUAGAGGCAAUGACAACAUAAAGGUGGUAUUUCGAAUUCAACACACAAACUGCCAUGCACAAACUCUUGCUCUACGCGAAACCUCUUAACAACCUUGAGAUUUUUAUUUUCCUUUUUCGCCAACACAUCUUCAGUUUGGAUAAAUAGCACUAUGAAGGCAACCGGUGAACAUCUUCACUUUGGAUAAACAAUACUAUAACCGUAGAACCAUUCGACCAUGAAGCACCUUUAGUUUGGAUAAACAACAUUGCUCCGAGACCGAUUGAUUACCUAUCCAAGUCUCGGUCAAGAAGAAUUUUCAAGUCCUUACUAGUAGAGAUCAUCUCAUCAGCCUUCUCGACGAAGUGAGGUGUUACCAGGUUACUACAUUCGGCACCCUGAGAGCCCAAUUUGAUAUUGAACUUCGUAGAACUAAUAGCCUUGUCUUCAGGUUCUAGAACCUGAAGGUCGAGACGUGUUCAUUUCUCGACCGCAGUCGUGAGAUUCAGAAGUCAAUAGUGCGCCCAAUGCAACAUCAACUCAUUUUACUUACCGGUCAAGCUCGACCGUCGAGUUGGCAUGCCCCACACACAACCGAAGGACAUAGUUAGCUUUUUAAUUACUCGGCUUGUGCGCCACGUAUACUUGAUAGUUUUUAAGAUCAACAGAAGGUAAAGAGCAAUAAAAACUGAUUAACGAAUUUAACAAAUUUAAUAGCGCCAAUUGAUCCUCUUGUAUUCUUCUUGAAAUCAAUUUCACAAUAACGAAUAUUAGAAUCAUGAGAUGAUUGAUAAUAAAUUAUUGAAACAGAGAAGAUAUAGCAAAUAAGAUAAGGUAGCUGGCAUUUGAUAGCGAUUUUGCUUGUAAAACUACACUUUUUGUCCAUCCAGAAGAAACCCAUUCUUCUGUUACAUGGCUUAACCGUGACCACACAAAACAGGAGAGCACGGGAAGGGCACCAGAAGUGGAGGGCAAACAAUCCUUGUCCGUGCUUUGUCCAUCGAGAAUAAGAAAUUGUAGGGACUAGGGGCCCAUUGCUCUUUUGAGAUGCAAGUUAAGGGACCUAACAAAGGGAAGUAAAAAGCAUUGGUAGGACAAAACAAGCCGUUUUAGGAAAACAACUUGGGGGAAGAUUCUCUCAUUUCCUAAUCUCUCUCCCAUUUUCUCUCCUUCUAUUUGAACGGUUACGGUUUAGCUACGUCAAUAUCUUAUAUAUAUAUUUUUAGAGACGAUAAGACAAAAAAUAAUAUGUGGGAGAAGGGAAAAGAAGGGGAUGAGAAUAGGAGGGGAGAUAAUUCUCUUCCAAACAACUUGCCUAUACAAUUCGGAUUCUAAGACGGUGGUAUCCCAAACGAAUCUCAUCCGACUAUGUGUUUAAACAUUGCACAUGACACCACGUGAUUGUUAAAACAUUGUCACCGUAGUGUAUUGUACAUAUACAUGAUUGUUUUGAAGUAACAUCAUCAUUGUGACAUAUUCAUGACGUAUGCUUAUCUCGCCGACUAGAGUUUCAGAUUCCUAACCAGGCGGGCAUAAACGUGCUUACAGCCUAAAAGGCCUUAACCUCAUAGAUCUGAAAACACAUUUCUGUCGGAGAAAUUGUCAAGAAUAAGAUACGAACUAGAGUUUACUCCGGGCAAGAUACCUGAGAUUUUUAGCCGUUAAAGUCAUUGAAUUCUUGACCAAUGAUCUAACAGCUAAGUUCACAUUGUAUAACCGAGGCACACUACAGAACGUAGAAAAAAAUAAUGGGGAUUAAAACGCUUCAUUGGGUAGAGGGAUAAGUGACAAAACAAUGAGAAAAAACACAUCAAUUGUAUUAGAAAUGCAACUUGCCAAUGUGCACAACAACAAAUGAACAUAGUUGCUACUCCACCGCAAAACCACCUCUGUGUCUGUCAAAUCUUAUUAAUCUCUGCGAGCAGAGGUAGCAAAACAACCUUGAAAAAAAACCCCCCACAACUUUCCAUAUGUUUUUUUUGACACCCCCGUUAACCCCUCAUAAUCAUAAACUACUAAUGACACAUUCUUCAAAGAACACGAAAAUAUAAAAAUACUAAUAAAAGAAAACCCAAAUGGCGCAAUGCCUGUAUAGAGAGAGAGAGAGAGAGCGAGAGCAGCAGAGGCUUAAUUCAAUUCAAUGUUUUGAUUCGAAGGGGUGAAGACUGAAGAGCCGCCAUUAAAGCUUUAAGCUUGGGGCUUGUCCCACUUGAGUGGCUUGACAACCUCCCAGGUGAAGUCGGGGUCAUCCCUCCCGAA
This 105081-nucleotide long non-coding RNA is filed under the name Malus domestica (apple). Its description in RNAcentral is "long non-coding RNA (MDOM_LNC011918)". Lineage: Eukaryota; Viridiplantae; Streptophyta; Magnoliopsida; Rosales; Rosaceae. The record is from RNAcentral.